This 107467-nucleotide long non-coding RNA is filed under the name Citrus maxima (pomelo). RNAcentral's name for it is "long non-coding RNA (CMAX_LNC003385)". The record is from RNAcentral. Lineage: Eukaryota; Viridiplantae; Streptophyta; Magnoliopsida; Sapindales; Rutaceae.
UCGGACAACUUGCUAGUCUUCUUUGAUGCUUUUCUACCUAGCCAAUAUCGCCAACCCCAAUUAGGACACCAUCCAUUAAGACAACUCUUCUUUUCAUCUAUCUUUGCUUUCAAAUUUCGAACGUCGGCCAUUUCUUUGUCUACAUCCUCAAGCCAUGUCUUGACAUCUUCCUCGACUUCUAUAGCACGGUGUAUUUGUCGUUCUUGUUCUACUCUUUUAUUGAUGCCAUCUUGUGCCUCCUUCAAAUUAGUUUCUUGAUCCUCAAGUUCUUUAAUAACGCUGUUGAAACAGAGCAGAUAACGAGCUUGGUUUAUGGUUGCAUCCACCAACAACUCUCCAAGCCUUGAUGCAACACCUGACAAAAGUUCCAUGCUAUUUAUCUGCAAUUAAUAAAGUUGAUCUCAGUAAGCUAUAAGCAAAACAAUGAGGCUUGAUCACAAGAUCGAACGAGAAAGUUUAAUUACCUUUUUCUAUUCUGUGAAUGCACGUUUAUUGACACUAGCUUUGACCAGUAAGAGCAAAAUGCAAACGCCGAGCUUUAAGUGGCCAUUAGCUGCAAAACAAAAGAGAGGAAAUAAGGUAAUUUAUUAUUAUUAUUAUUAUUAUUAUUUUUAAGGACGGAUAAAGGUUAGCUAGCUUGCAGACAAAUUUACUAAACUCAAGACAAACCUAAGAGUUUUCCUAAUUUGUUCAAACAUGGAAUAAGCGUUUCACAACAGUAUAUCCAUAAAGGCCCCAGCGAACGUAAUAUGUGCUGGACUAUAUUGAAAUUAGAUUAUUUUAGAAAAUUUUAAAUAAAAAAUAUCAAACAACAAAGAAAUCUAAUAGAAUCUGGAUAAACAGCAUGGGAGAAUAUGGUAAAAUUGAUAAACUUGGUUCAAAAAUUACAAUUCUUUUUGAGAUUUGAACCAACGAUUUUGACUAAGGUCUCCUAAGCCACAAAGCAUAACUCUUACUACUAAAUUACGCGCAUUUUGUUACAUUUAAAUGUGGUCAUAUUCUUUUUAUUAUCUUUUUUUAGAAGGGACUCAUGGUAUACUUAAAAGAAAUAAUAAUGAUUUAGAUGGGGCUGAAGCCCACUCAUGAAAAAAUUUAAAGGUUUUCAAGAUAAUAACCGAUUAUUUUCCACCCAAUAUUCUAAUAGAAUGGUGCCAGAAUUCUCAAAUAAUAUCUUAAUAUUAUUUAACUGGUUGGCACCCACCUAUUGGAUGAUUAAUUUAAUAAUUUGUUACAUUAUUUAAUACUCCAUCUCACUAUCUAGUGAUGUAAAUGGUGGAGAAGGAUCGUCUCCUAGACUUUUUUCUCUCACUAAUCUCUUAGUGAAAUAAGUGGCCGAAAUUGAAUUUUAAUUUUUGAUAUUGACAAUUAAAUUGGCUUGUUUCACAUUAUUAACAAUUAAGCCAAUUUUUUUUUUCUCCUUUUUUCAAUUAGAUUUGGAAGGCUAUAAGAGAGUAGGAGAGAAAAAACACUAGAAGGAGAUCUUAAUCCAUAAAUAGUACCUUAUUUGGGAUGGUAAAGAUUGAGAUAAAUUUCCUCUUAGUCUCUAAAAUUUUGGCCUAUGCGCAGCCAUAAUUUUAGUAUUUUUAAAAAGAAUGGGAUUAUUUACAUUCUAAAAUCUAUUUUGAAUACUCUUUUACUCAACACACUCAUUCAAUAAAUAAAUUUUAAAAAAUAAUUUUUACUUUACACACUAUUUCGAGAGUCAAAACUAUCCUUCAUUAGGACCAUUUCAUUAACUAAUUAUUUUCUAUUGACACCCAUAAAAUAUUCAUCAUUCUUGAACCAUGUGGCGUUAAUUAAUGAUUCCGAAGCAUUAUCAAGAUUCAAGAUUUAUGUUGAAAUUCUUUCAUCUGACAUUUGAACCCAGCCACUAGCUAUAUACAUAUAUACUUUCAAAUGCAGCUCUGGGAAUAUUUUGUGACUGAUUUUAUAAAGUGUUUUAGUUACAUUAAUGCAGUGAAACAAUAAAGAGUACGUGGCUUGCUGAUUUCCAAAUCAAGUUGGGGGAAAAAACAGAGCAUUUUUCUUUUAUAAUGGAUUAGAUUAGACGAUGAAGGACAAAUUAUUCGCGAUUAUUAGUACUUUUGUGUGUGUUAAGAGUAAUAAUAUUAUUUUAAAUUAUAUUAAUGCCUUUCGUAGUGAAUUCAAUUAGGGUUAUUUUAGUAAUAUAAAUUUUCAUUAAAAUUAAAGUGUCCAAAUUAUAAUUUAGAUUUUUCAAAUGUAAAAUAAUAUUUUUUUAUCUGAUAUAAAUUAAAAUUCAAACAAAUGUAUCAUGCAACAAAUGAAAAGUAAAGAAUAUUAAUUAGGUUUUAAUAGAAACAAAUAUAAAUAGAUGUUUUGAGUAGUUAUUUUUUGUUAUUUUAUGCUAUUGGUAGUUUGUGGAUUAAAUAAUUUGUAUAAGGAUAAAUGGGGGUUUGUAUAAUUUAGACGAAGAUAAUCUCCAAAAUAAGCUUAUAUGUCGAAUUAAAAAGUGUUAUAUAAGUAGUAAUUGUAUUUGCAUCAAAAUUUUUAAUAAAAUUUAUUUAGAAAUUGGCCAAUUGGGUUUUAUGAAGAAAAUAGAGGGGCAAGUAAUUAUGUAACAAGUAAUUUGUAGGUUGUGGUACUUCUCCAUACUUUAAAUCACUUUUAUCUAAUCAAUUGAUAAAUAUUUUUUGGGCACCAACAAAAUGAAAAGAAAAGUUUAAAAAUAAUUCUGAAAUUAAAAACGUUAGGUAUUGCCUAUAAGCUAUACAAUUUUACCUUUUCUUCUACACAAUUAGUAUUAGAAAUAAAAGUAGUUUCAAAAUAAAUGUAAUUAGGAGGUAAUAUUAUCUCAACAAUACCUUAUAGGGAAAAAGACAUCUACAUCCUAAAGUUUGGAGAAAUGGUCGUAAAGACCCUAGGUUUUCAGAAAGGGAUAUCAAGACCCUUUUUUUAUCGUAAUACCCUUUAAAUAUAGUAAUUAGAAAAUUGACUUUAAGAAUUUUUAAUUGACAAAUUUAAUAUAAAUAAUAUAAUCUAUCUAGUAGAUUAAUAAUAUUAACAAUAAAAAUAAUAUUAAAAUUUAAAUUCUUAUAUUUAUUUUAAUAAUAUAUUUUUUUUUUUAUAAAGAUUUUAAAUAAAUCCUUGGGUUAAAUAGGUUUUCCAGUUAACAAAAUAUACCCCUAUUAAUAAUAUUGAAAUUACUUUCUACAUAAUAUUUAAAAUAAUUAUAAUUUAUUUAUUUUAAUAUUAUGUUUCUAUUUAUUAAAAAUUACUUUAUUAGAGUAAAUUUUUAUUAAUUAAAGCUUUAAAAUCAAUUUUCUAAUUACUAAAUUAAAAGGGUAUUAUGGUAAAAAAGGGUCUUUCCUUUUUGAAAACUUAGGGUUUUUGCGACCAUCUCCGCAAACUUUGGAGUAUAGGUGUCCUUUUCCCUACUUCAUAUAAAGAUAUUCCAUAAGGUCUUAUAAUAACUUAUAUUAUAUGAAUUUAAUUAAAAGAUCAUUAAUACUUAAAUAAUAAUAAUUAUAGAAGACAUUGUAAUAAAUUAUUUGAUAUAUAUUAUUAAUGAUACUAUAUAUAUGUGUAUAUAACUACAUGAUGGCUUGGAUAUAUAUUGUUUAGUGGUAAUAAAUUUUUUUAAAAAAAUUUAAACUAAUGAUUUCAUGUAAUUCAAUGGUGGAUGAUUUAAAAUCAUAAAAUAUUGUUUUGACUUUCAAUAUCAACCGUUAGACUGUGAGAAAUUAAUUGCUCAAUAUUUUGUGUUAAAUUUUUGAAUUAAAAUAUCCCAAACCAUUUGUUUUACUUAAAAUACAAAAAAUAUAUAAAGAAAUUUUCUCAUUAAUUUUCAUAUUUUUAUUAGAGAUAAUAUUUUAUGUAUCGUCACCAUUAAUUGCCAUCAUUAAAGUAGUGACUCUUAGUAAUAUAAAAUUUUAUAAUUAGUUAAUUGCAAUCAAAGGAUAUCAAUAAAAUAAUAUUUUAUGAUUCAUAAAUUAAAGCUAAUUAAGAAUAUAUGUUUGUUUUAACUUUUAUGAAAUCAACUAAGUGAUAUUAGAAAAUAAAAUGAAAAUAAACUAGUGAAACUUAAAUUUUAUAAGGUUUGAAUAAUUUUCUACCAUGUAAGAAUAUUAAUUGUGACAUAAACCAUAGUUUCAUGGUAUAUGUAUGCCGAAUGGGGUAACAAAUAAUAUAUACUUCACGAUCAUGAUAGUAUAUAAAGUAGUGGAUAUUUUAAUAUAUAACAUAAAAUUCUUUAAGACAUAGGUGGUCAAUUAUAUAUUUUUUAGGACAUAGACAAUCUCAAUCAAGAGUUUAUUGAUGUGAAUAGAUGGCAUUCACUUAAAUGUAUACACUUAAUUGUGUUGUUUAUUGGUAUUAGAUAUUCACUUAAAUGUAUAUACUUAAUUGUGUUGUUUAUUGGUAUUACAUGUAACAAAAUUUUAUAUUAAAUUUUGAAGUUUUAUAUUGUUGUUUCUAUUGAAUUUAUAAAUACAAUAAAAUUAUGGCCAUCAACAAUCACAACCAACUGCCACCAACAAUUAGAUUCUCAUAUCCGUUGACGACAAUUUUUUAUACUAUUGGAACUCCAAUCUUUGAAGCUACACAAUAGUUAAAGUACCAACAUCACUAGAACUUCCGUUCAUUGUAGAUCUAUAGUCAAAGUUUCGAAUCUUAAAAAUUUGACAGCAGAUUUAUGUCAAAUGAAAGCUUGUUACCAGUGAUUCUUAUACAAUUAUGUUGUUAUAGUAAUAAGGAUUCUAGUGGUACUAAAAUGCACUCCAUUAGACAUAAAGAUCCGACGACUAGUGGCGACAACAACUAUCAUUAGUGACUUGGAGGUAAUUGCCAUUAAUAAAUUAUUUUUAACUUAAUAAUUAAUACAAACAAAUAAAAAAGUAAUUUAAUGAAAAUUAAUGUAAUAAAUAAUUGAAUUAAAAAAAUUAAAACCUAAAUUCUCGACCAUUUAUCCGUAUGUUUCGAAUCCAACGUUCAAAAUUGGAAUAAAACAUAGUAUAGCCAUUGGAAGUAAAACAAACAUUAAAGAGACUAGGAAAAAAUAUCUCAUACCUUCUAUAAUGAUACAUCCUCAAUCACUGCAGAAAGCUCCAAUUAAAAAGUCGCACAAGUUCGGAGAAAAUUACCUAACAACACAAAUAAACAUCAAAUCAAAGCAACAUAGGAUCCAGCUAAUUAACAUCAUAAGUAAGUCCUUGUUCUCAGUCAAAUCUUGCAUUCUUAGGAUAAAAAAAAAAUUGAAAGAAUAACGGUAACUGGAAAGUUUGACGACAUAAAGAUCUAGCUAAAUUUUAAGAAGCAAAAGUAAAUAAUGAAAGCUCAAUAAAAGAUCAUCAGCAUUAACAUACCGAAAUGAGAGCAGCUCACAGAACUGGUAAUUUCCAAGAACAGGAAAAAUAAGUGAGCUGAUAUUGAGGACAACUAAAGUAGUCAUGGAGUAAUUUGCUAUUGAGGACACCUAAAAUAAGAAAAUUAAUUAACAUUGCUCUAUACACCAUUUCAAUAAUUUGACUAUUAAAAAAAAAAUCUAUCUAGAUCACGAUUUCUCAAAAUGAUGCUUUUUCUAAUUAAAUAAAUCAAAAUGCUUGCUUCUUUCUUUUUCAGAAAAGAAAAAGUGGCAAUGGCAUCAAUUUUUUGCUAGAUUAUUAUCACCAAAAGCACAAGCAAGGAAUAAGGAUACUCUCUGAAACCAACCAUAUAAAGAGUAGAAAUAUUUGUUGGAGUGUAAGGUAGAAGUAAGUGGUCAAUUGUAAAUAAGUCUUUCUUUUUUCUUUGUUGUUUUUUCAUUUUUUGAAUGUGAACUAAAUAAAUUUAAGGGUGAAGCUAUUACACCUUGAAAACUAUGACUGAACACCCAUUUUUUUAAUUAAAUUUUUAUUACUAAAAUAACCAUGGAGUAAUUUGCUUCUAAGGAAAACUAGAAUAAUAACAUGAAUAAUGAUUGCUCUAUACACCCUUUUAUACGUCUAUCUUCUUCUUAAUUUCAUAAUUUGGCUGUCAAAAAGUAAUCUAUCUAGAUCACGAUUUCUCAAAAUGAUGCUUUUUAUAUCUAAAUAAAUGAAAAUGCUUGUUUCUUUCUUUCUCGAAAAGAAAAAGUGGCAAUGGCAUCAAUUUUUGCUUGCAAGCACAGCAAGUAAUCAGUAUACUCUCGGAAACUAACCAUAUUAAGAGUAGAAAUAUAUUGGGUUAUCACGAAGUAAGUUAGAAAUCAAUUAUAAAUGGUCUUUUUUUUUUUUUUUAAUGUGAACUAUAUAAAUUUAAGGUGAGGUUAUUUACACUUUGAAAAACAUUCUAAAAACCAUUAUUUCAUUAAAUUUUUUAUUAUUAAAGGUCCGUUUGCUGCCCCAAACGCUCUCUAAAAUAGCCAUGGAGUAAUUUCUUACUGAGGAAAACUAGAAUAAUAAAAUCAAUUAUCAUUCUGCCAUGACCCCGUUUCUAGAUGUAUCUUCUUCUUGAUUUGGUAACUUGGCUGUCAAAAAGAAAUCUAUCUAGAUCCCGAUUCCUCAAAAUGAUGCUUUUUCGGAUGAAAUAAAUGAAAUUGAACCUACAAUCUGUCACAAACACGUUAUAAUGAGCCUAAUGAAAAGCAGUAUGAGAAAUUUUGCUUCCAUGUUGUUUCUUCCAUAUGUAAAGGUAGUAAAAAGAAAUUUAAGUCCUAGAAACAAAUGGAUGAAGAAUUAUCAAUAAUUAAAAAUUAAAAAAAAAAACAGAGUUAUUAAAGAAUCACAGUUCCACCAAAAAUUAAGAGUUAUUUUAUUUGGUGGUUUCCUUAUCCCGAAGCAUUACUUGUAAAUAUGUGCUAACAAGUAAUAAUUAAGAAAGUUAAGGCCAAUCAUUUAGAAGGGAGAAAAAUGGAAACAUCCGGAAUAUUGUUAUGUGUUUUCAGUGCGUAUCUACCAAUCAAUAAUGAAAAAUUAAAUACGCAUGUGACGAAAAUUUAAUAAAGAGAACUGGACGUGACAAAAUUUUUAUUAUUCUAUCUUUUUCUCCUCUGAAACUUCCUUAAUUUGGUUGGGAAUUGCUUUGUCUUAGGCAGUGGAUCUGUUAUAAAUACCCUAUGCUAAAGUUAAUAUUUUGAUUGAAGAAAAAAAUAGAGGCGAAAAAUUUUAUUAAAGUAUAACAGAAUUUGAUAAAUUUAGAAUUGAGGAGAGAAAAUGAGUCUAAAUUCGAAAAUUUUGGCACUAUUUACAUAUCAUUAUUUGGGCAAAAAUUUAUUUCUCUGCUUUCAUAUGAUUUGGUCUUUUAUUGUUACGGUGCCAAUUUUUUAUUUAAAGAUGUAAGAUGGUGGUACUAUAGCUUAGAUUUUCCGUAAUUACUAUAUGGUAAGUACAAAAUAAAAUACUAGUUUAAAAUAUAAAAAUGAAAAACUAUUUUUAUAACCAAUAUUUAAUUAAAUACACUUGAAACUCUAUUUUUUCUUAAUAAAAAAAAUUCUAAUUUAUUUUCUCAAUUUAUCUAAACAACUUUACCUAAUCAAGCUAAAUCUACAUAUAACCCUAAACCUUAAUUUAUAAACACCCAAUCAAUCCAAUUGUUAAAUCCGAUUUCAUAAUUAAAAAAGUUAAAUUCUAUUUUAUUAUUUAUGGUGCAAAGUAAAAAAUGCCCUUGAAGUUAAGGGUAAAAUUGAUAUUUUAUUUAAAUUUGGGAAAUUAUCAUUCGUAUACCCUAUAUUUGCUCUGUUAUAAAAAAUACUACAACACUUUGAGGGUGUAUCAAUCGUCCACCCUAAGUUGACAAAAUGUAUCAACCGACCACUAAACCGUUAAUUGUCGUUUGAAAGUUAACGGAAUUACAGUGAAUUGACGAUUUUACCCUUGAAAAUUAUCACUUGUAUACCCUUAAAUUAUCACUUGUAUCAUAUGAAAAGACCAGAUUACCCUUCUGACGUUAUCAUAUUUAAACGGCAACUAACGGUUCGGUGGUCGGUUGAUACAUUUUGUCAACUUAGGGUGGACGAUUGAUACACCCUCAAAGUGUUGUAGUAUUCUUGAUAAUGAAGUAAACUAAGGGUAUACAAAUGAUAAUUUCCCUUUAAAUUUUGUUAAUAUUCUAAUAAUGUUAAUGUCUUAGUGGUUAAUAAAAUCACAAAGUCAAACUUUUGUAGUAUUUUUUAUAAUAAGGUAAAGAUAUAUGUUUGAUAAUUUUCCUACGUCUUUUUACGUUAAAUUGAGUCUCAAGGGAAAAAUGGUUAAUUUGCUAUAAUUCUGUCAGUUUUCUAAUGGAAGAUAAUGAUAUAAUGAAUAAAUAAUACAUAUUCUUAAAUUAGUAUAGAUGAAUGAUACAACUUGAAAAUAUUGUAGUAUUCUUAAUAGUAGAGAAAUUUAAAAGUGGAUGGUUGAUAAUUUAAUGAAGUAACUACAGAAUUUUCCUUUCAAAUAUAUUUUUUAAAAUAUAUGAUGAGUAAAAAUCAUUUUACAGAAUGAUCUUUCAAAUGCACAUUCCACAAGCCAAAAAGAAAGGGUAGCGAACAACCCUUGUUGAAAUGGCACCCCGGCUUUUGCAGCGUACCCAAGUGCAGCCACCACCCCAGAAUCUGGUACUACAAUCACAACAUCACACUCAACAGGAGCCUCGGUAGCAAGUACUUCCCCAAAAUGAUACCUCGACUCGUAAGACCUUCCAAAAACAACAGAAUUAGGCAAAGCAAAAUAAAUAUGCUCAAAGAUGCACUGCUUAGGUUCAGGGUGAGGCAUCAAACAAAGUGAUUGAACCCCAUCUUUAUCCACCAUCAAAACUUCACCGGGAUAUACCUCUCUCUCGUAUGUGGCCUCAAUCAAAUCAAGUGCGCAAGUUUCUGAUGCAAAAACCACAGCACCGUUACUCCUCCUACCCAUCACCAACGGCCUAAACCCAUACGGGUCACGAACCGCAACAAGCUUAUCCUCAGUAACAAACACCAUUGAAUAAGCACCCUCAAGCUUCUCACAAGCAUCCACAAUCCUCAAAAAGAACGGCUUAGCUUUCGAUAUCGCAAUCAAAUGGAGAACAAUCUCAGUAUCAGAACUAGUAUAAAAAAUGGAUUCAUUAUCCUCGAGCUUAGCCCUCAAAGUAUUAUAAUUACCUAAAUUCCCAUUAUGUGCAACACCAACAGAACCAAACCUGUACCCAGCAACAAAAGGCUGCACAUUCUUAAGCAUAGAACUACCCGCAGUCGAAUAUCUAACAUGACCAAUGGCCAUAUCACCCGGCAAUUGAUCAAGUUUAGACUGAUUAAACACAUCAGAGACUAAACUGUUGAUGCGAGAUUCUGGUUGUCCUCGUUCUACGACCAGGGUCUCUGCUCGAUCAACUUCACCACGACCAGGAUCUCUCCUCGUAAAGCUUCUUCUCCAGAGGUUCCUGCGCACACAGACAAGUCAGAGUACGCCGGUUAUUUUCCCGGCGCAAACCCUCCGACGCUCAAGUCAGAUAUGAAGGUUCGGGGAACACUUGCCACAGAUCUUAUGGCUUUUGGGUAGUUUUCUCUUCUUUAGAAUUUCUUUAUCUCUCUUCUAAUGUCAAAAUUGCUAACCCUUUUACCUUCGUUGGCUACCUUUUUAUAGGCUUCCUCUGAAUCCCAGUUUUCCGCAGUCUACGUCCGUUAUCCUCCCACCUCUCGAACGUGGAUUCCCCAUUUCCGUAGUCGUGGGUGGUUGCGUGGCCUUCGUGCCUAGAUUCUCGGGCUGGAGAGCAUGCCUUGCCAACUGUCGUUGACCGGGCCUCCUCGAAUCAACCCUUAGCAAGAAUACAGCAGGAAUGGCUUUAUGCUUCUUACAAGAAAUUGGCCUCGCGGAUGACGUGCUCGUGGAUGAGCAGGAUAUUCCUGCCCCUGCUCCCCUGCUACUUGGCUCUUACAGGACACACCUGCUCGCCGACUUCUGCCACCAAACAUCUGCUCAUCACGUCUGGUCUCGUCGGAGUAUUUCCCUCAAACACCGGUCCCCCAGUUUCUGGUGUUGGGUAAUGUAAUGGACCAGCAGUAGAAACUUAGCGGUUCUUGGUCGCGUGGGACUGAAAAAGGCUGCCAAGAGUCAUAUCGCAUUUAAUUGCGGACGAGGUGAUGUGGCAGAAAUCUGCCCCUCUAUUCGAAUUUCCAACCAACGGUUACGAGGCCCUUGGGAUUUGGUGCCGUUAAAUGCUGGCAACCCAAGAGUCCGUCCCCAUUAGGAAACCUAAAUCCUUUCAAACAGCAAAUUCGUCAUUCCCUCCGUCUCCGUCCCUGUCUCUCCGGCAAAGAAGUUCCAGCAUAAAGGCCUCCAUCUCUGUCUUUCACCGACUGAACCAUUACUUCAUGUAUUUCUUCUAUCUCCUUGGUCUCGGAUAGUUGUAGAUAAUUUCUGUUCUCUUUUGUUUGGGUAGUAGUUGGUGGUGGUGUUGUGGUUAGAGUUUAGGGAAUGUCGAAAGCUAAAGAGAAGGUCAUUGAAGUUGACGACGAUGAGUUAGACUUCCUGCCUAGUCUGCUCACUGAUCCUGCUUUUGACCCCGGGAUCCCCUUAGAGCCCAUUAGAUCUAGUGUCGGCACUAGCGCUAGGAGGAUGUCUCCCCAAACGACCUCCUCGAGCAGAGAUAGUGAUGAAGAGGGGUCUUCCGGCUCGGAGAACACCCUGAGUGAGGGCCGAGGAGAUGAUUCUGGCGAGGUGUCCCCAUCAGGAGCGUCGCGACCAGAAGGGCGGAGUACAAUAGGAGGUAGAGCCCUAUCGCGGGAUUACGCUAUUGAUUACAUGACAUGCACAACCACGUUUGAUGAGCUCAAUGACCUCCGGCUUAGGUAUAGUAUUCCUGGUGAAAUCCCUCUUAAGGUCCCAGGAAAGAAGGAUACUCCUAGCCGGCCUCCUAGGGGAUACGUUACCCUGUAUCUGGAUAGGUUUAAGUAUGGGCUGAGGUGUCCCGUGCAACCUUACUUUGCCCGGAUACUUAGCGGGCUGAAUCUAUCUCCUGGUCAGCUGAACCCAAAUGGUUGGAGAGUACUUUAUGGUCUGUUUAUAUUGUGGGACAGAUGUUGCCAGAGCGAGCCCACAGUUGAUGAGGUGAAGCACUUGUACCAGCUAAAGAGCAGCCCCAAAGAUGCCGGCUGGUACUACUUUCAAUCUAGUACCAAGACCAGGAAACCCAUAACCGACCUCCCUACUGGUGGUGGUGGGAAUUGGAAGAGGAAAUUCUUUUUUGCUGGGGGUCCUUGGGGUUAAGUUGCACAAAUAGACGGGAAGGAUUAUCGCGUCCCACCCCGUUUCACGGUCCCAGGUUGCCUGCUCGCUUUAGGUGUCUUGUGUCCGUAAUUGUGCUCGCUUUGUUGGUUUGUCUCUAACCAAGUGUCUAUUUGUGUUGUAGUUUCUUGGGGUGUUCAUUUCUCGCUCAAACCUGGCCAACUCAAACGGGUCGAGGCUGUGCUAGCCAAUUCCUGCUCGAGCCGGGAGCUGAUAACUACAUACAACUUGCUCGAGUCUCGCUUAAUACUCCCUGGUCAUAAGAUGGAGGACGCUGUGAUUGGGGCUCUGAACAGGAAACGUUCUCGACCUCAAACCACGAAGAGGGACCAGAAUAAGGACGCCCCUACUGCAAAGCGGGCCAACAUCGUGCAGCAGGUCUCUCCCUUGAAGACUUUACCUCCUGCUCCUGCCAAAGUCGGGGAAACUAGUGGAGGAGCAGCCACCGAUCCUGCUUCUUCUUCUCCUCAUGUCGGGCCUCGAUCUCGCUUACCUGACAGCCGAGCAGAACACUUGGUCCCCUAUCUCAAUGAGUUAUCUAAACUCGUGAGCAAGAAGGACCUGGAGGACUUUGAUGGCUGCACUCUGGGCGAGCUGGUGCGAGCCAUGCAGUAUAGCGCUUUCCAUCUCAGCUGCAUGACCACCUACUAUAAGGCCAAGGUCGGCCGUUAUGACAGGAAGAUGAAGGAGGACAUUCAGUUAGCGAUGACCAGAGCUGACGGCGCCGAGAAGAAAGCAGGAGCGCUGAAUGUCGAGAACCUGAAGCUGAUAGAGCAAGAAUCUCUUGCUCAAGCGAAAGCCAUUACCCUCGAGGAGGAGCUGACCAAGGUCAAAGAGGAUCUUCAAAGGCAGAAGGCUAUGUAUGAGGCUCAGCUCGAAUCUCUCCGUGAUUCCCACCGGGUUCAGGUCGAGAACUUAGAGAAGGAGGCUGACAACCAGUACGACCAGGGACUUCGGCAUUCCUAUCGUUGCAUCAUGGCCGUCCUCGGGAAGCAACACCCUGAUCUGAAGAUGGAUGACCUUGCAGCUGGUGUUGCUCAACAUAUGGACGAGGAGGCGGCCAAGGAAGACGCUGAAGGGGUAGAGCCGAUCGUGAUUGAGGAGGAAAACUCUCCUUCUCGUGCAGAACCUGCUGGUGUUGGCGAGGCGAGCACCCCCCGGACGCAACUGGUGAUACCCCCUGCACCUGAGGAGGUCCAGCCGACUGAUGCUGCUCGGCUUACUGAUCCACCAUCUUAUUGAUAUAUUUCUUGUAUUGUAAUGCACAAUGUUUGUGAAGAUUAUCUCCUCUGUUAAUUAUUAACAAAUUAAUAAAGAUGUUUUUGAUUACUUUCUUGUGUUGUAAUCAUGAGUUAUUUUUCGUUUGAGAAUCUGCUCGUCUUUGUCUGGUCGAGCAGGUUCUGGCUUGGCACAUGGUUUUGCCACAUGCCUUUGAAAAUUCUUCAAUGCUUGGGAUUCUGCUCGCCUUCGCAUGGUCGAGCAGAUCCUGGCAUGCUUGGCUUCUGGUCUCGCCAAAAGACAGGCUUUCAGACUUGGUGAGCUUUUGCAUGCCUUUGAUUCUGCAAUGAUUGGGAGUCUGCUCGCCUUCUCGUGGUCGAGCAGAUCCUGGCACGCAUGGCAUCUGGUCUCGCCAUAAACAGGCUUUGAGACUUGAUAAGCCUUUGCAUGCCUUUAAUAAUUUCUUGAAUGCUUUGGAGUCUGCUCGCCUUCUUGUGGUCAAACAUAUCCUGGCACGCUUGGCUUCUGUCGCAUGCCUUCAAUUCUUCAAGGAUUGAGAUUUCGCUCGCCUUCUCGUGGUCGAGCAGAUCCUGGCACGGUUGGCUGCUGUCUCGCCAUAAAACAGGCUUUGAGACUUGCCGAGCCUUUGCAUGCCUUUGAUUCUUCAAGGAUUGGGAUUCUGCUCGCCUUCUCGGGGUCGAACAGAUCCUAGCACGCUUGGCUUCUGUCUCGCCAUAAAAUAGGCUUUGAGACUUGCUGAGCCUUUGCAUGCCUUCAAUUCUUCAAGGAUUGGGAUUCUGCUCGCCUUCUCGUGGUCGAGCAGAUCCUGGCACGCUUGGCUUCUGUCUCGCCAUAAAACAAGCUUUGAGACUUGCUGAGCCUUUGCAUGCCUUUGAUUCUUCAAGGAUUGGGAUUCUGCUCGCCAUCUCGUGGUCGAGCAUAUCCUGGCACGCUUGGCUUCUGUCUCGCCAUAAAACAGGCUUUGAGACUUGCCGAGCUUUUGCAUGCCUUUGAUUCUUCAAGGAUUGGGAUUCUGCUCGCCUUCUCGUGGUCGAGCAGAUCCUGGCACGCAUGGCAUCUGGUCUCGCCAUAAACAGGCUUUGAUACUUGAUGAGCCUUUGCAUGCCUUUGAUAAUUUCUUGAAUGCUUUGGAGUCUGCUCGCCUUCUUGUGGUCAAACAUAUCCUGGCACGCUUGGCUUCUGUCGCAUGCCUUCAAUUCUUCAAGGAUUGGGAUUUCGCUCGCCUUCUCGUGGUCGAGCAUAUCCUGGCAUGGUUGGCUGCUGUCUCGCCAUAAAACAGGCUUUGAGACUUGCCGAGCCUUUGCAUGCAUUUGAUUCUUCAAGGAUUGGGAUUCUGCUCGCCUUCUCGUGGUCGAGCAGAUCCUGGCACGCUUGGCUUCUGUCUCGCCAUAAAACAGGCUUUAAGACUUGUUGAGCCUUUGCAUGCCUUUGAUUCUUCAAGGAUUGGGAUUCGGCUCGCCUUCUCGUGGUCGAGCAGAUCCUGGCACGCUUGGCUUCUGUCUUGCCAUAAAACAGGCUUUGAGACUUGAUGAGCCUUUGCAUGCCUUUGAUAAUUUCUUGAAUCCUUUGGAGUCUGCUUGCCUUCUCGUGGUCGAGCAUAUCCUAGCACGCUUGGCUUCUGUCUCGCCAUAAAACAGGCUUUGAGACUUGAUGAGCCUUUGCAUGCCUUUGAUAAUUUCUUGAAUGCUUUGGAGUCUGCUCGCCUUCUCGUGGUCGAGCAUAUCUUGGCACGCUUGGCUUCUGUCUCGCCAUAAAACAGGCUUUGAGACUUGCUGAGCCUUUGCAUGCCUUCAAUUCUUCAAGGAUUUGGAUUCUGCUCGCCUUCUCGUGGUCGAGCAGAUCCUGGCACGCUUGGCUUCUGUCUCGUCAUAAAACAGGCUUUGAGACUUGCCGAGCCUUUGCAUGCCUUUGAUUCUUCAAGGAUUGGGAUUCUGCUCGCCUUCUCGUGGUCGAGCAGAUCCUGGCACGCUUGGCUUCUGUCUCGCCAUAAAACAGGCUUUGAGACUUGCCGAGCCUUUGCAUGCCUUUGAUUCUUCAAGGAUUGGGAUUCUGCUCGCCUUCUCGUGGUCGAGCAGAUCCUGGCACGCUUGGCUUCUGUCUCGCCAUAAAACAGGCUUUGAGACUUGCCGAGCCUUUGCAUGCCUUUGAUUCUUCAAGGAUUGGGAUUCUGCUCGCCUUCUCGUGGUCGAGCAGAUCCUGGCACGCUUGGCUUCUGUCUCGCCAUAAAACAGGCUUUGAGACUUGCUGAGCCUUUGCAUGCCGUUGAUUGUUCAAGGAUUGGGAUUCGGCUCGCCUUCUCGUGGUGGAGCAGAUCCUGGCACGCUUGGCUUCUGUCUCGUCAUAAAACAGGCUUUGAGACUUGAUGAGCCUUUGCAUGCCUUUGAUAAUUUCUUGAAUGCUUUUGAGUCUGCUUGCCUUCUCGUGGUCGAGCAUAUCCUGGCACGCUUGGCUUCUGUCUCGCCAUAAAACAGGCUUUGAGACUUGCCGAGCCUUUGCAUGCCUUUGAUUCUUCAAGGAUUGGGAUUCUGCUCGCCUUCUCGUGGUCGAGCAGAUCCUGGCACGCUUGGCUUCUGUCUCGCCAUAAAACAGGCUUUGAGACUUGCUGAGCCUUUGCAUGCCGUUGAUUGUUCAAGGAUUGGGAUUCGGCUCGCCUUCUCGUGGUCGAGCAGAUCCUGGCACGCUUGGCUUCUGUCUCGCCAUAAAACAGGCUUUGAGACUUGCUGAGCCUUUGCAUGCCUUCAAUUCUUCAAGGAUUGGGAUUCUGCUCGCCUUCUCGUGGUCGAGCAGAUCCUGGCACGCUUGGCUUCUGUCUCGCCAUAAAACAGGCUUUGAGACUUGCUGAGCCUUUGCAUGCCUUUGAUAAUUUCUUGAAUGCUUUGGAGUCUGCUCGCCUUCUUGUGGUCAAACAUAUCCUGGCAAGCUUGGCUUCUGUCGCAUGGCUACAAUUCUUCCAGGAUUGGGAUUUCGCUCGCCUUCUCGUGGUCGAGCAGAUCCUGGCAUGGUUGGCUGCUGUCUCGCCAUAAAACAGGCUUUGAGACUUGCCGAGCCUUUGCAUGCCUUUGAUUCUUCAAGGAUUGGGAUUCUGCUCGCCUUCUCGUGGUCGAGCAGAUCCUGGCACGCUUGGCUUCUGUGUUGCCAUAAAAUAGGCUUUGAGACUUGCUGAGCCUUUGCAUGCCUUUGAUUCUUCAAGGAUUGGGAUUCUGCUCGCCUUCUCGUGGUCGAGCAGAUCCUGGCAUGGUUGGCUGCUGUCUCGCCAUAAAACAGGCUUUGAGACUUGCCGAGCCUUUGCAUGCCUUUGAUUGUCCCAUCGCCAUAAAACAGGCUUUGAGACUUGAUGAGCCUUUGCAUGCCUUUGAUAAUUUCUUGAAUGCUUUGGAGUCUGCUUGCCUUCUCGUGGUCGAGCAUAUCCUGGCACGCUUGGCUUCUGUCUCGCCAUAAAACAGGCUUUGAGACUUGCUGAGCCUUUGCUUGCCUUCAAUUCUUCAAGGAUUGGGAUUCUGCUCGGCUUCUCGUGGUCGAGCAGAUCCUGGCACGCUUGGCUUCUGUCUCGCCAUAAAACAGGCUUUGAGACUUGCUGAGCCUUUGCAUGCCUUCAAUUCUUCAAGGAUUGGGAUUCUGCUCGCCUUCUCGUGGUCGAGCAGAUCCUGGCACGCUUGGCUUCUGUCUCGCCAUAAAACAGGCUUUGAGACUUGCUGAGCCUUUGCAUGCCUUUGAUUCUUCAAGGAUUGGGAUUCUGCUCGCCUUCUCGUGGUCGAGCAGAUCCUGGCACGCUUAGCUUCUGUCUCGCCAUAAAACAGGCUUUGAGACAUGCCGAGCCUUUGCAUGCCUUUGAUUCUUCAAGGAUUGGGAUUCUGCUCGCCUUCUCGUGGUCGAGCAGAUCCUGGCACGCUUGGCUUCUGUCUCGCCAUAAAACAGGCUUUGAGACUUGCUGAGCCUUUGCAUGCUUUGAUUCUUCAAGGAUUGGGAUUCGGCUCGCCUUCUCGUGGUCGAGCAGAUCCUGGCACGCUUGGCUUCUGUCUUGCCAUAAAACAGGCUUUGAGACUUGAUGAGCCUUUGCAUGCCUUUGAUAAUUUCUUGAAUGCUUUGGAGUCUGCUGGCCUUCUCGUGGUCGAGCAUAUCCUGGCACGCUUGGCUUCUGUCUCGCCAUAAAACAGGCUUUGAGACUUGCUGAGCCUUUGCAUGCCUUCAAUUCUUCAAGGAUUGGGAUUCUGCUCGCCUUCUCGUGGUCGAGCAGAUCCUGGCACGAUUGGCUUCUGUCUUGCCAUAAAACAGGCUUUGAGACUUGAUGAGCCUUUGCAUGGCUUUGAUAAUUUCUUGAAUGCUUUGGAGUCUGCUUGCCUUCUCGUGGUCGAGCAUAUCCUGGCACGCUUGGCUUCUGUCUCGCCAUAAAACAGGCUUUGAGACUUGCUGAGCCUUUGCAUGCCUUCAAUUCUUCACGGAUUGGGAUUCUGCUCGCCUUCUCGUGGUCGAGCAGAUCCUGGCACGCUUGGCUUCUGUCUCGCCAUAAAACAGGCUUUGAGACUUGCUGAGCCUUUGCAUGCCUUUGAUUCUUCAAGGAUUGGGAUUCUGCUCGCCUUUUCGUGGUCGAGCAGAUCCUGGCACGCUUGGCUUCUGACUCGCCAUAAAACAGGCUUUGAGACUUGCCGAGCCUUUGCAUGCCUUUGAUUCUUCAAGGAUUGGGAUUCUGCUCGCCUUCUCGUGGUCGAGCAGAUCCUGGCACGCUUGGCUUCUGUCUCGCUAUAAAACAGGCUUUGAGACUUGCUGAGCCUUUGCAUGCCGUUGAUUGUUCAAGGAUUGGGAUUCGGCUCGCCUUCUCAUGGUGGAGCAGAUUCUGGCACGCUUGGCUUCUGUCUCGUCAUAAAACAGGCUUUGAGACUUGAUGACCCUUUGCAUGCCUUUGAUAAUUUCUUGAAUGCUUUGGAGUCUGCUUGCCUUCUCGUGGUCGAGCAUAUCCUGGCACGCUUGGCUUCUGUCUCGCCAUAAAACAGGCUUUGAGACUUGCCGAGCCUUUGCAUGCCUUUGAUUCUUCAAGGAUUGGGAUUCUGCUCGCCUUCUCGUGGUCGAACAGAUCCUAGCACGCUUGGCUUCUGUCUCGCCAUAAAACAGGCUUUGAGACUUGCCGAGCCUUUGCAUGCCUUUGAUUCUUCAAGGAUUGGGAUUCUGCUCGCCUUCUCGUGGUCGAACAGAUCCUAGCACGCUUGGCUUCUGUCUCGCCAUAAAACAGGCUUUGAGACUUGUUGAGCCUUUGCAUGCCUUUGAUUCUUCAAGGAUUGGGAUUCGGCUCGCCUUCUCGUGGUCGAGCAGAUCUUGGCACGCUUGGCUUCUGUCUCGCCAUAAAACAGGCUUUGAGACUUGAUGAGCCUUUGCAUGCCUUUGAUAAUUUCUUGAAUGCUUUGGAGUCUGCUGGCCUUCUCGUGGUCGAGCAUAUCCUGGCACGCUUGGGUUCUGUCUCGCCAUAAAACAGGCUUUGAGACUUGCUGAGCCUUUGCAUGCCUUUGAUUCUUCAACGAUUGGGAUUCGGCUCGCCUUCUCGUGGUCGAGCAGAUCCUGGCACGCUUGGCUUCUGUCUUGCCAUAAAACAGGCUUUGAGACUUGAUGAGCCUUUGCAUGCCUUUGAUAAUUUCUUGAAUGCUUUGGAGUCUGCUGGCCUUCUCGUGGUCGAGCAUAUCCUGGCACGCUUGGCUUCUGUCUCGCCAUAAAACAGGCUUGAGACUUGCUGAGCCUUUGCAUGCCUUCAAUUCUUCAAGGAUUGGGAUUCUGCUCGCCUUCUCGUGGUCGAGCAGAUCCUGGCACGAUUGGCUUCUGUCUUGCCAUAAAAACAGGCUUGAAGACUUGAUGAGCCUUUGCAUGCCUUUGAUAAUUUCUUGAAUGCUUUGGAGUCUGCUUGCCUUCUCGUGGUCGAGCAUAUCCUGGCACGCUUGGCUUCUGUCUCGCCAUAAAACAGGCUUUGAGACUUGAUGAGCCUUUUGCAUGCCUUUGAUAAUUUCUUGAAUGCUUUGGAGUCUGCUUGCCUUCUCGUGGUCGAGCAUAUCCUGGCACGCUUGGCUUCUGUCUCGCCAUAAAAUAGGCUUUGAGACUUGCUGAGCCUUUGCAUGCCUUUGAUUCUUCAAGGAUUGGGAUUCUGCUCGCCUUCUCGUGGUCGAGCAGAUCCUGGCACGCUUGGCUUCUGUCUCGCCAUAAAACAGGCUUUGAGACUUGCCGAGCCUUUGCAUGCCUUUGAUUCUUCAAGGAUUGGGAUUCUGCUCGCCUUCUCGUGGUCGAGCAGAUCCUGGCACGCUGGCUUCUGUCUCGCCAUAAAACAGGCUUGAGACUUGCUGAGCCUUUGCAUGCCUUUGAUUCUUCAAGGAUUGGGAUUCGGCUCGCCUUCUCGUGGUCGAGCAGAUCCUGGCACGCUUGGCUUCUGUCUCGCCAUAAAACAGGCUUUGAGACUUGAUGAGCCUUUGCAUGCCUUUGAUAAUUUCUUGAAUGCUUUGGAGUCUGCUCGCCUUCUUGUGGUCGANNNNNNNNNNNNNNNNNNNNNNNNNNNNNNNNNNNNNNNNNNNNNNNNNNNNNNNNNNNNNNNNNNNNNNNNNNNNNNNNNNNNNNNNNNNNNNNNNNNNNNNNNNNNNNNNNNNNNNNNNNNNNNNNNNNNNNNNNNNNNNNNNNNNNNNNNNNNNNNNNNNNNNNNNNNNNNNNNNNNNNNNNGCUCGCCUUCUCGUGGUCGAGCAGAUCCUGGCACGCUUGGCUUCUGUCUCGCCAUUAAAAGGCUUGAGACAGCCUUUGCAUGCUUUUGCCUUUGGAUCGAGCUCCUGCACGCUUGCUUCUGUCGCCAUAAAACAGGCUUUGAGACUUGCUGAGCCUUUGCAUGCCUUCAAUUCUUCAGGAUUGGAUUCUGCUCGCCUUCUCGUUGGUCAGCAGAUCCUGGCACGCUUGGUUCUGUCUCGCCAUAAAAGGCUUUGAGACUUGCUGAGCCUUUGCAUGCCCUUUGAUUCUUCAAGGAUUGGGAUUCUGCUCGCCUUCUCGUGGUCGAGCAAGAUUCCUGGCACGCUUGAGCUCUGUCUCGCCAUAAAACAGGCUUUGAGACUUGCUGAGCCUUUGCAUGCCUUUCGAUUCUUCAAGGAUUGGGAUUCUGCUCGCCUUCUCGUGGUCGAGCAGAUCCUGGCACGCUUGGCUUCUGUCUCGCCAUAAAACAGGCUUGAGACUUGCUGAGCCUUUGCAUGCCUUGAUUGUUCAAGGAUUGGGAUUCGCUCGCCUUCUCGUGGUCGAGCAGAUCCUGGCACGCUUGCUUCUGUCUGCCAUAAAACAGGCUUUGAGACUUGAUGAGCCUUUGCAUGCCUUUGAUAUUCUUGAAUGCUUUGGAGUCUGCUGCCUUCUCGUGGUCGAGCAUAUCCUGGCACGCUUGGCUUCUGUCUCGCCAUAAAACAGGCUUUGAGACUUGCUGAGCCUUUGCAUGCCGUUGAUUCGUUCAAGGAUUGGGAUUCGGCUCGCCUUCUCGUGGUCGAGCAGAUCCUGGCACGCUUGGCUUCUGUCUCGCCAUAAAACAGGCUUUGAGACUUGAUGAGCCUUUGCAUGCCUUUGAUAAUUUCUUGAAUGCUUUGGAGUCUGCUUGCCUUCUCGUGGUCGAGCAUAUCCUGGCACGCUUGGCUUCUGUCUCGCCAUAAAACAGGCUUUGAGACUUGCUGAGCCUUUGCAUGCCUUUAUUCUUCAAGGAUUGGGAUUCUGCUCGCCUUCUCGUGGUCGAGCAGAUCCUGGCACGCUUGGCUUCUGUCUCGCCAUAAAACAGGCUUUGAGACUUGAUGAGCCUUUGCAUGCCUUUGAUUCUUCAAGGAUUGGGAUCUGCUCGCCUUCUCGUGGUCGAGCAGAUCCUGGCACGCUUGGCUUCUGUCUCGCCAUAAAACAGGCUUUGAGACUUGCUGAGCCUUUGCAUGCCUUUGAUUCUUCAAGGAUUGGGAUUCUGCUCGCCUUCUCGUGGUCGAGCAGAUCCUGGCACGCUUGGCUUCUGUCUCGCCAUAAAACAGGCUUUGAGACUUGCUGAGCCUUUGCAUGCCUUUGAUUCUUCAAGGAUUGGGAUUCUGCUCGCCUUCUCGUGGUCGAGCAGAUCCUGGCACGCUUGGCUUCUGUCUCGCCAUAAAACAGGCUUUUGAGACUUGCUGAGCCUUUGCAUGCCUUUGAUUCUUCAAGGAUUGGGAUUCUGCUCGCCUUCUCGUGGUCGAGCAGAUCCUGGCACGCUUGGCUUCUGUCUCGCCAUAAAACAGGCUUGAUUGCGAGCUUUGAGCUUGACUGAGUCCUCCCUCUUGACAGAUCCGCACCUUGCUCUGUCUCGCAUAAACAGCGAACUUGUUUGCAUUUUGUUUUCAAGGAUUGGGAUUCGGCUCGCCUUCUCGUGGUGGAGCAGAUCCUGGCACGCUUGGCUUCUGUCUCGUCAUAAAACAGGCUUUGAGACUUGAUGAGCCUUUGCAUGCCUUUGAUAAUUUCUUGAAUGCUUUGGAGUCUGCUGGCCUUCUCGUGGUCGAGCAUAUCCUGGCACGCUUGGCUUCUGUCUCGCCAUAAAACAGGCUUUGAGACUUGCUGAGCCUUUGCAUGCCUUUGAUUCUUCAAGGAUUGGGAUUCUGCUCGCCUUCUCGUGGUCGAGCAGAUCCUGGCACGCUUGGCUUCUGUCUCGCCAUAAAACAGGCUUUGAGACUUGCUGAGCCUUUGCAUGCCUUUGAUUCUUCAAGGAUUGGGAUUCUGCUCGCCUUCUCGUGGUCGAGCAUAUCCUGGCACGCUUGGCUUCUGUCUCGCCAUAAAACAGGCUUUGAGACUUGCUGAGCCUUUGCAUGCCUUGAUUCUUCAAGGAUUGGGAUUCUGCUCGCCUUCUCGUGGUCGAGCAGAUCCUGGCACGCUUGCUUCUGUCUCGCCAUAAAACAGCUUUAGACUUGUGAGUUUGCUUUUUUUUUGGUUGGAUUUGCUUUUUGGUAGCAGAUCUGGCACGCUUGGCUUCUGUCUCGCAUAAAACAGGCUUUGAGACUUGAUGAGCCUUUGCAUGCCUUUGAUAAUUUCUUGAAUGCUUUGGGAUUCUGCUCGCCUUCUCGUGGUCGAGCAUAUCCUGGCACGCUUGGCUUCUGUCUCGCCAUAAAACAGGCUUUGAGACUUGAUGAGCCUUUGCAUGCCUUUGAUAAUUUCUUGAAUGCUUUGGAGUCUGCUGGCCUUCUCGUGGUCGAGCAUAUCCUGGCACGCUUGGCUUCUGUCUCGCCAUAAAACAGGCUUUGAGACUUGCUGAGCCUUUGCAUGCCUUUGAUUCUUCAAGGAUUGGGAUUCUGCUCGCCUUCUCGUGGUCGAGCAGAUCCUGGCACGCUUGGCUUCUGUCUCGCCAUAAAACAGGCUUUGAGACUUGCCGAGCCUUUGCAUGCCUUUGAUUCUUCAAGGAUUGGGAUUCUGCUCGCCUUCUCAUGGUCGAGCAGAUCCUGGCACGCUUGGCUUCUGUCUCGCCAUAAAACAGGCUUUGAGACUUGCUGAGCCUUUGCAUGCCGUUUGAUUGUUCAAGGAUUGGGAUUCGGCUCGCCUUCUCGUGGUGGAGCAGAUCCUGGCACGCUUGGCUUCUGUCUCGUCAUAAAACAGGCUUUGAGACUUGAUGAGCCUUUGCAUGCCUUUGAUAAUUUUCAAGUUGGAUUCUCGCCUUCUUGUGAGCAAUCUGGCAGCUUGGCUUCUGUCUCGUCUUUACUUUUUCUUUGAUUUUUGAUUUUGUCUCUUUCUCGUGGUCGAGCAUAUCCUGGCACGCUUGGCUUCUGUCUCGCCAUAAAAACAGGCUUUGAGACUUGCUGAGCCUUUGCAUGCCUUUGAUUCUUCAAGGAUUGGGAUUCUGCUCGCCUUCUCGUGGUCGAGCAGAUCCUGGCACGCUUGGCUUCUGUCUCGCCAUAAAACAGGCUUUGAGACUUGCUGAGCCUUUGCAUGCCGUUGAUUGUUCAAGGAUUGGGAUUCGGCUCGCCUUCUCGUGGUGGAGCAUAUCCUGGCACGCUUGGCUUCUGUCUCGCCAUAAAACAGGCUUUGAGACUUGCUGAGCCUUUGCAUGCCUUCAAUUCUUCAAGGAUUGGGAUUCGGCUCGCCUUCUCGUGGUGGAGCAUAUCCUGGCACGCUUGGCUUCUGUCUCGCCAUAAAACAGGCUUUGAGACUUGCUGAGCCUUUGCAUGCCUUCAAUUCUUCAAGGAUUGGGAUUCUGCUCGCCUUCUCGUGGUCGAGCAGAUCCUGGCACGCUUGGCUUCUGUCUCGCCAUAUAAAACAGGCUUUGAGACUUGCUGAGCCUUUGCAUGCCUUUGAUUCUUCAAGGAUUGGGAUUCUGCUCGCCUUCUCGUGGUCGAGCAGAUCUUGGCACGCUUGGCUUCUGUGUCGCCAUAAAACAGGCUUUUAGACUUGCCGAGCCUUUGCAUGCCUUUGAUUCUUCAAGGAUUGGGAUUCUGCUCGCCUUCUCGUGGUCGAGCAGAUCCUGGCACGCUUGGCUUCUGUCUCGCCAUAAAACAGGCUUUGAGACUUGCUGAGCCUUUGCAUGCCGUUGAUUGUUCAAGGAUUGGGAUUCGGCUCGCCUUCUCGUGGUGGAGCAGAUCCUGGCACGCUUGGCUUCUGUCUCGUCAUAAAACAGGCUUUGAGACUUGAUGAGCCUUUGCAUGCCUUUGAUAAUUUCUUGAAUGCUUUGGAGUCUGCUGGCCUUCUCGUGGUCGAGCAUAUCCUGGCACGCUUGGCUUCUGUCUCGCCAUAAAACAAGCUUUGAGACUUGCUGAGCCUUUGCAUGCCUUCAAUUCUUCACGGAUUGGGAUUCUGCUCGCCUUCUCGUGGUCGAGCAGAUCCUGGCACGCUUGGCUUCUGUCUCGCCAUAAAAACAGGCUUUGAGACUUACUGAGCCUUUGCAUGCCUUUGAUUCUUCAAGGAUUGGGAUUCUGCUCGCCUUCUCGUGGUCGAGCAGAUCCUGGCACGCUUGGCUUCUGUCUCGCCAUAAAACAGGCUUUGAGACUUGCCGAGCCUUUGCAUGCCUUGGAUUCUUCAAGGAUUGGGAUUCUGCUCGCCUUCUCGUGGUCGAGCAGAUCCUGGCACGCUUGGCUUCUGUCUCGCCAUAAAACAGGCUUUGAGACUUGCUGAGCCUUUGCAUGCCUUUGAUUCUUCAAGGAUUGGGAUUCUGCUCGCCUUCUCGUGGUCGAGCAGAUCCUGGCACGCUUGGCUUCUGUCUCGUCAUAAAACAGGCUUUGAGACUUGCCGAGCCUUUGCAUGCCUUUGAUAAUUUCUUGAAUGCUUUGGAGUCUGCUUGCCUUCUCGUGGUCGAGCAUAUCCUAGCACGCUUGGCUUCUGUCUCGCCAUAAAACAGGCUUUGAGACUUGCUGAGCCUUUGCAUGCCGUUGAUUGUUCAAGGAUUGGGAUUCGGCUCGCCUUCUCGUGGUGGAGCAGAUCCUGGCACGCUUGGCUUCUGUCUCGUCAUAAAACAGGCUUUGAGACUUGAUGAGCCUUUGCAUGCCUUUGAUAAUUUCUUGAAUGCUUUGGAGUCUGCUGGCCUUCUCGUGGUCGAGCAUAUCCUGGCACGCUUGGCUUCUGUCUCGCCAUAAAACAAGCUUUGAGACUUGCUGAGCCUUUGCAUGCCUUUGAUAAUUUCUUGAAUGCUUUGGAUUCUGCUCGCCUUCUCGUGGUCGAGCAGAUCCUGGCACGCUUGGCUUCUGUCUCGCCAUAAAACAGGCUUUGAGACUUGCUGAGCCUUUGCAUGCCGUUGAUUGUUCAAGGAUUGGGAUUCGGCUCGCCUUCUCGUGGUCGAGCAGAUCCUGGCACGCUUGGCUUCUGUCUCGCCAUAAAACAGGCUUUGAGACUUGCUGAGCCUUUGCAUGCCUUCAAUUCUUCAAGGAUUGGGAUUCUGCUCGCCUUCUCGUGGUCGAGCAGAUCCUGGCACGCUUGGCUUCUGUCUCGCCAUAAAACAGGCUUUGAGACUUGCUGAGCCUUUGCAUGCCUUUGAUUCUUCAAGGAUUGGGAUUCUGCUCGCCUUCUCGUGGUCGAGCAGAUCCUGGCACGCUUGGCUUCUGUCUCGCCAUAAAACAGGCUUUGAGACUUGCCGAGCCUUUGCAUGCCUUUGAUUCGUCAAGGAUUGGGAUUCUGCUUGCCUUCUCGUGGUCGAGCAGAUCCUGGCACGCUUGGCUUCUGUCUCGCCAUAAAACAGGCUUUGAGACUUGCUGAGCCUUUGCAUGCCUUUGAUUGUUCAAGGAUUGGGAUUCGGCUCUCCUUCUCGUGGUCGAGCAGAUCCUGGCACGCUUGGCUUCUUUCUCGCCAUAAAACAAGCUUUGAGACUUGCCGAGCCUUUGCAUGCCUUUGAUUCUUCAAGGAUUGAGAUUCUGCUCGCCUUCUCGUGGUCGAGCAGAUCCUGGCACGCUUGGCUUCUGUCUCGCCAUAAAACAGGCUUUGAGACUUGCUGAGCCUUUGCAUGCCUUUGAUUGUUCAAGGAUUGGGAUUCGGCUCGCCUUCUCGUGGUGGAGCAGAUCCUGGCACGCUUGGCUUCUGUCUCGUCAUAACACAAGCUUUGAGACUUGAUGAGCCUUUGCAUGCCUUUGAUAAUUUCUUGAAUGCUUUGGAGUCUGCUCGCCUUCUCGUGGUCGAGCAUAUCCUGGCACGCUUGGCUUCUGUCUCGCCAUAAAACAGGCUUUGAGACUUGCUGAGCCUUUGCAUGCCUUCAAUUCUUCAAGGAUUGGGAUUCUGCUCGCCUUCUCGUGGUCGAGCAGAUCCUGGCACGCUUGGCUUCUGUCUCACCAUAAAACAGGCUUUGAGACUUGCUGAGCCUUUGCAUGCCUUUGAUUCUUCAAAGAUUGGGAUUCUGCUCGCCUUCUCGUGGUCGAGCAGAUCCUGGCACGCUUGGCUUCUUUCUCGCCAUAAAACAGGCUUUGAGACUUGCCGAGCCUUUGCAUGCCUUUGAUUCUUCAAGGAUUGGGAUUCUGCUCGCCUUCUCGUGGUCGAGCAGAUCCUGGCACGCUUGGCUUCUGUCUCGCCAUAAAAUAGGCUUUGAGACUUGCUGAGCCUUUGCAUGCCUUUGAUUGUUCAAGGAUUGGGAUUCUGCUCGCCUUCUCGUGGUCGAGCAGAUCCUGGCACGCUUGGCUUCUGUCUCGCCAUAAAAUAGGCUUUGAGACUUGCUGAGCCUUUGCAUGCCUUUGAUUGUUCAAGGAUUGUGAUUCGGCUUGCCUUCUCGUGGUCGAGCAGAUCCUGGCACGCUUGGCUUCUGUCUCACCAUAAAACAGGCUUUGAGACUUGCUGAGCCUUUGCAUGCCUUUGAUUCUUCAAAGAUUGGGAUUUUGCUCGCCUUCUCGUGGUCGAGCAGAUCCUGGCACGCUUGGCUUCUGUCUCGCCAUAAAACAGGCUUUGAGACUUGCCGAGCCUUUGCAUGCCUUUGAUUCUUCAAGGAUUGGGAUUCUGCUCGCCUUCUCGUGGUCGAGCAGAUCCUGGCACGCUUGGCUUCUGUCUCGCCAUAAAAUAGGCUUUGAGACUUGCUGAGCCUUUGCAUGCCUUUGAUUGUUCAAGGAUUGUGAUUCGGCUUGCCUUCUCGUGGUCAAGCAGAUCCUGGCACGCUUGGCUUCUGUCUCGCCAUAAAACAGGCUUUGAGACUUGCUGAGCCUUUGCAUGCCUUCAAUUCUUCAAGGAUUGGGAUUCUGCUCGCCUUCUCGUGGUCGAGCAGAUCCUGGCACGCUUGGCUUCUGUCUCACCAUAAAACAGGCUUUGAGACUUGCUGAGCCUUUGCAUGCCUUUGAUUCUUCAAAGAUUGGGAUUCUGCUCGCCUUCUCGUGGUCGAGCAGAUCCUGGCACGCUUGGCUUCUGUCUCGCCAUAAAACAGGCUUUGAGACUUGCCGAGCCUUUGCAUGCCUUUGAUUCUUCAAGGAUUGGGAUUCUGCUCGCCUUCUCGUGGUCGAGCAGAUCCUGGCACGCUUGGCUUCUGUCUCGCCAUAAAACAGGCUUUGAGACUUGCCGAGCCUUUGCAUGCCUUUGAUUCUUCAAAGAUUGGGAUUCUGCUUGCCUUCUCGUGGUCGAGCAGAUCCUGGCACGCUUGGCUUCUGUCUCGCCAUAAAACAGGCUUUGAGACUUGCCGAGCCUUUGCAUGCCUUUGAUUCUUCAAGGAUUGGGAUUCUGCUCGCCUUCUCGUGGUCGAGCAGAUCCUGGCACGCUUGGCUUCUGUCUCGCCAUAAAAAUAGGCUUUGAGACUUGCUGAGCCUUUGCAUGCCUUUGAUUGUUCAAGGAUUGUGAUUCGGCUUGCCUUCUCGUGGUCAAGCAGAUCCUGGCACGCUUGGCUUCUGUCUCACCAUAAAACAGGCUUUGAGACUUGCUGAGCCUUUGCAUGCCUUCAAUUCUUCAAGGAUUGGGAUUCUGCUCGCCUUCUCGUGGUCGAGCAGAUCCUGGCACGCUUGGCUUCUGUCUCACCAUAAAACAGGCUUUGAGACUUGCUGAGCCUUUGCAUGCCUUUGAUUCUUCAAAGAUUGGGAUUCUGCUCGCCUUCUCGUGGUCGAGCAGAUCCUGGCACGCUUGGCUUCUGUCUCGCCAUAAAACAGGCUUUGAGACUUGCCGAGCCUUUGCAUGCCUUUGAUUCUUCAAGGAUUGGGAUUCUGCUCGCCUUCUCGUGGUCGAGCAGAUCCUGGCACGCUUGGCUUCUGUCUCGCCAUAAAACAGGCUUUGAGACUUGCUGAGCCUUUGCAUGCCUUUGAUUCUUCAAGGAUUGGGAUUCUGCUCGCCUUCUCGUGGUCGAGCAGAUCCUGGCACGCUUGGCUUCUGUCUCGUCAUAAAACAGGCUUUGAGACUUGCCGAGCCUUUGCAUGCCUUUGAUAAUUUCUUGAAUGCUUUGGAGUCUGCUUGCCUUCUCGUGGUCGAGCAUAUCCUAGCACGCUUGGCUUCUGUCUCGCCAUAAAACAGGCUUUGAGGCUUGCUGAGCCUUUGCAUGCCGUUGAUUGUUCAAGGAUUGGGAUUCGGCUCGCCUUCUCGUGGUGGAGCAGAUCCUGGCACGCUUGGCUUCUGUCUCGCCAUAAAAUAGGCUUUGAGACUUGCUGAGCCUUUGCAUGCCUUUGAUUGUUCAAGGAUUGUGAUUCGGCUUGCCUUCUCGUGGUCAAGCAGAUCCUGGCACGCUUGGCUUCUGUCUCACCAUAAAACAGGCUUUGAGACUUGCUGAGCCUUUGCAUGCCUUCAAUUCUUCAAGGAUUGGGAUUCUGCUCGCCUUCUCGUGGUCGAGCAGAUCCUGGCACGCUUGGCUUCUGUCUCGUCAUAAAACAGGCUUUGAGACUUGAUGAGCCUUUGCAUGCCUUUGAUAAUUUCUUGAAUGCUUUGGAGUCUGCUUGCCUUCUCGUGGUCGAGCAUAUCCUGGCACGCUUGGCUUCUUACUCGCCAUAAAACAGGCUUUGAGACUUGCCGAGCCUUUGCAUGCUUUUGAUUCUUCAAGGAUUGGGAUUCUGCUCGCCUUCUCGUGGUCGAACAGAUCCUAGCAUGCUUGGCUUCUGUCUCGCCAUAAAACAGGCUUUGAGACUUGUUGAGCCUUUGCAUGCCUUUGAUUCUUCAAGGAUUGGGAUUCGGCUCGCCUUCUCGUGGUCGAGCAGAUCCUGGCACGCUUGGCUUCUGUCUCGCCAUAAAACAGGCUUUGAGACUUGCUGAGCCUUUGCAUGCCUUUGAUUCUUCAAGGAUUGGGAUUCUGCUCGCCUUCUCGUGGUCGAGCAGAUCCUGGCACGCUUGGCUUCUGUCUCGCCAUAAAACAGGCUUUGAGACUUGCCGAGCCUUUGCAUGCCUUUGAUUCUUCAAGGAUUGGGAUUCUGCUCGCCUUCUCGUGGUCGAGCAGAUCCUGGCACGCUUGGCUUCUGUCUCGCCAUAAAACAGGCUUUGAGACUUGCUGAGCCUUUGCAUGCCGUUGAUUGUUCAAGGAUUGGGAUUCGGCUCGCCUUCUCGUGGUGGAGCAGAUCCUGGCACGCUUGGCUUCUGUCUCGUCAUAAAACAGGCUUUGAGACUUGAUGAGCCUUUGCAUGCCUUUGAUAAUUUCUUGAAUGCUUUGGAGUCUGCUUGCCUUCUCGUGGUCGAGCAUAUCCUGGCACGCUUGGCUUCUGUCUCGCCAUAAAACAGGCUUUGAGACUUGCCGAGCCUUUGCAUGCCUUUGAUUCUUCAAGGAUUGGGAUUCUGCUCGCCUUCUCGUGGUCGAGCAGAUCCUGGCACGCUUGGCUUCUGUCUCGCCAUAAAACAGGCUUUGAGACUUGCUGAGCCUUUGCAUGCCGUUGAUUGUUCAAGGAUUGGGAUUCGGCUCGCCUUCUCGUGGUCGAGCAGAUCCUGGCACGCUUGGCUUCUGUCUCGCCAUAAAACAGGCUUUGAGACUUGCUGAGCCUUUGCAUGCCUUCAAUUCUUCAAGGAUUGGGAUUCUGCUCGCCUUCUCGUGGUCGAGCAGAUCCUGGCACGCUUGGCUUCUGUCUCGCCAUAAAACAGGCUUUGAGACUUGCCGAGCCUUUGCAUGCCUUUGAUUCUUCAAGGAUUGGGAUUCUGCUCGCCUUCUCGUGGUCGAGCAGAUCCUGGCACGCUUGGCUUCUGUCUCGCCAUAAAACAGGCUUUGAGACUUGCCGAGCCUUUGCAUGCCUUUGAUUCGUCAAGGAUUGGGAUUCUGCUUGCCUUCUCGUGGUCGAGCAGAUCCUGGCACGCUUGACUUCUGUCUCGCCAUAAAACAGGCUUUGAGACUUGCUGAGCCUUUGCAUGCCUUUGAUUGUUCAAGGAUUGGGAUUCGGCUCUCCUUCUCGUGGUCGAGCAGAUCCUGGCACGCUUGGCUUCUUUCUCGCCAUAAAACAAGCUUUGAGACUUGCCGAGCCUUUGCAUGCCUUUGAUUCUUCAAGGAUUGAGAUUCUGCUCGCCUUCUCGUGGUCGAGCAGAUCCUGGCACGCUUGGCUUCUGUCUCGCCAUAAAACAGGCUUUGAGACUUGCUGAGCCUUUGCAUGCCUUUGAUUGUUCAAGGAUUGGGAUUCGGCUCGCCUUCUCGUGGUGGAGCUGAUCCUGGCACGCUUGGCUUCUGUCUCGUCAUAAAACAGGCUUUGAGACUUGAUGAGCCUUUGCAUGCCUUUGAUAAUUUCUUGAAUGCUUUGGAGUCUGCUCGCCUUCUCGUGGUCGAGCAUAUCCUGGCACGCUUGGCUUCUGUCUCGCCAUAAAACAGGCUUUGAAACUUGCUGAGCCUUUGCAUGCCUUCAAUUCUUCAAGGAUUGGGAUUCUGCUCGCCUUCUCGUGGUCGAGCAGAUCCUGGCACGCUUGGCUUCUGUCUCACCAUAAAACAGGCUUUGAGACUUGCUGAGCCUUUGCAUGCCUUUGAUUCUUCAAAGAUUGGGAUUCUGCUCGCCUUCUCGUGGUCGAGCAGAUCCUGGCACGCUUGGCUUCUGUCUCGCCAUAAAACAGGCUUUGAGACUUGCCGAGCCUUUGCAUGCCUUUGAUUCUUCAAGGAUUGGGAUUCUGGUCGCCUUCUCGUGGUCGAGCAGAUCCUGGCACGCUUGGCUUCUGUCUCGCCAUAAAAUAGGCUUUGAGACUUGCUGAGCCUUUGCAUGCCUUUGAUUGUUCAAGGAUUGUGAUUCGGCUUGCCUUCUCGUGGUCAAGCAGAUCCUGGCACGCUUGGCUUCUGUCUCGCCAUAAAACAGGCUUUGAGACUUGAUGAGCCUUUGCAUGCCUUAGGAAAUUUUCACAGUUUCAAGCGAAUGAAAUUCCUCAUUGAUUCAUUUAUUGCUGAGUUCGGCUUACAUGAGGUUGGUUUGAAAUAAGAAAUCAAAAAUAGAAAACAACGGACACGAACAGAAAAAAAAAAAACUUUAAAACAUGAAUAAGUCUUACUAGAAAUAUUUCCUGAGGUGUGCCGCGCUCCAUGGACGUUUCACCUCGUGGCCCUCCGUGCGAACCAACUUGUAGACUCCGGGUCCAACUAGCUGCCUUUCCCGGCUUCCACUCGGGUACCAAGGUAUGUUAUCUGCAUUGCUUCCCUUGCUGCCGAGGAGUAACAAGUUCGUGCGAUUCUCUGGUCUCCUCGUACCACUCCAACUACCCCAUUCACCCGGUACUUGAGAGCCAGAUAAUGGUUGGACAGCACCGCUUUGCUCAUCCUCAGAAAUGGCCGACCUAGGAUCAUCUGAUAAGGACCUUCCUCAUCCACUACCACAAAGUCCAGUAUCAUUGUCCUUUCUGUCGGGGAGCUCCCAAUCGUGAUAGGCAGCUCGACCACGCCCAGAGGGACCAGCUUUCCUCUUCCAAACCCCUUCAAGGAGGUAUUGGUGUAUUCCAACUUCCGGUCUACUAUUCCCAUCUCCUCCAAGGUUGACUUAAAUAAUACAUCAACUGAACUCCCUGUAUCAACCAGUAUCCGGUCACACUUCUUGCUAGCGACAGUAGCCUUGAUGACUAAAGCAUCCUCGUGGGGGUAUAGAAUUCCUUCCUCAUCUUCAUCCGUCCACAUGAUUGGCACUUGCCUGACCCUUGCUCGUUUGGCUGCUGGGGUGUUGAAGAAUACCUCUUUACUAGUCAUGGCGUAUCUAGCAUAGUUCUUCCUAGAUCUGUUGGAAUCUCCAGCCAAUGUCGGGCCCCCAGCAAUCACCCUUACUGUAGGCUGCUCGUGCCUCAAAUUUCUGCCACUCUGCUCCCCUUCACAUGUCGAGGCCACCAUCGGGAAAGUCCCAUCUACAAACUCGUCCAGGUACCGAUUUCUCACCAAAUCUUCAACCUGGGUCUUGAGAUCUUUGCAUUCUGCAGUGGUAUGGCCAUGAGUGCCAUAGAACUUACAAUGGCGUCCCCUAUCCCUCCUGCUGGGUAGCUUUGUUAUUAGGGCAGGGAGGUACAGCAAUCCUCGGUCCUUUAUGGCCUCGUAUACUUUGUCCAGGGACAUCUUCAAGGAGGUGUAUCGCCCAUACUCCUGGUUUUGGUCAAUCAGGUGCACAGCCCUUUCUCUAUUUGCUCCGUUUUGAGUUGGAGGCGAUGGCAGCAUUUCUGGUCUGCUCCCUCUACUACUGUGGGAGUGUUGAUGAAGACCACCAUAUGCCGAAUCAUGCCUUCUCCAAGGCUCCCUAGCUGGGGAACGAGGAGGGUGCGCCCUGCUGCGCUGAUACUGUGGUGGCCUCUGAUGAGGCUGGUGAGCUGUUAUCCGACCUCCUGUUCCACUACCUGAGGCCUGGAGGUCCCUCCUCCUGAUCGGCCCAUUUCCCGGUAAUGCCCUCUUCUCUUUCUUUUCCAGCCCCUCCAGCUGGUCUGUCUUAAUCCGACCUGCCUUUUCUUCCUCGAUCUCUAUGUCUCUUUUAGCCUGCUCGUAUGCGGCUGCAUACGUCUGAAUAGCUGGGCUUCUCAAGUUGUACCACAGCCUUCCUAUCUUCACUCCCUCUUUCAAUCCCCUUAGUGCCUGAGGAUGGUCGAAGGCUCCCAAAUCGAGGACAGCACGAUGAAACCUCUUGAUGAAUUCCCGAAGGGUUUCUUGCUCCCCUUGCUUCAUGCUUUUCAGCUCCAUCAUGUCAUCUUCUGGUGCCAUUGCCCCACGAAACUGCUCUGCAAACUCCUGGCACAUCUGCUCGAAGGUUUUAAUGCUCCCCCGAGGAAGUUUCUUGUACCACUCUCGUGCACGUCCCUCAAGAGAUAGUGGGAACACCCUGCACCUUUGGGAUUGAGAUAAUCCUUGUACCCCAGUUAUGUCGUUGAAACGCUCUAUGUGCACCAGCGGAUCCGUUCGUCCCGAAUACCUAAGGUCUGGGAGGCGGAAAUCUCUCGGAAUAACUGCCCUCAUGAUCUCUGCUGCGAGCGGUGAUUCUCCGUCCAGCAUUAUCCUCCAACCAGGAGCUCUGCUCCUUCCUUGCAUGUCGUCAAUUAUCUGCGCUAGUCUGCGCACUUCCUCCUCCAGCUGCACUGCGCGACUAGGGUCACGUGCUGCAGCUUGAUCCCGCUCUUGCUCUACAUCAAGCAAGUGUUGCCUCAACUCUGUUUCCUCUGCAUUUGCCACCCUGUCCACUUUAAAUCUGGUGUGGUUAAUGAACAUUUUGAGGUCACAAAAUUUGCACUACUGGAAACAAUAAAGGAAGCAGUACCAGAGAUAUGGUCACCAGAAAUGAAGAGUGCCUGGUCCGAAGCUUGCGAUCAAUUGGUUGCAGCCAUUAAGUUAGAGAUGAAGCCCUCCUCUUAGAGUUUCCUGAACAAAUUUCUCUUCCCUUGUAAUAUUAAAGAAUUUCAACAAGAUCAUUGUUUAUUUGUUAAUCUUUGCAUUGGUACCCAUGUGUGUUUCUUAUGCCUUUUUGUAUCAAUCCUUGUGUUCAACUCUUAAAUCUUAAUAAUAAAAGUUUGUUCCUAAUAUUUGCAUUUAAAUAUUAACAUGUGUGUUAGAUGAUUUGCCUCUUUGAUUCUGUUGCUUCAUUCCCGUGCAUCUAUCCAAUUAUACUGAUUAGUCCUAAACUGGUUUCAAUGCUCUUAACAAGGAAAAGCUUCAAAAUAAGCUCUUCUUUUUUAGUUGUAAGUGUGUUCUCUUCUGUUGAGUUAUUAAUGGAUCAGUGAAAAGGGCUAACAAUUCUUUUGGAAUGUGUUUGCACUAUGUAUAACAACAAUAAAUGAACUCAAAAGAUUAACGUAUAAUGAAGUUAACUUUCUAUAAUGAAGUUUGUUGUGUUUAAUUUAUAUCAUAUUUGUUCUUUUCUAUUGAUAGUGAUCCAGUUGAAAGAAAAGCAGGGGAAGAAAAAAUGGACAACAUCCAAGAAGCAUCUCAUGCCUUUAAGCCGGCAAAAAUUUCGUGCUUCUAAUGUUUUCUUGCUGCUGAAUUCUUGAAUGUAGAAGUUCAACAGUCAAUUCUCACGAACCAGUUGGCGUUUUGCAGCUUGGAAGCUCUAUACUUGAGGUUUUGCAGUUUGCAAUUUGCAGUCUGCAGAUUGUAAGUUUUGAGGGGAGUGUUAUGGUUCACGCUUGCGCAAAUAGAAGGAUAAAGAGAAUGCUCACGUGCUGCACAGGUGGAAUUAAAAGGAAAGCAAUCAAAACCAAAAAGCAAUCAAAGCAAAAGAAAAGUAAUCAAAGCAAAAAGAAAGCAAUCAAAGCAAAAUGCACCGUUUUUACCAAUAUUCCGGGGGCGGAUUCAGGGUUUAAUUCGGGGUAAAUAGCUUUUUCCCUAUUAUAAACACCUGAAGUCAAAGUUAAUGUUUUAAUUUCUUUAGUUUGGUAAAGACUGCUUAAGCUGACUUGAAAAGCUCAAAUAUAAGUUCUAUAUUAACAAAUGCCCGCAGCUUGUGAAGACAUAGAUAAUUGAAGCCGAUGAGGCAUAUUUAACAGAUGAUAAUCAAAACUAAUGUGAUUAAAAUUAUAAUUCAAUAAUUAAGCACAUAAAACAACAAGUAACUAGUUGUAUAUAUACCAAACAACAUUUUGAAGUUAAGGCGUAAAACAGCAACAUAGAACAAAUUAAUUAAAUAUACCAGCACCAAUACUCUUAUUAUUAUCCACAUAGAAAAGAACAAUAUAUCAAACAAGGAAAAUGAAAUAUUGUUAAUAACUCAAAAACCACUAGUGUCAAGGACUAGACUAAUAAGUGAAACCCAUAAUUGGAGGAUAAUUAUGUGCACAUGAGUUCGCUUAGCAAAAGUCCGCCUAGGCGUGGAGUGCGCUUAAAAGCGGGAUGCACUUAGAAGUGAGAUGCGCUUAGCAAAUCAUCCAAGCCCAACCCAAGAUCUAGAACUCUCUGUAAAUUAUUAAUAAGCUAAAGUUUUUAUGUUUCUCCAUGUAGGUCCCUAGGAUAUUUAUGGAAGUUGCUAGGAAGUUUCCUCCCCUAGAACUCUAAUACCUAUAAAUAGGGGUGGGCCGCCUCAUUUGCCCACCAAUCACACCACACACACAAACACUCCAGCACACACACACAAGCUCUCUAGCUUUUGCAAAAAACUCUCUUGUAUAUUCUCUCUUUGUGAGUAAUAAAAUCAUAUUCAGCCAUAUUGCUCUACAUAAAAUCAUAUUCGGCCAUAUUGCUCUACUUCUCUCUAGCAUUUUCCGCAAGUGUUCUUGCUUUGCUAGUUUGAGGAGUGGUCUAGGCUUGCUUAGCAACUUGUUUGCUACAAGGACAUCUUGGUCACAAAACAUGGACAUGCAAGGAAAAAAAAAUAUUGAUACGUUCUAAAAAUAAUACGCAUUCUUCUACAGUGAACCAAAAAAUUUAGGCUAAUGGUAGCAAGUGAAGGAAUUGUGAUUUCACGUGCAUUUUGUUGACAUGAAGGUAAAGAACUUUUUUAUAGUUUAUAUUGUUUAAUAUAACAUUUGAAUUGCAAAAUAGGGGUACAAAAUUGAUACACGAAGUGAGAAAACUAAGCUAAUUAUGAUAAAUAUUGAAUUAAAAGAUUUAGGUUUAAUCAUAAAGACAUAAGUGGCCCACAAAGUCAUGAAUUGAUAUCAUCCACGAUGCAAGUUCAAAAAACUGCAUAAUAAGUUGCCCCAAGCUAAACUAUUAAUCUAGUAACUAUUCUAGUCGAUGUGGGAUAAUUUUCCUAUCACCAUCUAUCACGUGCAGGCCGAAUUUGUUGCUUGGUCCUUACAUGUGGUAAGGUAAUAUGAAUCCACUUGCGCAUGAAUUUGGCUCCGAUAUUAUAUAGAAGCCUAUGACACAAAAUUAUACUUAAAGGUUAUUUCAAGAUUUGAGGGUUGCCUCAAGCUAAUAUUAUUAUUAGCCUGGUAACCCUUUUUUUUUUUGUUGAUAUGUGAUAUUUUCCCUAUAACUUUUAUUAAUCUUUAUGCUUAUGUUUUGUCAUUUAUCCCAAAAUAUAACAAUAACAAAAGUUCCAAAAUUUCCUUCAAGAGAUAUAUUUGAGACAAGUAAUUUGUGCAAUAACUUUGUGAAUUGAUGAGCAAAUUCAGAGAAAAGAAUAUAUGUGCCAAACGUAACGUUUAUUAUUGUGUUUAUUUGUAGAGCUAUUUAAAGCCCAAAAAAAAAAAAAAAGCACCGGUCCGCUAUUAUUUCAAAUAAGUUCAAGCCCUAUGUCAUUAUUGGUACAAAAAUGUAUUAGAAUGGUUAAAAACUAUUUUUAUUUAACUUAUAAACUUAGGAAAUUAUCAACUGUUCACCCUUAAAUUGCAUUGUUAUAAAAAAUAUUACAACAUUUUCAGGUUGUAUCAUUCAUCUACCAUAAAUUUACAAUUUGCAUCAUUUAUCCACCAAAUCAUUAACUUCGUUAAAAAGUGAUAGACGUCACAAGGGUAAUUUAGACAUUUAACACACAAAAAAAAUAAAAGAGAAAUUAUCUAAGCUUACCAUGUUAUCAAAAUUGCUACAAAAUUUUAAAUUUAUUCAAUUUUCCAAUCUAAGUUUAUGACCUCCAAGAUGUUAAUUGCAGUUUGUAAUUAAUGACUUCAUAAGGAUAAUUUAGACACUCAAUAUGCAAAAUAAAAAAUAAAAUAAUGGCUUAAAACAUUAAAACAAAAAACUACUUUUUAUAAUUGAUAUUCAAUUAAAUACACAUAAACUCUAUUUUUUUCUUAAUUAAAAAAAUUCUAAUUUAUUUUCUCAAUUUAUCAUCAUAAAUUUACAUUAAUAAACUAAAUCCACAAAUUACCCUAAACCCUAAUUCAUAAAUGCCCAAUCAAUCUAAUAGUUUAAUUCGAUUUCAUAAUUAAAAAAGCUAAAUUUAUUAUAUUAGUUGUGGUGCAAAGUCAAAAAUGCCCUUAAAUUCAAGGUAAAAUAACAUUUUAUGUAAAUUCUAUAAAUUAUUCUAACAAUGUUAACAUUUUGGUGGACGGUUAAUAUAAGUUACAAACUUAAAAUAGAAAAUCAAAUAAAUUCAAAAUUUCAAACUAUUUAGGGCAAAUUUAGGAUAUAUGGUUAAUAAUUUUCCCAUGUCUUUUUACAUUGGUUGAUAUAAGUUACAAACUUAAAAUAGAAAAUCAAAUAAAUUUAUAUUUUCAAACUAUUUAGGACAAACUUAGGGUAUAUGGUUAAUAAUUUUUCUUUAUCUUUUUACGUUAAAUUGAGUUUCAAAGGUAAAAUGAUCAAUUUAUUAUAAUUCUAUUCAUUUUUUAGUGGAAGCAAAUGAUAUAAUGGACGAGUGAUAUAAAUUGUAAAAUUCUAUUCAUUUAAAGUGCAUGAAUGAUACAACUUUAAAGUAUUGUAGUAAUUUUAAUAAUAGAACAAUUUAAGGGUGGAUUGGCAAUAAUUUAAACUUUAAUGAAGCAACUAAAAAAAUUUGUUAACAAAGAAAAAUAAUUGAAUGCUUGGUGAAACCAAAAGUAAUUGAAAAGCUUUAAGAAAAAUAAAGGAAAUUAAAUAUCUUUAUAAAAACAUAAUUGAGUAAAAUCAUUUUACAAAAUGCUCUUUCAAAUGCACAUUCCACAAGCCAGGGAGAACGGGUGGCUAACAAAAAUGUCACUUUUUAUGAGUUUAUAAAAUCUCACUUUCGCUAAAUUAAAAAAUAACCAAUACUAAUGACACAAAAAAUAAAAAUUAUUGCUGUCACGACAUUACACACUUUCUUCGCAGUUUAGAAAGGUGGAACAUUUUGAAGUUCCUCAAUACAAAAUGCGUGCUACUACUAAAUUGGCCCAAUUAAUGCCCAUCGAAAAGGCCAUCAAUUUAGCCGCCAAUUUUGUCAAAAUUUCAACAAUUGAAGAAAUAAUGAGCACAAAUGGAAAAAAAAAAUCAUAAAGCUACCAAAAGGAACCACAAAAUCAUCAAUAUUAUCGUUUAAUAUGGGGAACGGCCUGCGCAUCCAAAUUGUGCGAACUGAACACGUUGAAAUGUGUUUUUUUUUUUGGAUUUUUGGAAUUUUUUAAAAUCAUUUAUGUUCGCUGCCAUCUUUUUCUUCGCUGGCGUCUUCAUUGGCAUCCCUCUCUUGGCUGGCAUCUGCCUCGUCUGCAGUUUGCUGUGCCUAUAUAUCCAACCAAUAAAUUGGGCAUUAAAUACGAAUGAUGAAUAAAAUGAUUAAAAACAAACAGAGAAAAUUAUAAUAUAACACAUAUAUAUUGAAAGAGAAAUUUUGAUUUUAGGAUAGAUCAAUUAGCUAUCACAAACGAAAACAUGUACCAACUAUGUAUAGAGUCAAUUAACUAAAGUUCUCAAGAGUUGACCUGUGCUCCUGAAUCCUUGGAAUCAUCUAUCUCCUUCUGAAUUUCCACGAAGCCUGGGACAAUCUUGAACAACAACGUUAAAGGAUGGAAUUGAGAUCUGAUAACCCGCAGGCCAAAUGUUGGUGAGGUUUGGUAAGUUUAUCAGUUCCACCCGAAGUUCAUUCAUAACAAUUUCAUUGUAAUCCGUGACGUCUGCUCCAUCUUUAUGCCAGAAUACUUCUUCUAAUUCAUCAUUAGCUGCUAUGUUUAGGUUCUUCAGUUUUUGAAGACUUGGAGCUACGCUGAUAUGAAAUAGAUGCUUUAGUUUGGGGCAAUAAGCGACAGUGAUCUCUGUGAGUUUUGGGAAACAUACAGGUUGGAGAUGAUCCUCAUCCUCAUCCUCAUCAAUGAUUUGCUCUAAUUCCCAGCAAUUGCGAAUGUAUAACUCCUUCAAACAUGGGAAUAGUUUGUUUUCUGGUCCCUCAGCGAUAAUAGCUUCCAAUUGAAAUACCACCUGUACUCCAAUUUCCCUAAUAUGCAAUUCUUCCAAAUUUUUUAAUCCGUGCUUCAACAGUGCUGGAAUCGUGUCACUCAAAUGGGAACAAUUGUCCACAUCUAGAGUAUUUAAGUUCUGAGACAAAUAAAUAAAUAACUUGAUGCAAUUAAAAUUUAUUAGCAGCUAGGAUUAUCACAUGAUAAGUGAUGAACACCGCAAAAAUAUCAUAAUACAUAUGUAAACUAAUAAAAUAAUUAAAAAGUAAUGGAUUUAAAAAAAAUGAAAUUAGUUAAAAGAGAUCAUGUGAAGUGAUAUAAAUGUGACAGUAGAUUGUUUUAGAAAAAAAUAUUAUUCUAUUAAUUUAUAUGGCUUGAUAAACUAUUUAAUUGAAUUUGAAUAAUAUUAUAUACACUUCUGAAGUAUUUGCAUCAAUUCUUUCUAAACCAAAAUGAGAUAUGACUUUCAUUUGAAGAAUGGUUUUAGGCCCUAUAAUAAAGAAAUUUUCCUAAGAUAUCUGAGCAUUAUUAUUAUCAUUACCACAUCCACCACCACCAUCAUCAUCUCCAUAGGAUCAAAUAAUUGUCAAAAGUCAUGGCUGGCAUCGGCCAUCUAGAUGGCCAGUGCCAUGCGAUUCAACACGGCCCACCAUUAUUGGUGGUGCCGCGUUGACUUAUUCUAUAAAAAAAAAAAAGGAGCCAAAAUUUUGGCUAUAUAAAGAGGGCUUCCCACCCUCAUUUUGCAUUCCAUUACGAGAGAGCAAUUUAGUAGUUGAGAGAGAGUUUAGAGAGCUUGAAAUUAUAAAGCUUUUGUUAUAGUGAUUUAGAGAGUUUGGGUGUAUUGAGAUUUUUGGGAAGUGAGCUAAAAUACUACAAUACUUGUAACUCCUUUUCACUAGUAAAAUAUUUCCUUCUGUUUUUGCCCGUGGACGUAGGCUAAAAGCCGAACCACAUAAAUUCUGGUGUCCUCUAUUAUGCUUGUUCUUUAUUUUCUUCCAAUUUCACUUUAGCUGCUUGUCUGCUUCACCCACCAAUUUCCUAACAGUGGUAUCAGAGCUAUUGGUUGUAUUUUUUUGAGUCGGGUACUGUUCACGUAAGGGGUACUAUUCACGUAUACGGUACUAUUCACGUAUACAGUACUAUUCACGUAUACGGUACUAUUCAUGUAUACAGUACUAUUCACGUGAAACGGUGGGAGCGAUCCAAGAAUUUUACGGUGCAAAGCAGGGAAUAGUGGUGUGAGUAAAACAACUGUGUGGUUUUGUACAUGUCUAGGAAAGUUAUGUCACAAAGGCGAUAAGAGCUUAAGGAGUCUGGGUUUUAAGUGGGACCAUUGUGACCCCUCCAGUCUUUCCUGGGAACUUUCCUGGUGUGCAUUCUCACACAUACUUACAACUAUUCAAGGUGGUACACUAGUUUGUGUGCGGUAUUUAUCAACAAAAUGGCGGCAAAGUAUGAAAUUGAGAAAUUUAACAGAAACAAUUUUUCGUUGUGGAAAAUGAAGAUGAAAGCUGUAUUGAGGAAAAAUAAUUGCUUGGCAGGAAUUGGAGAAAGGCCCAUGGAGAUAACUGAUGACAAGUGGAAUGAGAUAGAUGGCAACGCCAUUUCUGAUCUACACUUGGCACUUGCAGAUGGAGUAUUAUCCAGUGUGGCAGAGAAAAAUACAGCGAAGGAAAUAUGGGAUACUCUUACAAAAUUGUACGAGGCCAAGUCACUACACAACAAAAUCUUCUUGAAGAGGAAACUUUAUACUCUUCGAAUGACGGAAUCUACAAUGGUGACCGACCACAUCAACACCUUGAAGACUCUAUUUUCACAACUCACAACGUUGGGUCAUAAUAUAGAGGAGAAUGAACGAGCAGAGCUUCUACUUCAAAGUCUAUCAGAUUCGUAUGAUCAACUCAUCAUCAACCUAACGAAUAAUAAUCCAGUGGACAAUCUAGUUUUCGACGAUGUUGCAGUCUCCGUAUUAAAUAAGGAGAGUAGGCGGAAAAAUAAAGAAAACAGACAAGCAAGUUCACAGCAAGCGGAGGCGCUAUCGGUGACGAGAGGGAGAUCAACAGAACGUGGCCCCAGUGAGAGCCACAAUCAUGGUAGAUCAAAAUCCAAAAGUAAGAAGAAUAUUAAAUGCUACAACUGUGGCAAGAAAGGGCACAUCAAGAAAAAGUGUUGGAGUAACCAGAAGAGAAGAGAGGGCAAAGAACCUGAGUAAUCAAAUGCUCAGGGUUGUGUAGCAAGUACCUCGGAUGAUGGCGAAAUUCUCUACAGUGAGGCAACAACUGUUUCAGAAGGCAGAAAACGACUAUUUGAUGUCUAGCUUAUAGACUCAGGAGCUACCUGGCAUAUGACCUCUCGGAGAGAAUGGUUCCACACAUAUGAACUUAUCUAAGGAGGAUCUGUAUAUAUGGGUAAUGAUCAUGCCUUGGAGAUCGCUGGUAUUGGUACUAUCAAAAUAAAAAUGUUUGAUGGUACAAUUCGCACAAUUGGGAAGGUACGACAUGUCAACGGCCUGAAGAAAAAUCUAUUGUCUUUGGGACAAAUGGAUAGUUAUGGGUAUAAAACUCAUGUGGAGAAUGUAAUUAUGAAGAUCGUUAAAGGAGCGCUUGUAUUAAUGAAGGCAUAAAAGAUCAGUGCUAAUCUAUUCAUGCUUAAAGGAGAAACACUACAGGAGGCUGAUGCGUGUGUCGCAUUUAAUGGAGAAGAAUCAACGAUGAUGUGGCAUCUCAAACUUGGCCACAUGUCAGAACAAGGUUUGAAGAUUCUCUCUGAGCGAAAAUUGCUUCUGGGGCUCAAAUCGGUAAGUUUACCAUUUUGCGAUCAUUGUGUUACAAGUAAGCAGUAUAGAUUAAAAUUUAGUAGAUCUAUUGCUAGAAGUAAAUGCAUUCUAGACUUGAUUCAUUUUGAUGUUUGGGAAUCACCGGAUAUAUCCAUGGGAGGUGCAAAGUACAUGGUGACUUUCAUUGAUGAUUAUUCCAGAAAAUGUUGGGUGUAUCCAAUUAAGAAAAAGUCAGAUGUAUUUCCAGUGUUUAAAGAAUACAAAGCGCGGGUGGAACUUGAAUCUGGUAAAAAGAUCAAGUGCUUGAGGACAGAUAAUGGUGGAGAGUAUACAGACGGCGAGUUUCUUGCUUUCUGUAAGCAAGAAGGUAUUCAGAGACAGUUCACGCUAGCAUACACUCCUCAACAAAACGGAGUGGCGAAGCGGAUGAACAGAACUCUUACAGAAAAAAUAAAAGCUAUGUUGAGGACUGCUGGUCUACCCAAUUUAUUCUGGGCAGAAGCAGCCAAAACUGCUUGUUAUAUAGUAAAUCGGUCGCCAUCUACAGUUAUUGGGCUGAAGACAGCGAUGGAGAUGUGGACUGGAAAGCCAGCUGAUUAUUCAUACCUACAUGCAUUUUGAUGUCCUGUGUAUGUGAUGUACAAUGCCCAAGAAAGAAAAAAACUGGAUCCAAAAUCUAGAAAAUGUAUCUUCUUGGGAUAUGCUGAUGGAGUAAAGGGGUAUCGUCUGUGGGACCCCACUGCCCACAAGAUCGUCAUCAGCAGAGAUGUUAUAUUUAUAGAAGAUCAACUGCAAAGGAAAGAUGAGGAUGAUAGCACUAUAAAAGAAAAGUCAGAGACUGUACCGGUAUAUGUGAAAAAUAAUCCAGAAGAUUCAUAUUCUUCUGAAGCAGCACCAGAGCACGAGGAACAAGAACCAGUCGAGUCCGAGGCUCAAGAAGUUCGUCGAUCAACUCGUGAGAGACGACCGCCAACGUGGCACUCGGAGUAUGUUACAGAGAUCAACGUUGCAUACUGUCUUCUAACAGAGAAUGGAGAGCCUUCAACUUUCCAUGAAGCUUUAAACAACUCAGAUGUUACUUUGUGGAUGACAGCAAUGCAGGAAGAAAUUGAGGCUCUACACAAGAACAAGACAUGGGAACUUGUACCACUACCACGUGGAAGAAAAGCCAUUGGAAACAAAUGGGUCUACAAGAUCAAACGUGAUGGCAAUGACCAAGUGAAGCGGUAUCGUGCGAGAUUGGUGGUGAAAGGAUAUGCUCAGAAAAAAAGUAUUGACUUCAACGAGAUAUUUUUACUGGUGGUUCGACUCAUAACAGUCAGAGUAGUCUUGGUGAUGUGUGCUACAUUUGACUUACAUCUUGACCAGUUAGAUGUGAAAACUGCAUUUCUUCAUGGAGAACUUGAAGAAGAAAUAUAUAUGCUCCAACCAGAAGGUUUUGCAGAAACAGGAAAGGAGAACUUGGUUUGCAGGUUGAACAAAUCUCCAUACGGUCUUAAACAGGUGCCGAGGUGUUGGUAUAAGAGAUUUGAUUCCUUCAUUGUGAGUCUUGGAUACAAUAGACUCAGUUCAGACUAUUGUGCAUAUUACAAGAGGUUUGAAGACAAUGAUUUCAUUAUUUUACUGUUGUAUGUGGAUGACAUGUUGGUAGCAGGCCCCAACAAAAAUCAAAUCCAAGAAUUGAAGGCACAGUUGGCUAGGGAGUUUGAAAUGAAGGACUUGGGACCAGCAAACAAGAUUUUAGGGAUGCAAAUUCACCGAGACAGAAAUAACAGGAAGAUUUGGCUUUCGCAGGAGAAUUACUUGAAGAAAAUAUUGCGGCGCUUCAACAUGCAAGAUUGUAAGUCAAUUUCUACCCUACUUCCUGUUAAUUUCAAACUAUCCUCAAGUAUGUGUCCUAGCAAUGAAGCAGAGAGGAAGGAGAUGUCUCGAGUAUCGUAUGCAUCAGCAGUGGGAAGUUUGAUGUUCGCUAUGAUAUGUACAAGACCAGACAUUGCACAAGCAGUGGGAGCAGUCAGUCGAUACAUGGCGAAUCCUAGUGGAGAGCAUUGGAUAGCUGUGAAGAGGAUUAUGAGAUACAUCAGAGGAACCAUCAGAUGUUGCAUUAUGUUAUGGAGGAUCAGAGUUUACUGUCAGGGGCUAUGUGGAUUCAGAUUUUGCAGGAGACCUUGAUAAAAUGAAAUCUACUACUGGUUAUGUGUUUACACUUGUGGGAGCAGCUGUAAGCUGUGUUUCAAAACUGCAGACCGUUGUAGUUUUAUCUACGACAGAAGCAGAAUACAUGGAAGCUACACAAGCUUGCAAGGAAGCUAUUUGGAUACAAAGGUUAUUGGAGGAGCUCGGGCACAAACAACAGAAAAUUCCUGUGUUUUGUGACAGUCAGAAUGCCUUGCACAUUGCAAGGAAUCCAGCCUUUCAUUCCAGGACAAAGCACAUAGGAGUUCAGUAUCACUUCGUUCGUGAAGUAAUGGAAGAUGGAAGUGUGGAUUUGCAGAAAAUCCAUACCAAAGAGAACCUAGCAGAUGUUUUGACCAAGCCGAUAAAUACUGAUAAGUUUGUUUGGAGUAGAUCUUCUUGUGGCCUAGCAGCAACAUAAGCAACAUGACUACGACGAAGCAGAAAGGAUAAUGUGGAGAUUGAUUAAUUCUCAAUCUAAUCUCCAAGUGGGAGAAUGUCAAAAGUCAUGGCUGGCACCGGCCAUCUAGAUGGCCAGUGCCAUGCCAUUCAACACGGCCCACCAUUAUUGGUGGUGCCGUGUUAACUUAUUCUAUUAAAAAAAAAAAGGAGCCAAAAUUUUGGCUAUAUAAAGAGGGCUUCCCACCCUCAUUUUGCAUUCCAUUAAGAGAGCAAUUUAGUAGUUGAGAGAGAGUUUAGAGAGCUUGAAAUUAUAAAGCUUUUGUUAUAGUGAUUUAGAGAGUUUGAGUGUAUUGGGAUUUUUGGGAAGUGAGCUAAAAUACUUGAUGGGUGUCGAAGCCAACAAAAAUAAAUUCCUACUCUAAAUAAAUUGUGUAUAGUGAUUGAGCAGGGUCGUGUCCACAGAGAUCGGUAAUUAUUUAAAUCCUUUUGAAACGUAAAACGUAAAAUGGGGGAAUUGUAGACAAUAAUAAAAAUCAAAUUAAAUAACAAGAAUGCAAAUUAAAGUUGUAAUUCAAAUUGGAGAAAGCUCUGGUUGAAGGAAUUAACUAAGCUUGAUUCGACUACUGAUCAUUGAUUCAAAUAUAGAUUAUUAUUACUCAUGAAUAGACCGGUUAUAGCUAUUGAGACCCUCUAAUAGCCAAUCUCUCCUUAACUAGUCGAUAACCAAGGUACGACCGUUAGUUAUUUCCCUAAUCAAUAGACAACCCUAGAUACGAUCAUAUGAUUUAAUCAAUUGACAGCCUGAAAAACCAGAGAGACCCAAAUCCUAAUCAACACAUAUGAUGAUUCAUUUAAAUUAGAUUGUUUAUUCUCACAACACAACUCUCUGCUAUGUUAUUUGUCACAAACAUUAAAUUCUUAAUACGAUGAAUCCUUUAAUUGACAAUAGAUUAAGUUGAUAAUUAAAUAGUGGUCAAUUACCUAAUUAACAAACAUAAUCAUGAAACUAAUUCAGAGAAUAAACAAAUACCCAAAAAGUAAUAAAACAAUUAAAGCAUAAGAAAGAUCUCACAGUAGUGAUGAAUCAAAGCUUCAUUAUCCUUCAACCAGAAAAAUAGGUUUAGUUCUUCAUAGAGAGAAGAGAAUCUAGGGUUUCUUUCUUCUUCUUCAAUCCAAAAAUCCCCCUUUUUCACAAUAGAUUCCUCCCUUAAAUACUCUCUCUCUCUUCUCUUUUAGAGUUCUAUUUAAAAUAAAAUACUAAUAUCUGAAAUAUUAAAUUUGUAAUUACAAAAAUAACCAAAAAUACAAAAUACGUUAAACUAAAAACUGCAGGUCCGUAGUUGACAGCACGCGCCCACGCCUUAUCAACAAAGUUCUUCUGACGCUCAUAAUUUCUCCAAGAGAACAAUCAUCAUUAAAUAUCAUCUUGUAGCUUAAUUUUAUCACCAAUCAAUAGAAUUGCACCUACAAAAGUAAAACACAAGUAAAUCACUAUUAUUAAGUGCAAAACAUCGAUAUUAAGGGAAGUAAACAAUGCAAAACUAGUGCUUAAAUUGCACUCUAACAAAUUCCCCCAUACCAAGAUGAUGCUUGUCCUCAAGCAUAUAACUCAAGACUAAUCCCAAAUCUCCACUCAAUUCUCAUCUCAACUCAUCCAAAAACAAUUUUAAGCAAGUAUACCUCAAGAAAUUAAGUCGAUCAACAUUCGAGAGACAAGGAUUUUAAAGCAUAGAAUCUCAUAAGAUAGAAUAAGAACAUUCAACCACUAAGAAGAUCCAUUCAAAAUUCAAGUGCAACAAGAUUUAAUAGCCCUCUCAUUGACUUCACUCCAUGCACUCAAAGUGUUUAGGGUGUCAUUUAUUCACUCAAAUCAAAUCAAAGAAUGCUAUUACCAUAAGCUUGCUUAUAUAUCACAUCUCAAUCCACAAAACAUGAAUUAAAUGCAAAAAUCUAAGGGUCUUAAAAGGUUGUAACGGGGUUAAAUGGGUUAAAUGAAAAAGAAAGGUUUAUGAAAGAAAAAGAGAUCAAAAUGAGAAGAAUGAACUCAUUGAACGAACUUUAUGAUAUCGAAACGCUUAUUUCUACUCAAGUCACCAAGAAUGUAAACAUUUUUUUUUUCGAUCUUUCUUUUUCUUUUUUCUUUUUUUCUUUUUUUUUUCUCUUUUUUUUGAAUCAAACAAAAGAAACGAACCUUGCACAAUUUAAUUCAAGCAUAAUGCUUGUUGAUCUAAUUGAGAAACUUUAUUACAAGGUAGAAAAAGCAACAAAAUAUAUCCACACAAUGAGUCCAAAAAUCUCCUUAAAUUGAGGCUCAAAAAGAAGAAAAAUGGUUAAGUAGACGGAGAAAAUUAGAUGGGUAAUGGUUAAGGCUCAAACAAAGAUAGCAAAUAAAGGUCUUCGAGUAGAGAAAAAAAAAUGCGAGAAUAGAAAAAUGGAAAAGGGUUUGCCCUUAUCAUUUUAAUGCAUAAAAUCCCGUAAUGCGGCUUCAACAUGCAUAACAAAGCAAGUUCUAGAAUAAACAAACUAAGAUUGAUAUUCACAUAACAAAAAUAUUAGAGCAAAGUGGUUGCUCAUAGGCUCAAAUCCUCACAAAGUUGGUAAAUUUGCCAUCAAAUCAUGUACACUCUUCAAAUGAAUCAACCAUCAAUAGUGGUGUAGAAUGAGAAGAAGGUAUGAGUGAAGGAAAGGUAAAAAUGAUAAGAAAUGAGAAAGAUGUAUGUAGUAAUAUGAAAAGUGAAAGAUAAAAUGUGAGUGAUGAAAGAAUAUGGUAAAAUAAAAAUAGAUAUGAAUAAUUUGAAAUAGAUGGGAAAAAAGUAGUGAGAAAGCGAGGAAAAGAAAAUUAAUAAUAUAUGAAGCAUACUAACUCCAAAAUCAUUUAAGGAUGAGUAGAGUGAAAAUAGAUGAGUAGAGUGAAAACAAUAAUUUCAGACAUCAAUAAUGCAAAAAUCCCUCCCCCACACCAAGAACUUACAUUGUCCUCAAUGUAAAAUAAUCAAAGCUCACAUAAAAAUUAAAGCGUAAAGAUAAAAGAUUAAAGGAAAAAAAAACUUCCCUGAAUUGUGAACUUUGAUCCACAUAACGUCUAUGGUUGCGUUGUGAUUGCUGCUCGGCUGGAGCUUGCUUGAUGGACGCGGGAUGGAGCUGAUUGUGUUGCGCGCGCGCGCUGGGGCUGCUAGAUCUGCGCGCUGCGUGGGCUGUGUUGCGCGUGAGAGCUGGGCUGACGCUGGUUCUGCGCGCUGCUGGGCGAAGGCUGGAUCUACUCACGCGGGUUGCUGCUCGCUGGACGCGGGAUGCUGGUGCUGCUGGUUGCGUUGCGCGCGCGGGACUGAUGCACUGCGCGAUGGUGAUGGCUGGAGCUUUCUGCGCCCGGGCUGGUUGCGUUGCAGGUGGGACUGAUGCGGCUGCGUUGCGCGCGCGAGAACUUGCGUUUUCCGGCGGGCUAGUUUGCUACUGGUGUGCUGCAAGCGGCUGGAGAAGAAAACAAGAUCUGGAAAAUUAGGGAUUUUGUGAACAAUAAAUUUUUUUUUUUUUUAAACAAUGAUGAUUUUUUUUAUUAUAAAUAAAUAAAUAAAUAUAUAAAAGAAGAACAAAACAAAAUCUCUUUUUUUGUUUUUUUUUUUAAAUAAAAUUAAAUUAAAAAAAAUUUUUUUUUUGAAUCACUUUGAGACACCAAAAAUUUCAAAAGUACUUUUUUAAUAAGCACGUGGGCAAGCCUUAAAACUAUUUUACUUUAAAAAUUACAGAAGUACUUUUUAGUUAAGACGUGGGCACGCCUUAUCGAAAAUUUUCUUUUGGCCAAAAUAAGCAAACACAUUAUUUUUUAAAAAAAAUCGGAAUCAAAAUUAAAAGAAAAUAUAACAAAAACCAAAAUAAAUAAAUCAUUUGGGUUGCCUCCCAAAAAGCGCCUUUGUUUUAUGUCUUUGGCUAGACACAUUGAUGCAUCAAUCUCCAUAAUUGGGACUCUCGAGAGCCACAUCUUCCACAAUAUUUACCGAAAAACCUUCAUAAAAAGGUUUUAAGCGAUGACCAUUAACCUUAAAAACUUUGUCAGAGGUCGGACUCCGAAUCUCAACUGCACCAUAAGGAAAAACAUUAGUAACAAUAAAAGGUCCAACCCAGCAAGAACGUAAUUUACCCGGAAAUUACGUCAUGCAUAUCCAUAUGGCUACAUCAUGGCUUUACUAAGAGAGCAUGCUGGCAUUGUUGUUGCUAAUUCAACCUUGAUUGGUGUUUCAGAACGAGUUGCUGAUGAAUGUAAGGGGCUGCCUUUAGCUAUUAAAGCUGUUGGAAGUGCACUAAAAGGUAAAGGAUUUGAUGAGUGGAAUCUAGCUCUAGAUAAACUACAAGAUGCAAAACUCAAUACAAUCGAAGGUAUUGGCAAUGAGGACCAAGACGUUUACCAUUGUCUCGAAUUUAGUUACGAUUAUUUGAAUGGUGAGGAUUCCAGGUCGUGCUUCUUGUUGUGUUCUUUGUUUCCAGAGGAUUGUGAGAUAUAUUUGGAUGAUUUGGUUGGAUAUGCAGUGGGGUUGAGAUGGUAUCGAGCUGAGUCAAUUGAAAAAGUCAGGAGCCUACUGAGUGGAACGAUGAAAGAGGUCAAAGCUUCUUCAUUGCUGUUAGACACUGGCAAUGACAGAUCUGUGAAAAUGCAUGACGUAGUCCAUGACGUAGUCCAUUACAUAAUUUACCUUUUAGUGCACUUCCAACAGCUUUAAUAGCUAAAGGCAGCCCCUUACAUUCAUCAGCAACUCGUUCUGAAACACCAAUCAAGGUUGAAUUAGCAACAACAAUGCCAGCAUGCUCUCUUAGUAAAGCCAAUCCUUCUUCUCGCUUUAGAACACCUAGUUGAAUCCGCGUGUCACAACCCAUGCGAUCACAAACUGGCUGCAGGCGAGUGGUUAUAAGGAUUUUGCAACAAUUGUCUUUAUCACCAACAGGAAUACCUACUGUCUCCAAGUCGAGUUCAUUCCAGACAUUAUAAGAAGAAGAAAUUAAGAACCAUAACAAAUUUGAUGAUUCUAAUUUGCUAGAAAUAUUGCAAUCCAAAACUAAGAAAGUUAAAACCAAUUAUUUGAAGAAAAAAGUAGGAUAGAAGCUCCCAGAAUAUUGUUAUGUGUUGUAUGUUUUCAGUUUGUAUUUCCCAAUCAAUAAGGAAAAGUAAGUACACAUGUUACAAAAAUUUAAUAAAAAAGAUUGGAGGUGACAAAACCUAUCAAUCUUCUAAUUAACUUUCUCUCCUUUCGAAUUUCCUGAGUUUGGUAGAGAUUGCUUAAGUAGUGUAUCUAUUAUAAACAGGCAAAACUAUGUUGCAACAGUGGUAUGGUACUACUGUUGCAACCAGCCAUUGGAUCUAUAAUUGUUCAGUUACAUUAGCAAGAUCCAAUGAUUGAAAGCAACAUUAGUACCGUAUCACUGUUGCAACAUAGCUGGACCCAUUAUAAACACCUGAAGUCAAAGUUAAUGUUUUAAUUGUUAAGAAAAGUUAGAAGAAGAAAUUUUUGUAUAAGAGAAUUGGGUUUAAAUUUAGAAUUCUUUGGGAGGAAAUGAGUCAAAAUUCCAAUAAUAUAAUUCAGCAGUAUUUAUAUAUAUCAUUAGUUGGGUGAAAAAUUAAUUUCCCUCCUUUGAUGUGAUUUUCAUAAUUUAUUUUCAUAUGAUGGUAAUUUUUUGUUUAGAGUGAAGUUAUUGGCACCCUUUCAUUAUCCUUAUAAAAUCCUACUUCAAAUAAAAUUACACUUAAAGACAAUAGAAUUAAAUAACAUAGUUUUUUUUUUCAAACAAAUUACUCACAUUCAUAAUUUUUUUUCUUCUAAUUUUCUACAGGUUGCUUUGUAUCUAACUAAAAUAAAUUGUACAAAUUUAGAAUAAUCUAUUAUUCUUUUUAAAUUUCUUAUUGAUUAAAUAUUUGUGUGCUUAAGGUAGCUUUAAAAUUAUAAGAUAAAAUAUAUAUAAUUUAAGCCAAUGAUUAACAUUCAAAAAUUUAUCUCUCAUAAAAGUUUUUAAUUUGUGCGUAGGGUAAUAAUAAAAUUGCAAAAGAAAUGAAAAAUAGCAUAGCACUAUUUUGAGUUUAAACAAUAAAAAUUUAAAUGAAAAAUUAGAAGUGUAUUUAAAAAAAAGGAUAUUUUUAAAAAUAAAAUAAAUAUAAUUAAAAAAAAAAGAGUUUCAUGAGGGGUGCAAUAGUUCAACUCUUUUGUUUAUAAGUUUUAAGAUGUUGGUAUCCGUAGCUUAGCUUUUCCCUAAUUAUUAUAUUAAAAUGUAACAACAAUGAUGAUCAACCCUAAUUUCGUGGAGGUCAAAGAUUUUGGUCAUGCCGCAUUAAUUAGUUCGGUCAUACUUUCUACAAAUUUAUUUACAUUUAAUAAUUUGACCAAGACUACGUAAGGCGCCGCCUGGAGUCAUAGAAUUUUAUAUGUCGUUUAAUAUGCUCAUUUUGUAUUUUUUUUAAAAAGUUUUAUUAAUUUUUUUUUGUUUUUAAAAAUAUCAUUUAUUUAUUUAAAUUUUUUUAAAGGUAAAGAAGUGGGUAAAGUUUAAAUUCAAUUUUUAUCCCUUACAUCAUGGCCCCUAAGAUUUGAACUAAAAUCUUAAAAAUGAAAUUGUAAAGAAAUCCCAGUUCGUAUAAAAGAAAGAAAACAAAAUUAAGGAAAACAUAAGCACAACAAAAUUUGACUGAUUAUUAAAAAUGAGAAAUGAGUUAUAAUGAGAAUUUUAGCUUUGUCGUGAAAUAAAUUGGGAAGUAUCCAAAGUACGCAUGUAAAUAAUGUAAAUGAUAAGAAGACGAAGGGAACAUAAUGAUAAUAAGCAAGCCAAAUAUUAAAAUGCAGAUUCUACGCUUCCGCCCCCAUACUUCAAGUUAGUGUCUCGCUAAUCAUUUUAGAUGUAUCAAUUACAAAGGGAGGCCAUCUAUUUAUGGUAAGCGUACGCCUCUAAUGCUUUGCCAAGUGUCCAUUGAUAAUAUCACAAGGGAAAUUAAAUUGGUGUAUGUGUAUUACACCUCCUAAAGUCAUGUUAAGAUAGUUAGUGAGCUGAUAAAGUUUGUUGCACGUGUGAGUUGGUUAAAUCUGCUAGAAAUGCAAACGUGUAAAGCUGAGUUAGCAAGUUAGUUAAGGUUGUUACGAAUUCUUAGAUUCAGCUCACGUGUAUUGUAUGUAAUACUUAGAUUCAGGUCAUGUAGAUUGUGUAAACAACUUUCUAAUAUUCUUUAGAUCUCAAUAUAAAUACUUGUAAUCAACAAAUACAAUAAUAAGAGUCAUCAUUCUUCAUUUUCUCUCUGUUUCUCCAUAUUUUCUCUACAUCCAAACACAAUAUUCUCAGUUCUUGACUUGGUAUCAGAGUUGCAGUUUAAUUGUCAUGGCUUCCUUAAGCACAAAUUCAAACACAAAUCAGUCUCCUUCAUUCUUUACCCUCACAAAUGCGAUCAAACUGGACAGAUCUAACUAUACGAUCUGGAAAUCUCAGAUCCUCUCUUCAGUGCGUGCCAAUGGACUUGAAGGCUUUCUUAAUGGAACUAAAAUUUGUCCAGAUCAGUUACUUACUCAAGAGAUUGAAAGUUAUGGUGUUGAAAAUACUGGUGGUGAAAGCUCAGCUGAUAGAUCUCAGGAGAAUCCAGCCUUUGUUGCUUGGAAAAGGUAGGAUCAAUUAUUAUUAAGUUGGCUCAUGUCCUCCAUCAGUGUUGAGAUACUUAGUCUUGUGGUAAAUUCUGAUUCUUCUCAUAAACUUUGGACUAAUCUUGAAGAAAAUUUUUGGAUUAGAAACUAUGGCUAAGAAAGCACACUUAAAAAUGAUGUUAAGCAAUCUCAGAAAGGGAUCAAUGACAAUAACUGAGUAUUUUGCCAAACUUAGAGCUGUAACUAAUAAACUUGCUGUAACUGGUAGCCCUGUUUCUACUCUAGACUAUAUUACUCAUCUAAUAUCUAAAUUAGGCCAGCCAUACUACCCUGUUGUUUUGUAUAUUGAAGCUAUUGUUUUGUAUAUUGAAGUUAAUAUGAUGAAAAUAUUUGUCAAUGAAGCAUAUUCUAUGCUUUUAACUCAUGAAGCAAGAAUUAAAGCUAAUCAUCCAAGUGCAAAUAAAGAAGCAAAGUUGAAUUAUGCUGCUAACAUAGCUUAGGCUGGACCUAGUACUAAAUAACAAUAAGAAGUCUAGUAAUCAAGCUAAUUACUAUCAGGGCAACCAAGGUAACUGGAAAAGAAAUGCUCAUUGGUGUGGUAACAAUGGAGGAAGAGGUGGCUUUGGCAGAGGUUUUUCAGGGCAAGGAAGGGGUAAUUAGAAUAAUGGUGGUCAUUGGAACAAUGGACCUUGGAGUAGUAGUUGAGGAGGCUAUAAUGGUUCUGAUAUAAACAAUAUGACAUGGUUGCUGGUGAACCUGUAAACAUAACCAAAAAAGUAAGAAGGCAUAAUUUUUUUAUAAGAAACUCAAAAAUAUAUUAAUGAUGAAAAUUUUAAAACAGAUAGUGGACCAGCUGUCCAGUAAGAAAACAAAAAAUUGAAUAUUUGUGCUAUAAAAAGGCACACCCAAUCUCACCCCUAUAAAAGGCUAGAAUCAGCUACAAAUCCCUAUCUCAAAACCCCAUCCCAGUUUAGAUGAAUGAAGAAAAAAGAUGAAUCUUGAAACUCCUUAGAAACUGAAUCCCAAAGUGAAGCAAGAAGAUGAACUCUAUCCCAAGCAAGCAAUAUGGCAUAUUUCUCCAUUAAUGGUUAAAAUAGGAUAAAAGCUCGUUUCAUCCUUAUAUUUUAAUAUUCGUGCCUAUUUAGUCUCUGUAUUUUAAAAAAUACCUCAAAACAUCCUUAUCCUUAAAUUAUUGACAUUUCUGCUGUUACUUUUUGUUUUUUUUAACUUGCUUUUACAAUAUUACCCUCUUACAAUAAUGUUUCUUUUUAUAAAGUUAAUAAAAAAAUUAAAUUAUCAAUUUAACCCCAAAAAUAAAAUAAAAACAAAAAGAAUAUAUUAAUUUUUGUGAAAGCUUACAUGUGUCUAAAAAUUUUUUUAUUGUAAAAAUAAUUAAAUUACCUUGUUUUUGGACAUUGGUAAUAAAAAAAUUAAUAUAUUAAUUCCUCAGCAGUGUGUUACAAAAAAGUAACAUAUAUUAAUUUUGUUUCUAUUUUAUUUUUUGAGAUUAAAUUAAUAAUUAUUUUUUUUCUUUUUACUAAUGUCCAAAAAAAAUAUUAUAAGAGGGUAAUAUUGUAAAAAUUAAGCCAAAAGUAACAAAAAGUAAGAGGAAAUGUGCUAAUAAUUUAAUGUCAGGGAUGUUUUGAGGUAUUUUAAAAAAUAUAGGGAGUGAACGGGUACUAACCUCAAAAUAUAGGGACUAACCGAGAUUUUACCCGUUAAAAUAAAGUAGAUGGCUGUCUUGAUGAAUGGGAAAUUGUCAAGAUCAAUAUUCAAACUCACGCAAAGUAAACGGACUUAAUUCUCAGGGGCUACUCAUUCUAAGUCUUAAAGAAAAUUUUUCUAAUUUCUAAAGAUUAUAUGGGGAAAAAUCAUUAUUUUCUAACAUGGAAAAUUUGAUACGGUGUUUAAUGUCUGAUCACAAUGAUAAUAUGAGUACUAACAAAAACAUCUUUAAUCGGCAUGGUGCGAGUAAAACACCUUUGCAAUCCAAUCAGCGAACGCCUUUGCAUUAGGCACAGUACCCGAGAGGAACACAAAUCGGGAGUCCUUUGGAGCCAUCACAAUGCUCUCUUCCCAUACCACACCUCUCUCACGAUCACGCAUGUAAUGUACCUCAUCAAAUAUAGCCCAAGCCACUUCACGCGUAAUCUCUGAGCCUUUGUACUGCAUACUACGCCAGAUUUCAGUAGUCAUCACCUGAAAUUAAACUUCAUAUAAGCAAUCCACAAAUCAAAGCGCUGCAACACCCAAAAGAUGACACUACCAAGUUGACCUACCAAACAAGAAGCAUUAGGGUCAAUUGUGACAUCCCCAGUCAUCAAACCGACAUCUGAAAACUCUUCUUUAAACUCCCUGUACUUCUGAUUGCUGAGUGCCUUAAUCGGUGAAGUAUAUAUCACACGUUGCUUAUUCCGCAACGACAUAGCAAUAGCAUACAAUGCUACCACAGUCUUCCCAGCAGAUGUAUGGUUCGAUACCUUUCAAAUAAAUGAAAGGCAAUUAAAAAAAGAAAAGAAAAAAAAAAACUAUUUUUAUUUUCACACAAGAUAACACUUCAUGCAAAACUUCUUAAUUCUUAUCGGUGAGCUGAAAAGCAGAGCGCUUUGUACAAAAGCACUUCCAAAUUCGAAUUAAAUUUUUUACAAAAAAUUACAGCUUUAUAUAUAUGUGUGUGCGCGUGCGUAUAAUAAUAAUAAUUAACGAACCGUAACGGACUGGCCGUUGUCGAGGCACUUGAUAGCUUCGGACUGGAAUGGGUCGAGAGUGAAAAGGAAUUCCUUAGCAGGUUUAGCGUCAGCUUCAGCCACUUGACCAAGACCCAUUAAACAUAAAACGCGGCGUUUUCAUGGACUAGUACAUUCCAUGCUUCGAAAGUUUUAUGUUUUAGACUGAUUGGUUUGAUACAUUAUUUGUUUAUUGCGUUUUUCUUGCUUUAAAUAUUAUGUUGGAUUGAUAAGUUUUGUACACAUUUAUAUUGCUCGCAGUAAAUAAUUUAUUACAUUUAAAAAACUAUCAACCGUCUAUCGAAAGAUUUCUACUAUAAAUAUAUAUACACAAAAAACUUUUAAUUUGGUCUAUUUGUUCUCUUAUUUAUUUUUGCUCUAUUUCUCUUUUUCUUUCCUUUCAUUUUAUUGUUUUAUGGUACAAAAAAAAAUAACCUUAAAAUUUAAGGGUAAAAUACUCAUUUUACUAAAUUCCGUUUAAUAUCAUAAUGCUGUCAAUGGACAAUGGCAAAGUACACGAGUGAUACAAAUUAAAAACAAAUAAAUUGAAAGUUUUUAUGUAUUUUCCUUUUAUUUUUUUAUAGCCGAUUGAGAUUUCCCUUCGUAUUCUUAAAUUCAAUACGUUUAGACCGUUUAAAAAAUUUUAAAUUAAAAAAAACCCGUGGUGUAAUAACAAACUCACAUCAAAUCCUGUCCACUGUCAUCCCUAAUAAUAUUUACCACUUCAUACUCAAGUGUGAUAAUAACUGUGUAUCACAAUUGAUUUUACAUACGGGUAAAAGUUCCAAGUCCGGAUAUUUAGUUAAUGAAAUUGAUGAAAAGGGCAUGAAAGAAAAUAAGAAAUUAAAUAAUACAGGUAUUAAUCAUUACAUAUUUAGUUAAUGAAAAUUGAUGAAAAUAUUUCUGCAGACAUGAGCCGUAAUUAUAAUACCGUUAAGAAUGAAGCAGCAGAGUUUCCCCAAACAAGCUAAAACACGGCACCUGAAUUUAAAGAAUUUUUAUGUCACAGUAUCGGGACAAAAAGUUUAAUGCAACAACAUACAUUAAGUUAAUUCCAUAAUCUAUCACCAAAGAAAGACAAACACAAGCUUAUAAGAUUAAAACUUUGGAAAACAUUGAAGAGUCGGACAAAAUUGUGUAACCUUCAGAGUUUAGAGCCUAGUUCAUCCAGGAAAGCAAAAGAAAAUAAUAAUAAUAAUAAUAAUAAUGGUGGUUUGAUCUCAAAAGGUGGCAUCAAAGUGGUAACUUUGAGGUAUUGGAAGCAAUAACGUCUUCAACUUUGUCCUGAUUUCGAAGUCCCUUAACCCAUCCGCCAUCAAUGGAUUGAAUGCUUCCAUUCAACCCAUCAUCCACAAAAUCACCAACCCGUUUCACCUUCAUCUCCUCCGCUUAACAGGGUACUUCCCAGAGAAGCUAGCAUAACAAAAAUUCUGAGAAUCAUUGCCUAACAACUUGUUCAAGAUGUCAAUCGGCAGAAAAGCAAGCAAAUCACACCCAAUAAACUCCCUGAUUUCCUCGACGCUCAUCCUGUUGGAAAUCAACUCCUCAGUACUCGGAGUGUCCACUCCAUAGUAACAAGAAGCUAUGAUUGGUGGGCUUGCAAUUCUCAUGUGAACCUCUUUAGCUCCAGCCUCCUCAAGCAACCUAACAAUUUUCGAUGAAGUUGUUCCUCUCACUAUCGAAUCAUCGACAACCACAACUCUCUUUCCCUCCAACACUCCCCUUACAGGAGAGAGCUUAAGCUUGACACCAAAGUCCCUAAUCUUCUGGGAAGGCUCAAUGAAAGUUCUCCCAACAUAGUGUGACCUUAUCAACCCUUGUUGAAAUGGCACCCCGGCUUUCGCAGCGUACCCAAGUGCAGCCACCACUCCAGAAUCUGGUACUGCAAUCACGACAUCACACUCAACAGGAGCCUCGGUAGCAAGUACUUCCCCAAAAUGAUUCCUCGACUCAUAAACAGACCUUCCAAAAACAACAGAAUUAGGCAAAGCAAAAUAAAUAUGCUCAAAGAUGCACUGCUUAGGUUCAGGGUGAGGCAUCAAACAAAGUGAUUGAACCCCAUCUUUAUCCACCAUCAAAACUUCUUGGGGAUGUACCUCCUCAAUCAAAUAGUGCACAAGUCUCUGACGCAAAAACCACAGCACCAUUACUCCUCCUACCUAUCACCAACGGCCUAAACCCGUACGGGUCACGAACCGCAACAAGCUUAUCCUCAGUAACAAACACCAUUGAAUAAGCACCCUCAAGCUUCUCACAAGCAUCCACAAUCUUCAAAAAGAACGGCCUAGCUUUCGAUAUCGCAAUCAAAUGGAGAACAACCUCAGUAUCAGAACUAGUAUUAAAAAUGGAACCAUUAUCUUCAAGCUUAGCCCUCAAAGUAUUAUAGUUAAAUAAAUUCCCAUUAUGUGCAACACCAACAAAACCAAACCUGUACCCAGCAACAAAAGGCUGCACAUUCUUAAGCAUGCAGUCGAAUAUCUAACAUGACCAAUGGCCAUAUCGCCAGGCAAUUGAUCAAGUUUAGACUGAUUAAACACAUCCGAGACUAAACCAACACCGGUAAUAGACUGAAGAACUUUAUUAUUCACAGCAACUAUAACUACACCUUCUUGGCCGCGAUCUGCAGAGCGUGCAGCGCCAAAUAGCACAAACGCGAGGCCUCUGGGUCACCGUAUGAAACGACCCGCCCCGAAUCCCCCGUGCGAGUCAAUCUAGUCUCAUCAAAACGGAUUUGAUAAUAAUCUAAUUAGUAAGGAUUCUGCCGAAAAUUCGGCAGAGUCUCCUUUAUAUAUAUAACACUCCCAAUCUACAAAUAUGAAUAUAACACUCAUAAUAUAAUUCAAUAUACAACAAACUCCAGUGAUCAACAUCCUCAACCAAAAUGCUGAGUUUUAUAUCUCCAGAGUCUCAAAAGAUAAUAUUAUAACUAAUAUUAAUAUCUAAGUUUAUUCUUAAUCCCAAAAGAAUAAUAUAAAAAAAUUAUACAAUCCCAACAGGACGAGAUAACCAAGAUGUCCUAACAAAAACAUUUAUAUUUUCUAACACCAUCACGUGGCCAAGACUCAAAAUAUAUUUACAGUCGCUGGGUCGGUCUGGUGUACCUGCAACCUCCUGGUGAGGGGGGGGGAAAUAUAAUAAAAACGGGGUGAGUUUAAAACUCAGUGAGAUCAAUGAGUGGAUAGUAGUUUUUGAAAAUUAAUGCUUACUUUAAAAGAAAUAUUCAUAUAAUUUCCAAACACGAUUUCAUCAAACCAUAUGCAAGAAACCAAUAGUAAAUCAUUUAACAUUUAAAUCAGAUUACUAACCAUGAAAAGCAUAUAUAAUAUCGUACCAAAUAACCAUGGAAAUCAUAUUACAAUAUCAUAUAUAAUACACAAAUUUGAAAAUCAUCACCAAACAAGUACCCAGAGAAAUAAUCUCGUCAUAUCCGGACAUCAACGGACGUGCAAUGACGUACUAUAUGGGUACCGUCACGCCCCGGAGCUACACGGAUAGACAGGGAAAUAUAAUCUCAUAUCUCAUCAUAUCUUAUCAUAUAUGUGCAUGCAUAAUCUAGUCCCCAAAGGACAAAAACGCCCAAGCACAUGGCCCAAAGCCUCUGUGUGUACUCAGACGGGCCCCAAAGGCCUGUAUCUCAUCUGUAUCAUCUGUAUCUCAAUAUCUGUCUGUAUCUCAUAUCUGUGUAUCUGUAAUCAUCAUACCGCAUGCAUAUGCCCUCAAAAGGCAAAAACGCCCAAACACACGGCCCAAAGCCUCUAUGUGUGUUCAAACGGGCCCCAAAGGCCUCUCAUCUCAUCUCAUCUAUAUCACUGUAUCUGGAGGGGAAGGGUACUGUCUAGUGAUUUCAAAAACAAUCAUUAUACUCAUAUUCACAUACUUUUUUAACCAUAUUUUAAAUCAUACCACAUUUGAAUCCACUUUUCUUAUCUUUAAAAUACUAUCAUGCUUAUUCAAAGUCGAUACGAAAAAUCAUUAACCAAACAUUUUAAUAAAAUACCAAUGCGUGGACAAAAUCCAUUUCGAGGUAAUCAUUAAAUCAGAUCAUUUAAAAUACUUAUUUCGCAAACAUACUUUACUAUCAUAAUUAACUAUGAAAAUAGGUUUUGUAUAUUCCACUCACAGUGACGGUGUUCACGCUCGGUUAUCGUCCACGUCCGCGGACCUAUUCUUGCUCGCGGAUCCUCCUAAAUCAAGGAAACGACAUAAAUAUUUUCCGUAAAACAGAAUUAAGACUAAAUUUAUGCAAUAAACUCGAAACGAACAUCUAUCCAUAAUUUACAACUCCCGUGUCGCUAAAAUUACUAAAAUGCCCUCGAGUCCGUAAAUCAGUAAAAUACUUCGAAAUCGGAAAUCACCGAAUCACCCUCGGAAUCGUAAUUACACCCAAUCCUCACUUCUAGGAAUUACUAAAAUAUCAAUAGGCUCAGAAAUUACAAAAUUGCCCUCAUAGUGUGAAAUUACCGAAAUGCCCUUGUGAUGGUUGUCGAAGCCAACAAAAAUAAAUACCUACUCUAAAUAAAUUGUGUAUAGUGAUUGAGCAGGGUCGUGUCCACAAAGAUCGGUAAUUAUUUAAAUCCUUUUGAAACGUAAAACGUAAAAUGGGAGAAUUGUUAACAAUAAUAAAAAUCAAAUUAAAAUAACAAGAAUGCAAAUUCAAGUCGUAAUUCAAAUUGGAGAAAGCUCUGGUUGAAGGAAUUAAUUCAGCUUGAUUCGACUAUUGAUAAUUGAUUCAAAUAUAAAUUAUUAUUACUUAUGAAUAGACCAAUUAUAGCUACUGAGACCCUCUAAUAGCCAAUCUCUCCUUAACUAGUCGAUAACCAAGGUACGACCGUUGGUUAUUUCCCUAAUUAAUAGACAACCCUAGAUACGAUCAUAGAAUUUAAUCAAUUGACAGCCUGAAAAACCAGAGAGACCCAAAUCCUAAUCAACAAACACAUACGAUGAUUCAUUUAAAUUAGAUUGUUUAUUCUCACAACACAACUCUCUGCUAUGUUAUUUGUCACAAACAUUAAAAUCUUCAUACGAUGAAUCCUUUAAUUGACAAUAGAUUAAGUUGAUAAUUAAAUAGUGGCCAAUUACCUAAUUAACAAACAUAAUCAUGAAAAUAAUUCAGAGAAUAAACAAAUACCCAAAAAGCAAUAAAUUAAUUAAAGCACAAGAAAGAUCUCACAGUAGUGAUGAAUCAAAGCUUCAUUAACCUUCAACCAAAAAAAUAGGUUUAGUUCUUCAUAGAGAAAAGAGAAAAUUUAGAUCUAGGGUUUCUUUCUUUUCUCCAAUCUCCCUUCUUUCACAAUAGAUUUCUCCCUUAAAUACUCUCCCUCUCUUCUCCUCUAAAAUUCUAUUUAAAAUAAAAUACUAAUAUCUGAAAUAUUAAAUUCGUAAUUACAAAAAUAACCAAAAAUACAAAACACGUUUAAACUAAAAACUGCAAGUCCGUAGUUGACAGCACGCGCCCACGCCUUAUCAACAAAGUUCUUCUAACGCUCAUAAUUUCUCCAAGAGAACAAUCAUCAUUAAAUAUCAUCUUGUAGCUUAAUUUUAUCACCAAUCAAUAGAAUUGCACCUACAAAAGUAAAACACAAGUAAAUCACUAUUAUUAAGUGCAAAACAUCGAUAUUAAGGGAAGUAAACAAUGCAAAACUAGUGCAUAAAUUGCACUCUAACACCUUGCCGGUCAACGGUCACCGAAAUUUGGUCAACGCUGGCCGGGAAGCUCAAGUCUGAAAGUUCCAAUCACGCUAAGUUCAAUGGUACCGGCGGUGAGCUCCAACGCGCAACAACGACGUCGGAAUCUAGCUCGGCAGCCGUGAAUUCCAACAAUUGACCGGCGGCGAAACAGUGACUCCCGGUGACUAUGGAUGGUUGGAAAUGGAAGAGGGAGUCGUGAGGAACAAAAUCCAACCGGUGGUGUCACCCAAAACUGGUGAAAAUCCCGGCGGAACAAAACGAUACAGUCGCGGGUUUUCAAACUUUGAUUGCCGGCGUUCCGGUUGGUUUUCGGCGGCCAGGAUGGCAGGGGAAUGAUGGCUGGCUUCUAAGUUUCAGAUUGGUACUAAGCUCGGCCGAAAUAGUGGCCGGAAAUAGAAGUUAUGGCCGGGUCAAUUUCGCGGGUCGGGUCGGGUUUUCCGGGUCAGUUGAUAGCUUCUGUUACUCUCACACGUGUGUGUAUAAGUUCCAUGUUUCUAACUUAUUCUAUUAUUUUUAAUAAAGUCUUUAACCGCCUCAAUUUCAUUUUUAAUUCACAUAUGUUACAAUCCUCCCCCCUUAUAAAAAUUUUGUCCUUGAAAUUUACGUACCUGAUAAGAAAAGAUAUGGAUACUGAGCUCGCAUUAAGUCCUCGCGUUCCCAGGUAGCCUCUUCCUUUGUAUGAUUCCUCCACCAUACUUUUACUAGAGGAAUGGUCUUAGAACGUAGAACUUGGUGUUUCUCUUCCAAUAUCUCCACUGGUUCCUCUUCGUAAGUCAAAUCUUCCUUCAACUGAAUUGGUUGCUUCGAUAACACAUGACUCGGAUCAUAUAUGUACUUCUGGAGCAUUGAGAAAUGAAAUACAUCGUGGAUUCUGGAUAACUCGGGUGGUAGUGCUAAUUGAUAAGCUAAUGGACCGAUGCGCUCAAUGAUCUCAUAUGGCCCAAUGUAACGUGGACUUAGCUUCCCACGUUUCCCAAAUCGAAGCACCCUUUUCCAAGGAAAUAUCGGUAUGAAAACUCUAUCAUCAACUUCGAAUUCAAGUUCCCGCCUACGCUUGUCUGCAUAGCUCUUUUGUCUAUCUUGAGCCACCUUUAAUCUAUCCCGGAUUAAUUGUAUCUUCUCGUUAGUAUCCUGGACAAGUUCUGGACCGAAUAACCUCCGCUCACCAACCUCAUCCCAACACAUUGGAGUCCUGCAUUUUCUACCAUACAAAGCCUCAUAUGGUGCCAUCUCGAUACUAGCUUGAUAGCUGUUGUUGUAAGCAAACUCCAUCAGAGGUAAAUGAUUGUCCUAAUUACCUUUAAACUCCAUAACACAAGCUCGCAACAUAUCCUCCAGAGUUUGAAUAGUAUGCUCUGACUGUCCAUCAGUCUGUGGAUGAAAAGUUCAACUUUGUGCCUAAGGCAUUUUGCAAGCUAGUCCAGAACUUAGAAGUAAACCGGGAAUCUCUAUCUAAAACUAUAGACACGGGUACUCCGUGAAGUCGAACUAUCUCAGCCACAUAAAUACUCCCUAACUUGUCCAUCGAAUAGGUGGUUUUGAAUGGUAAAAAAUGAGCAGAUUUUGUAAGUCGAUCAACGACCACCCAAACACUAUCAUAUCCUUUCUGAGUACGUGGAAGUCCUGCUACAAAAUCCAUGGUGAUGUGCUCCGACUUCCACUCAGGAAUAGGAAGCGGCUAAGAACACCCUGCAGGCCUCUAGUGUUCAGCCUUAAUCUGCUGACAGACUAAACAUCGAGAAACAAACUCUGCUAUCUCUCUCUUCAUACCCUGCGUCCAGUAAUGAUCCAUCAGGGUACGAUACAUCUUCGUACUACCAAGAUGCAUCGCAUAUGCUGAGCAGUGAGCUUCUUCCAUAAUCUCUUCUUUCAGAUCUUUAAUAUCAGGUACACAAAGUCUAUUACCCAUGACUAAGACUCCGUCGCCUCUCACCGUAAAAUCGGUUCGUAAACAUUUUUGCACAUCCUCUUUCAACUUCAUUAACUGUGGGUCCUGAGCUUGCAUCUGGUGAACUUUGUCCAUCAAAGUCGGCCUAACUCGAAAAUUAGCUAUCAAAACUCCACAAUCGUCAGCGUUCAACUCGACUCCCAAAGAUCUCAACUCGAUCAACAGAGGCAUCUAUUUCACUCGCAAGUGAGCUAUAGAGCUGGAAGACUUCCUACUGAGUGCAUCGACUAGAAAAAAACAUACCUCUUUGAGAUACUACAAAUUGGCUUUAAUUCAGUACUGUUGAUGGUCAAGUUGGGAAAGUAAUGAAGCUGUAACUCUUCCAAUGCUGUCCAAAUUGAACAAUAAUUUUCUGAACAGAAGCUAACGAGUUCUGGGAGACUUCGAAGUGUUAAUUCUCUUAACAAAGGGAGGGCGAGCAUCGUAUUUCCAUCUCUGACACUUAUUUCCCCUUCAUUGUGAUCAAACUUUGCUUCGACAAUACAUUCCAGCCUGUCGCAAUAAGUCACACUGAGACUUUUAAGCUGCUCCAAACUUUGAGCUUGUGAUAACGUGAAGAUAUAUGUCAAAUUAUGGCAGCCAUACACACUCAAUUCUGUAAGAGUUUGGAGGCUGAUCACAUGUUGGGCAGGCGUCUUCCAUAUCCACUUUGCUAAUCUUGAGAGCACCUCAUGAUUCCCACUCUUUCCAUGCGGCGACUGAGAGGCAUCCACUAUGCAUUCUAAAUCUUCACAAUAGUUGACAAAUAGAUGAGUCAACUCAUUUAAGCCCCCUUAAUCUAUGCUUGGAACAAUAUUAUGGAGACCUAUUAUCCUCCUCAAAUUAAGAAAUUUCAGAUUUUGACACAAUGUCGAAAAAAUACUGAGCGAGGCCGCUUCACAAUAGUUAAUCAUUAAGCACCUGCUCCGUCCAAAAAAUUCAUCUUCUUUUUUCAUUCAAACUUCAAGUUUGUUACAGUUACUGACGAAGUACAUUUGCAAUUUUGGAAAUGUAAAGUCUUUUGAAAGACGUACAAUUUUUUGUUCAAUAUGUAAAGUCUUUCCAUCAUCAUCUUGGAUUUCAUCACCGUCGGGUUGGGAGUUCAACUCAGUAGCCCUAGCGUAACUUUCUUCUGAACUCAUCCCUUCAGCCUCCCAAUCUUUUAUCCGACCAUAAAAUUCUUCUAAUUGAGGAAAUUUUUUUAUCGUAAUAGGAGAAAUAGAACCAGAAUCAAUGAAUAGAAGAAGUUUCAAUCUACUAAGUUGAUCCUCAAAUUCUUCAGGAAUUUCAAUGGGAGACCCCUUGACACAAAGAAUUUGAAGUCUCUUCAACUUUCCAAGGAAAGACGCGUCACUCACUUUACAUCGAAUCAACUGCAGAACUUGGAGGUUGGUGAGGAAUUGAAGCGAUUUAAGUGAAAGGACUCCACCUAUUAUAGUAAGAACUUUUAAUGCUGGCAUCUUUUCGAAAAAAUAUUCUGGAUCUUGCAAUCGGUCGCCAUAUUUAGCAUUCUCCAAUCGCAAAAUAUGAAGGUUAGGGCAUACCAAACCACUUGGAAGCUCUUCUUUUUCAUUUCCCAUCAAAGAGAUUCCUUUGUAUUGUUCCACUGCCUGUUCCGCCAAUCCAAUGCCAACUUUACUAGUAAAAUAUUUUUUCUCCAUUGAGCCUAUCCAUAAGGCUACAUCACGAACAAUGUCAUGCAUUUUCACAAAUCUCUCAUUACCAGCAUCUAAUAGCAGUGAAGAAGCUUUGAGCUCUUUAAUCGUUCCACUCAAUAGGCUCCUGACUUUUUCAAUUGACUCAGCUCGAUACCAUCUCAACCCCACUGCAUAUCCAACCAAAUCAUCCAAAUCUAUCUCAUAAUCCUCUGGAAACAAAGAACACAACAAGAAGCACGACCUGGAAUCCUCAUCAUUCAAAUAAUCGUAACUAAAUUUGAGACAGCGGUAAACGUCUUGGUCCUCCUUGCCGAUACCUUCUAUUGUAUUGAGUUUUGCAUCUUGUAGUUUAUCUAGAGCUAGAUUCCACUCAUCAAAUCCUUUACCUUUUAGUGCACUUCCAACAGCUUUAAUAGCUAAAGGCAGCCCCUUACAUUCAUCAGCAACCUGUUCUGAAACACCAAUCAAUUUUGAAUCAGCAACAUCAAUGCCAGCAUGCUCUCUUAGUAAAUCCAAUCCUUCUUCUGGCUUUAGAAAACCUAGUUGAAUCUGCGGGUCACAACGCAUGCUAUAACAAACUGGCGGCAGGCGAGUGGUUAGAAGGAUUUUCCAACAAUUGUCUCCAUCACCAACAGGAAUACCUAUUGUCUUCAAGUCGAGUUCAUUCCAGACAUCGUCAAGUAUUAUGAGUAUCUUGCUGCUUUUACUCUCAGAAAACAUCAAGCGCAAUCGGUCUGCUCUCUCUCUUUCAUCUUUCUCAUUUAGUGCCCAGCCUAACGACUUUGCCAGCUCACCUUGAACCUUUAUUAUAUCUGGAUCCUGAGACACAGUGGCUAUCCCCACCUCAUCGAAAAUCUUUUCUUGUCGAAGUUGAUUGCCCACAAAGUUUGCCAAAGUCGUCUUUCCGACACCACCGAUACCAUACAAUCCCACUAUCGUCGUGCUAUCUCUUUUUAGUCUUCAAUAAUCUGAUUGCAAGUCGAUUAUGUAGUCCCGAAAGACAUAAAAUGUCUUGGCAUAUGCAAUUCUUUGUCUGAUGGUAGAGGUUUAGGAAGGGCAACUGAGCUGAAUUUGCCGCAUUUCUUUUGUAGAUCAGACAACUCGCUAGUCUUCUUUGAUGGUUUUCUACCUAGCCAACAUCGCCAACCCCAAUUAGGACACCAUCCAUUAAGACAGCUCUUCUUUUCAUCUAUCUUUGCUUUCAAAUUUCGAACAUCGACCAUUUCUUUGUCUACAUCCUUCAACCACUUCUCUACAGAUUUCUCGAUUACAAUGGCUCGGUGUAUUUGUCGUUCUUGUUCUAUUUUUUCAUUGAUGCCAUCUUUUGCCUCCUUCAAAUUAGUUUCUUUAUCCUUAAGUUCGUUAAUAAUGCUGUUGAAACAGAGCAGAUAAUGAGCUUGGUUUAUGGUUGCUUCCACCAACAAUUCUCCAAGCUUUGAUGCAACACUUGAGCAAAUUUCCAUGCUAUUUAUCUGCAAUUAAUAAAGUUGAUCUCAGUAUGCUGUAAGCAAAACAACGAGGCUUGAUUACAAGAUCGAACGAGAAAGUUUAAUUACCUUUUUCUAUUAUGUGAAUGCACGUUUAUUGACCCUAGCUUUGACCAAUAAGAGCAAAAUGCAAACGCCGAGCUUUAAGUGGCCUUUAGCUGCGCAAAACAAAAGAGAAGAAACAAGGUAGCUUAUUAUUAUUAUUAUUGUUUUUAAGGACGGAUAAAGAUUAGCUAGCUUGCGGACAAAUUUACUAAAAUCAAGAUAAACCUAAGAGUUUUCCUAAUUUGUUCAAACAUAGAAUAAGCGUUUCUCAACAUUAUAUCCAUAAAUGCCCCAGCAAACGUAAUAUGUGGUGGAUUAUAUUUAAAUUAGUUUAUUUUAGAAAAUUUUAAAUAAAAAAUGUCAAACAACAAAGAAAUCUAAUAGAAUCUGGAUAAACACCGAAGAGUUCCUACAUGGGAGAAUAUGGUAAAAUUGAUGAACUUGGUUCAAAAAAUUGCAAUUCUUAUUGAGAUUAGAACCAAAGAUUUUAACUAAGGUCUCCUAAGCCAUAAAGCAUAACUCUUACUACUAAAUUACAAGUAUUUUGUUACAUUUGAAUGUGGUCUUAUUUUUUUAUUGUCUGUUUUAGAAGGGACUCAAGGUAUGUUUAAAAGAAAUAAUAAUGGUUCGGAUGGGGCUGAAGCCCACUCAUGAAAAAUUUAAAGGCUUCAACAUAAUUACCAAUUGUUUCUUCAUCCAAUUUUCUAAUAGAAUAUUGCCAGAAUUCUGAAAUAAUAUCUUAAUAUUUUUCUUCAAGUGUUUACGGCACCCUCGUAUUGGAUUGUCAAUUUAAUAACUUGUUAAAUUAUUUAAUACUUCAUCUCACGAUCUAAUGGAUAUAAAUGCUGGAGAAGGAUCAGUUCCCAGACGUUUUUCUCUCACUAGUCUUUUGGUGAAAUAAGUGACUAAGAUUAAAUUUUAAUUUUUGAUAUUGACAAUUAAAUUGGCUUGUUUCACAUUAUUAACAAUUAAGCUAGCUUUCUUUUUUUCCCCCAACUGGAUUUGGAAGGUUAUGAGGGAGUAGGAGAGAAAACACGAGAAGAACGAGAUCCUAAUUCAUAAAUAGUACCUUACUUGGGAUGGUAAAGAAUUUAAAGAUUGGGGUGAAUUCCAUUUUAGUCUCUAAAAUUUUGACUUGCGAGUAACCAUACUUUUAGUAUUUUUAAAAAGAAUGGGAUUAUUUACAUUGUAAAAUCUAUUUUGAACACUCUUUUACUUAACACAGUCAUUCAACAAAUUUUAAAAAAUAAUUUUUACUAGGGUUCGCAAUAAACUCUAGAUCCGGCCCAGAUCCGAAAUUCGGAUCCGAAAAAAUCAGGAUCGGCAUGUUAAAAAAUGCGGAUCCGGAUCUUAAAAAUCAAGAUUCAUACGGAUCUGGAUCCACAUGCAAGUGCAUCCGGAAAACCGGAUAUCCGGAUCCGCAUUAUUUUAUAAUUAAAUUAUUUAUUUAAUUAAAUUUUAAUUGAAAAAUAUAUAAAUUAAAUUAUUUAUUUAAAUGUAUAAGCAUAAUUAACUCUAAAAUCUUCAUUAAUUAUGAAAAAUAUGUUAAAAUAAUAAUAAUAAUAAUUAGAGAAUAUUGUAAUAAAUCGGUUUACCUUAGAUUUUUUUUAUGUUUGAUUUAUAUUAUGAAAUUAUUGUUUGUGAAUUUAUGGUGUUGAAUUGAUGUUAAAUUGUCGAUUGUUAAGUUAUAAUUGAAUUUUAUUUAAUAUUAUUAUGUAAAUUAUUAAAUUUAAAAUUAAAUUUAAAUUUAUUAUUAUGCGGAUCCGAAUAUUCGGAAUAUCCACCCACAAUCCGUGCGGAUAUUACCCGCAUCCAGAUCCGCAUAUUUUUUUUUACGGAUCUAAAUACAGAUCGGGAUGCCAAAAGCUUAAUCUAGAUCCGAAUUCGGAUGCACCUACAUCCGGAUCCGGAUUUGGAUUUUGCCAUCCCUAAUUUGUUACUUUACACACUAUUUCAAAUGUCAAAACUGUCCUUCAUUAGGACCAUUCAUUAACUAAUUAUUUUCUAUAAAAUAUUCAUCAUUCUUGAGCCAUGUGGCGUUAAUUAAUGAUUCCUAAGCAUUAUCAAGGUUCAAGAUUUAUGUUGAAACUCUUUCAGUUGAGAUUUGAGCCUAGGCACUAGCUAUAUACAUACAUACUCUUUCAAAUGCAGUUCUGGGAAUAUUUUGUGACUAAUUUUAUAAAAGUGUUUUAGUUACAUUAAUGCAGUGAAACAAUAAAGAGUACGUGGCUUGAUGAUUUCCAAAUCAAGUUGGGGAAAAAACAAAGCAUUUUCUUUUAUAAUGGAUUAGAUUAGACGAUGAAGGGAAAAUUAUUUACGAUUAUUACUUGUUUGUGUGUUUAGAGUAAUAAUAUUUUCUUAAAUUAUACUAAUGUCCCUAGUAGUAAAUUUAAUUAAGGUUAUUUUCGUAAUAUAAAUUUUAUUAAAAUUAAAGUGUCUAAAAUAGAAUUUAGAGUGAAAAUAGCUCUUAGACGUCCAUAUCAUUACCUUUAUAACUAUUGAAAAUAUGAAUUUUCAAAUGUAAAAUAACAUUUCUAUAUGAUAUAAAUUAAAAUUCAAUCAAAUUUAUCAUGCAACAAAUGAAAAGUAAAGAAAAUUAAAUAGGUUUUAAUAGAGACAAAAUAAGCUUCUAUGUUGAAUUUAAAAGUAUUAUAUUAGUAGUAAUCAUAUACGUAUCGAACUUUUUAAUAAAAUUUAUUUAGAAAUUGGCCAAUUGGGUUUUAUGAAGAAAAUAGAGGGGCACGAAUGGCGCCACUUUUAAUUAUUGUUGCUGUACAACUGAAAAUUGAAAUGUUGUAUUUAAAAAGUACUUGUUAGAUGUGUAAAAUGCACCAACUUGAAAUGGCACGAGAGCAUAAUGGAAUUUUGUUGGGAAAUUUACAAAAAUAACCAUAAAACUUUUACUAUUUUCACAAUUAACCCUCUAAACGUUUUUCUAUCAACAUUAACCAAACACAUGCUUUUCUCCCCAAAUUACCCUUGUAUUUGCUAACCAACCUGUCGCACAUAGUUUGGUGCGACAGGCACCUGUCGCACGAAGCUAAGUGCAACAUGCACCUGUUGCACUGUUAUAGUGCAAUUUAUGCACUAGUUUUGCAUUGUUUACUUCCCUUAAUAUCGAUGUUUUGCACUUAAUAAUGAUGAUUUACUUGUGUUUUACUUUUGUGUUAUGAGCGUCAGAAGAACUUUGUUGAUAAGGCGUGGGUGCGUGCUGUCAACUACGGACCUACAGUUUUUAGUUUAACGUGUUUUGUAUUUUUGGUUAUUUUUGUAAUUACGAAUUUAAUAUUUCAGAUAUUAGUAAUUUAUUUUAAAUAGAAUUCUAGAGAAGAAGAGAGAGAGAGUAUUUAAGAGAGGAAUCUAUUGUGAAAAAGGGGACUUUUGGAGAAGAGAAAGAAACCCUAGAUCUAAACUUUUCUCUUCUCUCUAUGAAGAACUAAACCUAUUUUUCUGGUUAAAGGAUAAUGAAGCUUUGAUUCAUCACUACUAUGAGAUCUAUUUUAUGCUUUAAUUGUUUUAUUGCUUUUUGGGUAUUUGUUUAUUCUCUGAAUUAUUUUCAUGAUUAUGUUUAUUAAUUAGGUAAUUGGCCACUAUUUAAUUAUCAACUUAAUCUAUUGUUAAUUAAAGGAUUCAUCGUAUGAAGAUUUUAAUGUUUGUGACAAAUAACAUAGCAAUGAGUUGUGUUAUGAGAAUAAACAAUCUAAUUUAAAUGAAUCAUCGUAUGUGUUGAUUAGUAUUUGGGUCUCUUUGGUCUUUCAGGCUGUCAAUUGAUUAAAUCCUAUGAUCGUAUCUAGGGUUGUCUAUUGAUUAGGGAAAUAGUCAACGGUCGUACCUUAGUUAUCGACUAGUUAAGGAGAGAUUGGCUAUUAGAGGGUCUCAGUAGCUAUAACCAGUCUAUUCAUAAGUAAUAAUAAUCUAUAUUUGAAUCAAUGAUCAGUAGUCGAAUCAAGCUGAAUUAAUUCCUUCAACCAGAGCUUUCUCCAAUUUGAAUUACAUCUUUAAUUUACAUUCUUGUUAUUUUAAUUUGAUUUUUAUUAUUGUCAACAAUUCCCCCAUUUUACGUUUUACGUUUCAAAAGGAUUUAAAUAAUUACCGAUCUCUGUGGACACGACCCUACUCAAUCACUAUACACAAUUUAUUUAGAGUAGGAAUUUAUUUUUGUUGGCUUCGACAACCAUCAAAUUUUGGCGCCGUUGCCGGGGAUUGGUGUCAUUUAUUUAAUCCUUUUUACGUUUUACUUGGUGUAUGGUUCGUUCUUCUCGUACAUGUAUACUUUCGUUUGAUCCUGAAAUUGAGAAGACAACUCGCCAACUGAGACAGCAGACGAAGCGAGCUAAGCAAUGAUCCUCGUCGCCUUUGCUUUCUGAAACAGAUAUAGUGCCUAAUUUAGUUGAAUCAUCUAGUGAUUCAGAAGAACAAGUGAUGGAUAGACCUGCACCUGUAGAAAGAACCCUUAGAGAGUUAGCUGAACCAGACUUGAAUCAACAACCACUCUGCAUUCAAUAUGUAGACUUGGAGGUAAAUUUUGAAUUAAAGUCUGGUCUUAUUCAUUUAUUACCCAAGUUUCAUGGUUUUGCAGGUGAAGAUCCUCAUAAACAUCUUAAGGAGUUUCAUGUUGUGUGUUCAAGUAUGAGACCACAAGGCGUGACUGAAGAGCAGAUUAAGCUGCGUGCUUUUCCUUUCUCUUUAGAUGGACUAGCUAAAGACUGGUUGUACUACUUGCCUCCUGGAUCAAUUACAACGUGGAAUGGUUUGAAGAAGCAAUUCCUCGAGAAGUACUUUCCUGCUUCAAGAGCUGUUAACAUCAGAAAAGACAUUUGUGGGAUCAGACAACUUCCUGGGGAGACUUUGUAUGAGCAUUGGGAGCAAUUCAAACAAUUGUGUGCCAGCUGUCCUCAGCAUCAGAUUUCUGAUCAACUUCUUAUUCAAUAUUUUUACGAAGGACUGUCAUUGAUGGAUAGGAGUAUGAUAGAUGCUGCUAGUGGAGGCGUGUUGGUGAACAAGACCCCUACUCAAGCAAGGGAGCUGAUAUCAAAUAUGGCUGCCAACGCACAACAAUUUGGCAGCAGGUAAGAUCUCACUUCAAGGAAGGUGAAUGAGGUAAAUAUUUCUUCUGUUAAACAACGUUUAGAUAAACUUACUUCUCUUGUGAAAAAGUUUGUUGUAGGUAAUGUGCAACAGGUGAAGACUUGUGGCAUUUGUUACAAUAUGGGUCAUUCAACUGAUAUGUGUCCUACACUUCAAGAAGAACCCGUUUAACAAGCCAAUGCAGUUGGAGGAUUUCCAGGCAUGCCUUAGAGGAGGUAUGAUCCUUAUGCACAAACAUACAAUCCGGGAUGGAAGGAUCAUCCCAACUUCAGCUAUGGAGUUAGGCCGUCAGGAUUCCCACAACAGUAUCCACCAAGACAACUAGCACCUCCACAGUCAAACUCCAAGUUAGGUAUAUCUCUUGAAGAAAUUGUUAAAUCACUUGCAACUAACACUCAACAAUAUUAGCAGGCAACUAUAGCAAGCAUUCAGAAUUUGGAGAACCAAAUGAGUCAAUUGGCGACUACAGUGAGCCGUCUGGAGUCUCAAGUAUUAGGGAGAUUGCCUUCACAAUCUGAGGUGAAUCAAAAGCAAAACGUUAGUGCUGUCAUCCUUAGAAGUGGGAAGGAGUUGCAAGAGCCUAGUAAGAAAGUGACAAAGCAUGUAGAAGAUGAGCUUGAGAAGAAUGAAUUGAUGCCUAAAUCUCAAGAUGCACAACUCACCAGAGCGAAACCCCUACCUAUUGUGAUACCUCCUCCUUUUCUAAGCCGGUUUGCAAAAUCCAAGAAGGAGGAACAAGAGAAAGACAUCCUGGAGACAUUUCGCAAGGUUGAGGUAAAUAUUCCUUUAUUAGAUGCUAUAAAACAAAUACCUCGAUAUGCUAAAUCUAUUUUUUAGCCCCUACCUCCUUGGCUAAGAUCUAACUUGGGUGGCAAAUUAAAUAAACUUGUUUGAAACUACUCAGCCACAUCUUUAGGGGUAUUAUUGUUAGUUGCUUAACUACUAAAUUAAUAAAAUUUGUAAUAUUUUCAAUAAAGAUUUUCCUAUAAUAUUGUAUAAGCUUUUAUAGUAUUAAUAAUGGGACUAUUGUGGACCCAUGAAUUUAAGUGUUUUAUGGUGCAUUCAGUAUUGUUUUCAAAUUUCAUUUUCUGUCUUCUAAAUUCAAGAAACAUCAAAUACAUGUUUGGUAGAUUGUUUCUAAAUAUACCUUUGAAAAUUUAAAAUUUAUUUAUACUUUUAACUAAGAAAAUAAGAAAACAACAUUUUCUUGUUUUCUUUGUUUCCCAAUUCAAUUUAAGCUUCAAUAUGAAAAAUUUUCUUCCGCCAUCUCUCAAAAUAAUAAUGACAUCAACAACAACAAAGACAACAACAACAACAUUGUUGUUGUUGUUGUUGUUAUUAUUAGACCACCUAAAAAUCAACUUCCAUUAUAAUAAUCUUUUCUUCUUUUAUGCAUUAUAAUAUUUAUGCUUUUAUAUAUUAAUUAAAUCAAGUAUGCAUAGUUUAUCAUUUUUCUUUAAACAAAAAAAGAUCACCUAAUUUAUUCUUAAAGUUAAAAAAUCAAACUAAUUAAACAAUUAAAAUCACCUAAUUACACUACUUAAUAUUAAGUUUAUGGAAAUUAUUCUAAUAAUAAUUAUUUAAGCUAUUCCUAUCGAGCAUGUUUUUCUUUUUUCUCACGUUCAAGAUUAUUUUCGAAAAUGAUAUCGAACACAUUUAAAAAUUUUUAAAAAUAAAUUCGAAAAUAGCAUUUUCAUUCUCAUUUUUUUUAAUGAAAACAACAAUUGAAAAACAAUACCUAAAUAUGAUAUAAUGAUAAAAAUUUAAUGAAAUAUAUAGUAGUGGGUAAUCUUCAGGUUAUAAGUGAAUGUAGAUAUAUAUAUAUAUAUUACUUUCAACUAAUAGAUAAAAGAAAUUUUCUAUGGUGUUGGGAUGAAAAUCCCAUUAUCAAUGAUGAGAUUAUUAUUGAUCAUUAGAUUUAAAUAUUAGAAUCUUCAACCUUAAUUUAAUUUUAAUAGUAAGUAAUUGUGUAACAAGUAAUUUGCAUGUUGUGAUAUUUCUUUAUACAUUAAUUUAUUUUUAUCCAAUCAAUUGAUAAACAUUUUUAGGUCACCAAAAAAUUGUAAAAAAAAGUAAAAGUAAUUCUGAAAUUAAAAACGUUAUAUACUGCCUAUAGCUAUAUAAUUUUACUGUUUCUUCUUUCACAAUUAAUAUUCAUAUAAAAAUAGCUUCUAAAUAAAUGUAAUAUUACUCCAACAAUAUUUUAUAGGGACAAUGACACCUAUACCCUACAGUUUAGGGAAAUGUUCACAAAUAUCUCUAAGUUUUCAGGAAGGGACAUCAACACCCAUUUUAACCAUAAUGCCCUUUGAAUUUAAUAAUUAGAAAAUUGACUUUAAGAUUUUUUAAUUGACAAAUUUAAUAUAAAUAAUAUAAUCUAUCAAGUAGACUAAUAAUACUAAAUUAUUUUUAACAUUUAAAAUAAUAUUAAAAUUUUAAAUUAUUAUAUUUAUUUUAAUAAUAUAUUUGUAUAUAUUAUAAACAUUUUAAAUAAAUCUUGGGUUAAAUAGAUUUUACAAUUAAAAAAAAUACCCCUAUUAAUAAUAUGAAAAUUAUUUUUACAUAAUAUUUAAAAUAAUUUUAAUUUUAAUUCAUUUAUUUUAAUAUUAUGUUUCUAUUUGUUAUUAAAAGUUAAUUUAUUAUCUUAAAUUUGUAUUAAUUAAAAAACUUUAAAGUAAAUUUUCUAAUUCCUAAAUUCAAAGGACAUUACGAUUAAAAAGGGGUUUCGGUGUUCCUUUUUGAAUACCUGGAGAUCUUUGCGACCAUUUCCCCAUACCUUAGAGGUGUAAGUGUUUUUUUCCUUACUUUAUAUAAAGAUAUUUCAUAGAUCUUAUAAUAAUUUAUACUGUAUGAAUUUAAUCAAAUGACCAUUAAUACUUAAACAUUAAUAAUUAUAGAAGGUAUUGUAAUAAAUUAUUUGAUAUAUAUUAUUAAUGAUACUAUAUAUGUGUGUAUAUGACUACAUGAUGGCUUGGAUAUAUAUUUUUAGUAGUAAGUAUUUUAACUUAAAUUUUUAAAACAAAAUUUAUACUAUUGAUUUCAUGUAAUUCAAUGGUGGAUGAUUUAGCAUCAUAAAAUAUUGUUUUGAUGUUUAAUAUAAUCAUUAAAUUGUGAGAGAUUAAUUUCUCAAAUUUUGUGUUAAAAUUUUAAGUUAAAAUAUCCCAAACCAAUUGUUUUAUGAAAAUACAAAAAUAUAUAAAGAAUUUUUCUCAUUAAUUUUCAUAUGAAUAUUAUUAUAGGUAAUAUUUUAUAUAUUGUCACCAUUAAUUACCAUCAUUAAAAUAGUGACUCUUAGUAAUAUAGAAUUUUAUAAUAAGUUAAUUGCAACCAAAGGAUACCAACAAAUAAUAUUUCACGAUUCAUAAACUAAAGCUAAUUAAGAAUAUAUUUUAGGUUUAACUUUUAUGAAAUCAACAAAAUGAUAUUAGAAAAUAAAAUGAAAAUAGACUAGUGAAAGCUUUGAGUAAUUUUCUGCAAUGAAAGAAUAUUAAUUGUAAUAUAAACCAUAAUUUCAUCGUAUAGCUACGCUAAAUGGGAGUAACAAAUAAUAUAUACUUUACGAUCAACUAUUAAAUGGUCCUUAAUAGCAUAUAAAGUAGUGGGUAUUUUAAUAUAUACUAUUAAACUUUUUUAAAACAUAAGUAGUUAAGUAUAUGAUUUUUAGGAUAUAAACAAUCACAACCAAAUGUUUAUUGAUGUAAAUUAUAUGGCAUUCAGUUAAAUGUACAUACUUAAUUCUAAUUGGUUAAACAAUUCUCUUUCUUUCUUCGCUCUCUUACGACUUGAGGCACAUAACUAAACGCGUGGCUAUUAGCAUUUGCCACCAUGUAUUUAACAACCCCAAAUGAAGAUAUUAAUUUUUUUAGUUUAAUUGCUGCUUCAAAAUGGGGUACUGCAUUUGGAUUUUGUUAUUCAAAUACCAAAAUGUUCCCACAUUGUGUUGGACAGUUUUUGGUUCUAAAGUUGAUGACUGGUUUUGCCAAUCAGGCUUCAAAUGAGAACUUCUAAACAAUAAGACAAAUGGGUUUUGAGUUUAUAAUCUUGUAAACUUUGUUCUAUUGUAUAAGUUAUGAAAUCGUUGAAACAUCACUACAGCUACAGGUCUUUAUGUGUCAAUGAACUGCAGAAGCUGAUGAUCUACUUGUAGUAGACUUCUAUUGCCCCUGCCAUUCUCGGAAGACAAACAAGUUCAGGAACUACUUCUGGACCAAACUCAUAAUAUUGCCACUGCUUUGUGCCAAUCUGAGACGGAAAGAAGAUUGAAGUUCCUAAAUAAGGCACAUCAUGAUUUAAUAGAAGUACCACUAUAAGGAAAAAUUGAUUUCAGGAAAGCACUAAAAUAUGACAUAAUCUCCCCCUAAUGGUCUAAAGUAGUCAAAAAAUUAUAUCAACCAAGCAAAAACACAUAAACUAGUUGAGAUACAAAGUUAUCAUAAAAGUCAAUUUUGAUCACAAAUCCAUUAAAAUUAAAAGACAUCAGAAAGUUAGAGAACAUUAUAAUUUAGGACUCAGCUAAGUUGCAGAUUCUGUAACUAACAGCUGAGUCCACAUUGGCCUUGCAUCAGCUGAGUUUGGGUUGCUUUCCUCUCUCCUGCAACGCGUGGAAGCGUCCCAUUUGCUGUGUUAUAUACAGAGUCGGUACCGUAGCAAGCUCCUAUAAUUUAAGUUUGACUACUGUGGACAAUAGUCUGCCUCUGUUCAAAAGCUAUGCUGCAAGAUAUAGCAUCUUUGCAAUGUUAUACUUUCUAAAAGUAAUAAGAAAUGAAACCAAGGGGUAAAUCGAACACCAAAAGAAAUUUAGUCGGCCAACCACAUUAUGUUCCCACACAGUCCACCAAUUAAGUUAAUAAUUAAAGGGAAUCAAAAUCUAAGAAAUCUCAUCUUCAAGCAAAAUACAAACACACCGGGAUUGAAAAUCAUAAAAUCAUAAAAAGAAGCUGACUUGAAAAGCUCAAAUAUACGUUCAUCAGCCUCUCAACUUAUAUCUAAGAACAAAUGCCUGCAGCUUGUGAAGACAUAGAUAAUUGAAGCUGAUGAGGCAUAUUUAACAGAUGAUAAUCAAAACUCGUGUGAUUAAAAUUAUAAUUCAAUAAUCGAGCACAUAAAACAAGAAGUAACUAGUUGUAUAUAUACCAAACAACUUUCUGAAGUUAAGGCGUAAAACAACAACGUAGAACAAAUUAAUUAAAUAUACCAGCACCAAUACUCUUAUUAUUAUCCAAAUAUAGAAGACCAAUGUAUCAAACAAGGAAAAUGAAAUAUUGUUAAUAACUCAAAAACCACUAGUGUCAAGAAAUAAACUAAUAAGUAAAACCCAUAACCAGACACGACCACUUCAAAAUCUCUGAAAAUUGAGGUCUAAACAUUGAAAACAAUUAGACAUAUAUAACAGUCAAUCGAAACAAAGCCUCAAAAUAAUAAUGAACUACAAUAAGACAGAAACUAAAUUGUAAACAACCGCAUACCCAAUAACAGUAAUCAAGUAACGAGUCAAAACCAGAAUCAAACGUAGAAUUUGAAAUCCAUACGAACUCUAACGUAUUAGAAUGAAAGAAUAAGGACGAUCGAUAAACUAGACUAAAAAAAAAACAUGCCCAGUUAAAAAACGAAGGUAAAUAAAUAAAAAUGGUAUAAAACUGCGAAAAAAAUUAAUUAAAUGAAGAGAAAAUCACAGGAAUCCUAUGAAAAGGAAGGUAAACAAAACCUUCGGGAGCCGAGAAGAUGCCUUUUUUUGUUCACUUUUGUGCCUAUACAUACAUUUUUUUUUUUUGUUGGUAAUUUUGAAGAAAGUAUUGGUUAAAUAUUGUUAGAACGAAAUAUUAAUAGAUGCUGGAAAUUUCAACAAGGACAAUCUUCGAUUCAAAUGUAUCCCUAUGAUAAAGAAAAAGCCUACUUGGCUAAAUUUUGAGCACCACAUUACAAGAUCUAGGUGUAUGUAACCAUGCAAAAUGAAACAUCUAUUAAUUGUAAGUCCCUUGACCUCUGGAACCAGCCAACCAGUCUCUUUCCUGCUAGACAACCUUCCAUCGAUCAGACUAAUAAUAUUUACUAAAUCAUGUUCUACAGUUAAUGGAGUUGGACCCAAGGCAAUUGUUAGAAGUCCGCCUAGACAUAGAGUGCGCUUAGAAGUGGGAUGCUUAGAGAUGGGCCGCCAACACAACCAGCCAACCGUAGUGUGCUUAGCAAAUCACCCAAGCCCGGCCCAAGAUCUAGAACUAUCUACAAAUUGUAAAUAAGCUAAAAGUUUCUAAGUUUCUCCACAUAGGUCCCUAGGAUAUUUAUGGAAGUUGCUAGGAAGUUUCCUCCCCUAGAACUCUAAUACCUAUAAAUAGGGGUAAGCCCCCUCAUUUGCCCACCAACCACACCACACACACAAACACUCUAGCACACACACAAGCUCUCUAGCUUUUGUAAAAAGCUCUCUUGUAUAUUUUCUCUUUGUGAGUAAUAAAAUCAUAUUCAGCCAUAUUGCUCUACUUCUCUCUAGCAUUUUCUGCAAGUGUUCUUGCUUCGCUAGUUUGAGGAGUGUUCUAGGGUUGCUUAACAACUUGUUCGCUAGAAGGACAUCAUGGUCACAAAACAUGGACAUGCAAGAAAAAAAUAAUAUUGAUACGUUCUAAAAAUAAUAUGCGUUCUUCUACAGUGAACCAAAAAAUUUAGGCUAAUGGUAGCAAGUGAAGGAAUUGUGAUUUCACGUGCAUUUUGUUGACAUGAACGUAAAGGACUUUUUUUUAUAGUUUAUAUUGUUUAAUAUAACAUUUGAAUUGCAAAAUAGGGGUACAAAAUAGAUACACGAAGUGAUAAAACUAAGCUGAUUAUAAUAAAUAUUGAAUUAUAAGAUUUAGGUUUAAUCAGAAAGACAUAAGUGGCGCACAAAGUCACGAAUUGAUAUCAUCCAUGAUGCAAGUUCAAACAACUGCAUAAUAAGUUGCCCCAAGCUAAACUAUUAAUCUAGUAACUAUUCCAGUCGAUGUGGGAUAAUUUUCCUAUCACCAACUAUCACGUGCAAACCGAAUUUUUUGCUUGGUCCUUACAUGUGGUAAGGUAAUAUGAAUCCACUUGUGCAUAAAUUUGGCUCAGAUACUAUAUAGAAGCCUAUGACCCAAAAUUAGACUUAAAGGUUAUCUCAAGAUUUGAGGGUUGCCUCAAGCUCAUAUUAUUAUUAGCCUGGUAACCUUUUUUGUUUGUUGAUAUGUGAUAUUUUCCCUAUAACUUUUAUUAAUCUUUAUGCUUAUGUUUUGUCAUUUAUCCCAAAAUAUAACAUUAACAAAAGUUCCAAAAUUUCCUUCAAGAGAUAUAUUUGAGACAAGGAAUUUGUGCAAUAACUUUGUAAAUUGAUGAGCAAAUUCAGAGAAAAGAAUAUAUGUGCCAAACAUAACGUUUAUUAUUGUGUUUAUUUGUAGAGCUAUUUAAAGCCCAAAAAAAAAAAAAAGCACCGGUCCGCUAUGAUUUCAAAUAAGUUCAAGCCCUAUGUCAUUAUUGGUACAAAAAUGUAUCAAAAAGGUUAAAAACUAUUUUUAAAGGUUAAAAACUAUUUUUAUUUAACUUAUAAACUUAGGAAAUUAUCAACUGUUCGCCUUUAAAUUGCGCUAUUAUAAAAAAUAUUACAAUAUUUUCAGGUUGUGUCAUUCAUCUACCAUAAAUUUACAAUAUGCAUCAUUUAUCCACCAAAUCAUUAACUUCGUCAAAAAGUGAUAGACGUCACAAGGGUAAUUUAGACAUUUAACACAAAAAAAUAAAAGAGAAAUUAUCUAAGCUUACCAUGUUAUCAAAAUUGCUACAAAAUUUUAAAUUUGUUCAAUUUUCUAAUCUAAGUUUAUGACCUCCAAGAUGUUAAUUGCAGUUUGUAAUUAAUGACUUCAUAAGGAUAAUUUAGACACUCAAUAUGCAAAAUAAAAAAUAAAAUAAUGGCUUAAAACAUUAAAACAAAAAACUACUUUUUAUAAUUGAUAUUCAAUUAAAUACACAUAAACUCUAUUUUUUCUUAAUUAAAAAUAUUCUAAUUUAUUUUCUCAAUUUAUCUUCAUAAAUUUACAUUAAUAAACUAAAUCCACAAAUUACCCUAAACCCUAAUUCAUAAAUGCCCAAUCAAUCUAAUAGUUUAAUUCGAUUUCAUAAUUAAAAAAAGCUAAAUUUAUUAUAUUAGUUAUGGUGCAAAGUAAAAAAUGUCCUUAAAUCCAAGGGUAAAAUAGCAUUUUAUUUAAAUUCUAUAAAUUAUUCUAACAAUGUUAACAUUUUGGUGGACGGUUAAUAUAAGUUACAAACUUAAAAUAGAAAAUCAAAUAAAUUCAAAAUUUCAAACUAUUUAGGGCAAAUUUAGGAUAAUAAUGGUCAAUUUAUUAUAAUUCUAUUAAUUUUUUAAUGGAAGCAAGCGAUAUAAUGGAUGAAUGAUAUAAAUUGUAAAAUUAAGGUGCAUGAACGAUAUAAUUUUAAAGUAUUGUAGUACUUUUAAUAAUAGAACAAUUUAAAGGUGGAUUGGCGAUAAUUUAAACUUUAAUGAAGCAACUAAAAAAUAUUUUUAACAAAGAAAAAUAAUUGAAUGCUUUGUGAAACCAAAAAUAUUUGAAAUGUUUUAAGAAAAAUAAAGGAAAUUAAAUAUCUUUUUAAAAAACAUAAUUGAGUAAAAUCAUUUUACAAAAUGCUCUUUCAAAUGCACAUUCCACAAGCCAAGAAGAACGGGUGGCUAACAAAAAUCUCACUUUUUAUGAGUUUAUAAAAUCUCACUUUCGCAAAAUCCAAAAAUAACCAAUACUAUCACACAAAAAAUAAAAAGUAUUGCUGUCACGACAUUACACACUUUCUUCGCCGUCUAGAAAGGUAGAACAUUUUGAAGUUCCUCAAUACAAAAUGCGUGCUAUUACUAAAUUGGCCCAAUUAAUGCCCAUCGAAAGGCCAUCAAUUUAGCCACCAAAUUUGCCAAAGUUUUAACAAUUGAAGAAAUAGUGAACUCAAAAGGAACAGAUAAAUUUUGAAGUUGAACAAACCUUAAGGUACAUACAACAAAGCCUUGAAACUUUAGUCUUCACAAUUUAAGCACGCAAUAAUAUUAAGUAUCCACCUAAAAAACAAGUAUAGAACAAAGCUUGUUAGCUUCUUGGGCAUUAACUAUGAAUGAUGAGUAAAAUUAAAAAAGCAAACAGAGAAAAUUAUAAGAAGAAGAAAAGCAAACAGUUAAAAAAAAAUUAUGAGAAGGAAAAUUUUGGUAGAACUCCGCGGCUCAUCUGUGAAAUUAAUGUCAAUAUGUAUUUUUAUGUAAAUAGGGUCUCUGGAUUUUAGGAUGAAUCAAUCAGCUACCACAAACGAAAACAUGAACCAACUAUAUAUAGAGUCAAUCAACUAUAAUUAAAGUUCUCAAGAGCUUACCUCUGCUCCAGAAUUCUCGGAAUCAUCUAUUUCCUUCUGAAUUUGCGCGAAGCUUGGGACAACUAAGAAAGCGUCCAUGUGGAGCUGGGAUCUGAUAACCCGCAGGCCAAAAGUUGGUGAGGUUUGGUAAAUCUAACAGUGUCAAGUUCCAAAAUCCAUUCAUAACAAUUUCAUUGUAAUCCGUGACAUCUGCUCCAUCUUUAUGCCAGAAUACUUCUUCUAAUUCAUAAUUACUUUCUACCCAUAGUUGAGUUAGAUUUUGAAGACUUGGAGCUACGCUAAUAUGAAAUAGAUGCUUUAGUUUGGGGCAGUUGUAGAAAGUGAUCCUUCUGAGUUUUGGGAAACAUACAGGUUGGAGAUGAUCCUCAUCCUCAUCCUCAUCAAUGAUUUGCUCUAAUUCCAAGCAUUUCCGAACAGAUAACUCCUCCAAUUGCAACAGAUUUCGAGCAAGUGUCGAUGAGAGGAGACGUUUCAACUUAGAGCACCGGAUCACGAGUAAACGGGUAAGAUUUUGCAGGCUAAAAAUAUGCGUGGGACCUUCAUGAUAUAAUACUUGCAGUUCUGGAAGAUUUUUCAAUUGCAACGACUUCAAACAUGGGAAUAGUUUGUUUUCUUGUCCCUCAGCGAUAAUAGCUUCCAAUUGAAACACCACAUGUACUCCAAGUUGGCUAAUUUUCAAAUCUUCCAAAUUUUUUAAGUCGUGCUUCAACAGUGCUGGAAUCGUGUCACUCAAAUGGGAACAAUUGUCCACAUUUAGAAUUUUUAAGUUCUGAGACAAAUAAAUAAAUAACUUGAUGUAAUUAAAAUCUAUUAGCAGCUAAGAUUAUCACAUGAUAAGUGACGAACACCGCAAAAAACAAAAAUAGAAACAAAAUCCAUACAAAAAUAUAAUAAUACAUAUGUAAACUAAUAAAAUAAUUAAAAAGUAAUAUGGAUUGAUCAUGUGAAGUGAUAUAAAGGUGACAUUAGAUUGUUUGAGAAAAAUUAGUAUUCUAUUAAUUUCUAUGGAUUGAUCAACUAAUUAAUUGAAUUUGAGUAAUAUUAUAUACACUUCAGUAAGUGUUUCUAUCAAUUCUUUCUAAACCAAAAUGAGAUAAGACUUCCAUUUGAACAAUGAUUUUAGGCCCUAAAAUAAAGAAAUUUCCCUAAGAUAUUUGAGCAUUAUUAUUAUCAUCACCACAUCCACGAUCAUCAUCAUCUCCAUAGGACCAAAUAAUUAAUGGCUGAUCAUAAAAUUUAUUGCUAAAUUAUCAUUUUGAGUAAAAUUGAAGGAAAAGAAAAAAUGUAAACACAAACAAACAUACCUCUUCAAGAUACUGCAAAUUGGCUUCAAGUUCAGUACUGCUGACGGUCAAGUUGGGACAGUGCCUAAGGUGUGACUCUUCCAAUGCUGUCCAAAUUGAACAAUAAUUUUCUGAACAGAAGCUCUUGAGUUUUGGGAGAUUGUGAAGUGUUAAUUUUGUCAACAAAGGGAGGGCAAGCAUCGUAUUUCCAUCUCCAACACUUAUUUCCCCUUCAUUAUGAUCAAACUUUGCUUCGACAAUACAUUCCAUUCUCCGGCAUCCACUUACAUAGAGACUUUUAAGCUGCUUCAAACUUCUAGCUUGUGACAACGUGAAGAUAUAUGUCAAAUUGUUGCAUCCACACACAGUCAAUUCUGUAAGAGCUUGGAGGCUGAUCACAUAUUGGGCGGGCGCCUUCCAUAUCCACUUCAGUUCUGGUAAUUGCCACAUAGAUAACUCUGCUAAUCUUGAGAGCAUCACAGGAUUCCCACUCUUUCCAUGCGGCGACUUAGAGGCAUCCAUUAUGCAUUCUAAUUCUUUGCACUCGUUGACAGAAAGACAAGUCAACUCAUUUAAGCCCCUUGGAUCUAUGCUUGGCACAAUAUUGUGACAACCUAUAAUCGUUCUUAAAUUAAGAAUUUCCAGUUCUUGAUACAAUGCCGAAAAAAUACCGAGAGAGGUUGCUUCACAAUUAUUAAUCUUUAAGCCCCUUCUCUGUCCAAAAAUUUCAUCUUCUUCUUGCAUUAGAAAUUCAAGUUUGUUACCAUUACUGACGUGGUGCCUUUCCAAUUUCGGGAAUGUAAAGUCUUUUGGAAGACGUGCAAUUUUUUUGCCAGUAUGUAAAGUCUUUCCAUCGUCAUUUUCUUCUGAACUCAUCCCUUCAGCCUCCCAAUCUUUUAUCCGACCAUAAAAUUCUUCUAAUUGAGGAAAUUUUUUUAUCGUAAUGGGAGAAAUACAACCAGAAUUAAUGAAUAUAAGAAGUUUCAAUCUACUAAGUUGAUCCCCAAAUUCUUCAGGAAUUUCAAUGGGAGACUCCUUGACACAAAGAAUUUGAAGUCUCUUCAACUUUCCAAGGAAAGAUGCGUCACUUACUUUACAUUGAAUCAACUGCAGAACUUGGAGGUUGGUGAGGAAUUGAAGCGAUUUAAGUGAAAUGACUCCACCUAUUACAGUAACAACUUUCAAUGCUGGCAUCCCUUCGAAAAAAUGCUCUGGAACGUGAAAUUGAUAGUCAUAACCACUAGGAAGCUCUUCUUUUACAUAUCCCAGGAAAGAGAUUCCUUCGUAUUGUUCCAUUGCCCGUUCCGCCAAUCCAUCUGUAGUAACAACUUUCAAUUUGUAGUUAUAUACAGUAUUCUGCAGUUGCAAAAUUUGAAGGUUAGGACAUACCAAACUGGUAGGAAGCUCUUCUUUUUUAUUUCCUACCAAUGAGAUUCCCUUGCAUUGUUCCAGGCUUUCUUCCACUACCCGUUCUGCCAAUCCAAUGCCAACUUUACUAGUAAAAUAUUUCUUUCCCACUGAGCCUAUCCAUAAGGAAACAUCACGAACAAUGUCAUGCAUUUUCACAGAUCUAUCAUUACCGGUGUCUAACAGCAGUGAAGAAGCUUUGAGCUCUUUAAUCGUUCCACUCACUAGGAUCCUGGCUUCUUCGAUUGACUCAACUUGAUACCAAUCCAACGCCACUGCAUAUCCAACCAAAUCAUUCGAAUCUAUCUCAUAAUCUUCUGGAAACAGCGAACACAACAAAAAGCAUGACCUGGAAUCCUCACCAUUCAAAUAAUCGUAACUAAAUUUGAGACAAUGGUAAACGUCUUGGUCAUCCUUACCAAUACCUUCUAUUGUAUUGAGUUUUGCAUUUUUUAGUUUAUGUAGAGCUACUUUCCAUUGACCAAAUCCUUUACCUCUUAGCGCACUUCCAACAGCCUUAAUAGCUAAAGGCAACCCCUUACAUUCAUUAGCAAUUUUUUCUGAAACACCAAUCAAGGUUGAAUCAGCAUCAAUGCCGGCAUGCUUUCUUAGUAAAGCCAAUCCUUCUUCUCGCUUUAGAACACCGAGUUGAAUCUGCGUGUCACAACCCAUGCGAUCACAAACUGGCUGAAGGCGAGUGGUUAGAAGGAUUUUGCAACAAUUGUCUCUAUCACCAACAGGAAUACCUAUUGUCUCCAAGUCAAUUUCAUUCCAGACAUCGUCAAGGAUUAUGAGGAUCUUGGGGCUUUUACUCUCAGAGAACAUCAAGCGCAAUCGGUCUGCUCUAUCCUUCUCAUCUUUCUCCGUUAAUGCCCAACCUAACGACUUUACUAGCUCACUUUGAACAUUUAUUAUAUUUGGAUCCCGAGAUAUAGUGGCUAUCCCUACGUGAUCGAAAAUCUUUUGUUGCCGAAGUUGAUUGCCCGCAAAUUUUGCCAAGGUCGUCUUUCCAACACCACCGAGACCAUGCAAUCCCACCAUCUUUGUGCUCUCUUUUUUCAGUGCUUCAAUGAUCUGAUUACAAGCCAAUUCUGUAGUCUCGAAAGACAUAAAAUGUCUUGGUGCAGGCAAUUCUUUGUUCAAUGGUAGAGGUUUAGGAUGGGCAACAGUGCUGAAUUUGCCGCGGUCUAGUAGAUCGGCCAACUUGCUAGUCUUCUUUAAUGCUUUUCUUCCCAGCCAAUAUCGGCAACCCCAAUUAGGACACCAUCCAUUAAGACAACUCUUGUUUUCAUCUAUCUUUGCUUUCAAAUUUUGAACAUUGGCCAUUUCUUUGACUACAUCCGCCAGCCACUUCUCUACAUCUUUCUCCACUACUACGGCGCGGUGUUUUUGUCGAUCUUGUUCUACUUUUUCAUUGAUGCCAUCUUGUGCCUCCUUCAAAUUAGUUUCGUUAUCCCCAAGUUCUUUAAUAAUGCUGUUGAAGCAGAAUAAAUAGCGAGCUUGGUUUAUGGUUGCGUCCGCCAAUAAUUCUCCAAGCUUUGAUGCAACACCUGAUAAAAUUUCCAUGCUAUUUAUCUGCAAUUAAUGAAAUUGAUCUCAGUAUGCUAUAAGCAAUUAAAACAACAUGGCUUGAUCGCAAGAUCGAACGUGAACGUUUAAUUACUUUAAUUUUUUUUCUUUUGGCUUAUUAACGCCAGCAUUGAUCAAUAAGAGCAAAAUGCAAAACAAAGGAGAAGAAAUAAGGUAAACGUUAUAUAUGAUGGAUUACAUUGAAAUUAGAUUACUUUAGAAAUUUUUAAAUAAAAAUUUAAUAGAAUCCGGAUAAACCUAAGAGUUUGUUGUGCAUUGCGAGUGAAGACAGGCAGUUGCAUGGGGAAUAUGAUAAAAGUGAUGAAUAACUGAAAAGCCACCCAUAAUAACAAUUAAAAAGAGUAUUAGAGAUUAGAGGAGUUCAACAUUCUAUGCAAGCCCACUCACGAUAAAAUUUGAAUGGUUUCAACAGGAUUACCAUUUUUUGACCUUUAAUAAAUAUUCUAAUAAAAUAAUACCAUAAUUCCAAACAAUAUCUGAAUUUCUUUUUCCUUCAAAUGUUCAUUAAACUCACAUAUUGGAUAAUUAAUUUAAUUAUUUUUUAAAAUUAUUUAUUACCCUAUCUUAUUGUUCAAUAGAUAUAAAUGACACCUUAUUUGGUAUGGUAAAAAUUGGGGUAAAUUUUCUUUUAUUCUCUAAAGUUUGGACCUAUUACCAGUUAUAUAUAGUAUUUGUAUUUUGUAAAAUUUUACCUAAAACGUCCAUGUCAUUACUUUUAUAGCUAUUGAACCUGAAUUUUCCAGUGUAAGAUAUUAUUUUUGUCUAUUAUAAAUUAAAAUUCAAAUAAAUCUAUCAUGCAACAAACAAAACGUAAAGAAAAUUAAUUAGGUUUUAAUUGGAAACAAAUAUAAAAUAUCGAUUUUUUUAUUAAUUUUUGUGAAUUCUUUUAUUGUUCGAAUUAGAAUUGAAUAAUUUGUAUAAGGAUAAUUUAUAUGAAGAUAAUCUGCAAAAUAAGCUUAUAUGCCGAAUUUAAAAGAGUUAUAUUAGCAAUCAUAUAUUUAUCAAAAUUUUUAAUAAAACUAUUGUUUAAAAAUUGGCCAAAUGGGUUUCAUGAAGAAAAUAGAAGGGCAUGAACAAUUUAAAAGACGUAUUAAAUGGACCAAUUUGAAAUGGUAUGAGAGCACAAUGAACUCAUGUUGGUACCUGGGUAGGCAAAUUAAUUUUAUUUUUAAAGUAUGGUUAACAGUACUGACUUGGAGGUGAUUGACGUUAAGUUAAAUUAAUGCAAACAAAUGGUAAAAAUAAUUUAAUGAAAAUUAAUUAAUAAAAAAAUGCAUUAAAAAAUUAGAACUUAAGUUCUUGAUCAUUUUGUCCGUAUGUUUUUAAUCCAACGCUCAGAAUUGGCGUAAAACUAGCCAUUGGAAGUAAAACACAAAAAUCGAAUUAAGGGCCUAUGAAACAAUAAGAUCUCAUACCUUCUUCGUUAUAAAUCCUCAAUUACUGUUGAAAGCUCCAGUUAAGAGAGUCGCACAAGUUCGGAGAAAAUUAAAAAGCUGCAUAUGGCAAUAUAAAUAAACAUCAGAUCAAAACGAUAUAGGAUAUAUCUGGCUAAUUAACAUCUUAUAUAAGUCCUUGUUCUCAGUCAAAUCUUUCAUACUUAGAAAAAAAAAAAGAUUGAAAUAAUAACUGUAUGUUUUUAAUCCAACGUGCAAAAUUGGCAUAAACAAACUAAUAUAGCAUAAAACAAACAUCAAAUUAAGAGCCUAUGAAAUAAUAAUAUCUCAUACCUUCUUCAUUAUAUAUCCCCAAUUACUACUGACAGCUCCAGUUAGAGUGGCAUAAUUUCCGAGAAAAUUAAAAGCUGCAUCUAGCAAUAUAAAUAAACAUCAGGUCAAAACAAAAUAGGAUAUAUCUAGCUAAUGAACAUCAUAUAUAAGUCCUUGUUCUCUAUCAAAAUCUUUCCUUCUUAAAAAAUAAUAAUAAUAAUAACAAUAAUAAUUGAAAUAAUAACUGUGGGUGACACAUGAAGCAAAAGUAACAUACCGAAAUGAGAGCAGCUCACAUAUCUGGUGACUUCCAAGAGAAUGAAAAAUGAAUGACCUUCGGCAGCAAGAUCCAAAUCAAGUAUCACAAAUUGCUACUGACUUCGUGGCUUCACUUUCCUUUUCUUUUUCUUUUUUUUUAUAUCACAGUGUGAAUUGAAAGGUGAAAAGUGAAAUGGUACACAUGCGUAUGAUGAGGGGGUAAUUUUUAGACACCUGCCCGAGGUUUAAGGUCUUCUGAAUUAGAUGGAUUGUAUUUUCGUAUUAUCAAAUACCUCCCCUGCCCGUUUUUAUUCCAUUUAGUAUUUUCUAAAUGGCUGAAGGUAAAUUGGUAAAAACUCAUUUAAAAUAAAAAAAAAUCAAAGAAAUUCAAGAAGAAGCUUUAUAUCUGCCAUUUGUAUUUGGGGUAUCUUUUUGGUUGUUGAGUGAAUGAGCUUAAAUCUUAAAUAUUUAUUUUCUUAUUAUAUAUUUCUUAUUGGAAAGAAUUUGAAUCUUAUUCUUAUUAAACUUAUUCUCUUUAAAUAAAAGUAGAUUUCUCUCCAUGUAUUUAGUGUGUAUUUUGAAAUUAAUGUUCAACAUAUCUUUAGAUCCUAUUAUAAAUAUUCAUAUCUAAAAUCUCAACAGAUUCCAACAUAUAAAUAUAUAUAAAGAGAGAGAGUAACGUUCUAAUAAGAAAUUUUUUAAAUUAUCAAAUUAAAGGAUAAUUCAAAAGAUAAAAAAAUACAUAAUCUAAUAUAUUAUAUAACAAAAUAUACUAUAUUAAAAUAUAUAUUUUGCUUAAUUUUUUAAUAUAUCCCAUAAUAACUUAAGAAAUCCUUUAUUUACCUGAUAUAUAUAUAUAUAUGUAUAAUUUUUUACAAAAUAAACAAUUUAGAGUAAAACAAAGGACAUUCUGGGGCCUUUUGCUAGACUACCAAUCUACCAUUUUGGAUUGCAAUAAAGUGAAAAUACUGGACUACCAAUCUACUAUUUUGGAUUGCAAUAAAGUUAAAAUGGGUUACACCAAAAAAGUAAAAAAAAAAAAAAAGUGACAAUCAAUCUUGUCGGCCAAUACAUCGAGUUUUUUGCCGGAUUAGUAUCACCGUCAAAAACAAAUUAUUGCAAGCACUAGCAAAAAGCAAUCGAUGAUUUCGCAAUUUGGUUGUUAAAAAGCAAACUAGAUCACGAUUCCUCAAUUCAAAAUGGGGCAAAAUUAUGGUAUCACAAUGUUACCGUACUACAGCUGGAUCCAGCUUACAGUUACCAUCAUAAUUGAAUCUAACAGUUGGAUCCAUCUAUAGUAUGGUAUUACUGUGGUACCAUAGCUGGACCCUUCAAAAAAAUGCUUUUUUUAAUUAAAUAAGUGAAAAUUAAACCUACAAUUCAAAAUAGAAGACUGUAGAUGCGUAUAAAUUGAAGAAGGUAAAUUUUGUGUGUGCGUAAAUAUUUUAGUCAACAACAAAAAAUUCUAACAAGUUAAUAUAAGAGUAUCAUAGCAGUACAAGAGAAUUUUUUUUUUUUUUGGAUGUUAUGAGUUAUCGAGAUACCCAAUAUAUAUGUGUGUGUGAGAGAGUGGGGAAGAAAAAAAAUAUUAAGAAUAGUUUUGGCAUUUUGAUGGGUUUUAUAGAGUAAAAUCUAUAUUUUCAAAUAUGAUAAUUCUUUAAUUUAAUUUUUUGUUAUGAAAAAAAAGGGCAUUUUAAAUAUGUUUUAAGUUAUAAAUAACUCCAUCCAAAAUUUAAAAAUGAAAUCUUAGGGGGGAAAAUUUUUCACCCAAACUAAGGCCCAAAGUAGCCGCGGCAUUUUUCACCAAUUCUCCAAUUCCCAAUGUGGUCUAAUUAUUUACAAGGAAUAUGAGUAGGGGUGGGCACGGUUCAGUCCGGUUUGGUUAGAAUCUAAAUUAAGCAGAACCGAUUUAAAUAGGUUAUUUUAUAAAAAAAACUAAAUAAGAACCGAACUCAAUAAAAAUUGGACAUAAACGGAUCUUUUCAGAUCGGUUUGGUUCGGUUCGGUUUUUUCGGUUUUGGGCGUAUUUUGAAUUUCUAAAUUUUAGCCCAUUAGGCCUCAUGAAUGUAAUGAUUUUAUUCAACAAUUAAUUUAUCCUAAUUUCAUUACAAAUAUUAACAAUAAAUACAAAGUAUUCAAAACACAUUUUAUCACUAAUAUCUUACUAACUACUAAUAAGGUACUUAUAAAAUAUGAAAUAUUAAGAUUUCAAAAUACAUAAUCAAACUCCAAUACUCCAUCUACAUAAACACAAUGUUGUAACGACAAAAAAAAAUAAUAACAACAAUUAAAACUUACAACACAAAAUAAAAAGAAAAUUUGGAAACAAACACUAACAACAAUUUUUAAAUAAAUAAAUAAAUAUAUAUAUACUCGUAAUUGUGUGUGUGCAUGUCUAUUUUAGUUAUCUUACGCAACCAAUUAAAAUUUAACAUGUGUCUAUUUAAAUAAAAUUCCAAGAAUAACUCGGUUUUUCGGUUCUGUUUUUUGGUUCAGCUGAGUGAACCGAAUACCGAACCUGUAUUUUAGUUUUUUUUACAAACCAUAUAUUUCAGUUAUUUUUUAAAAUUAAAACCAGUCCAAACGGAACGGAACGGUUCAGAUCGAUUUUCUCUAGUGCACGGUUUUUUUGCCCACCCCUAAAUAUGAGAUUCUCUACCACUCCAAUUUAUCCCAUUGUUAGCAAUCCUAUUAGAUGUUUUAUAUCCUAUUUUUAUUAUGCUCCCCAAACAAAUAUGUUUCACCUAAAGGUGCCCAACGGGCUACACCGUCCGUCUGAAUGAGCGCACGAGAGGCUCCACAGGCGUGUCUGAUAUGCUCUUUCAAGUCUACAUACCUAACGUUCUUUUUUUAAGUGCAUAUAUAUUUUUUAAAGCUCAUGUGAAAUUCAGUAGUAAGAGAAUGCAAUACUAGUUAAUAAGUUAGAGCCUACAAAAUAAUAAUAAUAAUAAUAAAAUUUUCUCUAAGGGUUAACAUUUUAUUGUUAACUUGAAUUUAUAUACAGUUAUCGAUUAUAGUCCAUAAUAAUAUUAAUACUUACAAGUUUCAAAUUAAAAUUUAAUAAUUAACAUUUCAUUAACACAACUAUAUUAUCUAAUUUUGCAAUAACCAAUUAUAAUACAACAAUACAUAAUUAUAAUUUCAUAGACCAUGGUAAUAAAAUCUCUACGUUAAUGAAAAAUUUUAUUUUGAUAUAUGUUGGUCUGCUUGCUAUUGAUGGCCGAUGGUCGUAUGCUAGCCUGCUAAUGAAACGUGUUUAUUAUUGGUUUUUUAACAUGUCUUGCUUUACCACAUCUCUAAUCAAAUUGUGCUCUUAAAAUCCAUAGCCUAACCUAGCCUCUGUGUGUAUCCUGCCGUGCCAUACUAUACAAACAUGUAUCUGGUACCAUGCCACGUACCGGUCGGCCCUUAGCCAUCUCUAGUUUCACCCCUAAAUAAAAUCUAAACGGCUACUGGCAAGUGAGAAAACUUGUUAUUCUUUAUUUUGAAAAUAAAGGGAAUUGGCGAAUUGCUUAGUUUGAUAUUGUUUUUGGUAAGUCAUUUUUUGUUUUGAAACAUUUUUCUGAGAUGUUGUUGUAUUUGGUGAAAAAUAAAUUAUUUUAUUUUAUACUUUUAAUGAAGAAAAGUAGAGAAAAACAUUUUGUUGUUUUCGACAACAUUUGCCUUAUAAGUGCACCCGUGCCACUUUUUUCUUGUUUUAUUUGUAUGAUAAUUAUCAUGGACCCACGUAACUUUCUUUUGCAUUUAAAAUUUCAUAAUAAAUUAAAUUAGACAAAAGAAAAGAGUCCCACAAAUAAUUUAUUUUAUAAUUUUUUAAAUAAUACUAUUUUAAAAUAAAUUAUCAAAACAAAUUUCAUAUUCACUAAAAUUAAUCAUAUUCAUAUUAUAAAAUUAAUAUAAAAACAAUAUCUGAAAAGUAAUGCUAAAUACACUGUUAAAUUUUAUAAACGGCAUUAGAAUUGAUGAACAAUCUGACAAAGAUGCUGCGAUUUAAGUAGGGAUGACAAUUAAAGCCGUAUUUGAAAAAUUUCGUCUCCAAAUUAAAAAAUAUGGAUUCGGAUAUGGAAAUUUGGAAUUCACAUAGAUCCAUAUAAAUUUUAUUUUAAAUUAAAAAUAUAUAUUAAAAAUUAAAUGAAAAAUUAAAAAAUAAAUUUUAUUUGUGAUUUUAUGAUGUUGUUGUAUAUUAUUCAUGUUGAAUUAUUAAUGGUUGGAUUAUGAUUGAAUUUUAUUUGAUAUUAUUAGGUAAAUUAUUAAUUUUUAUUUAAAAUAAAAAAUAUAUAUUAAAAAUUAAAUAAAAAUAAAAAAUUAUAUUUUAUUUGUAGAUUUAUGAGAUUAUUGUAUGUUAUUCAUGUUGAAUUAUUAAUUGUUGAAUUAUGAGUGAAUUUUAUUUGAUAUUAUUAGAAAAAUUAUUGAACUUUUAAAUUAUAUAUUAAAUUAUUUAAUUUUAAUUUUUACGGAUCUGGAUAUCCAGAAUAUCCUCCGGUAUCCGUUGCGGAUAUUACCCGCUUCUGGAUCCGCAUUUUUUUAUACAAAUUCAGAUAAAAUAUGAAUGCGAAUCCGAAUCUGGAUUUUACCAACCUUGAACCUAAGCAUGAAUGGGCCUAAAGUUUUUACAACAAACAUGGAUCAUUCAAUGACACGAGAUGUUUUACAGCUCUCACUAGUAUAAUUAAAUAAUUAAUUCAUCUCUAUAUUCAACUUACUCCGUCUCAAAUUGCAUGCAAAUACGAAAAUACACUUCUGAAUCGUUCACUUGAGGAAAAUUCCAAAUUCUCCACGUAGAAUUUAGAUUCAAACCAUAGCAAAUUAGACAUAAUUCUAAUUUAUAUGGGAAAUAUAAUUAGCGAAGACACUCUUUAUAUAAACAUUAUUGUCAUAGGAUGCCAAACCUAAUAAGAUUCAAGAUCUUAACAUACUUCAUAUGAAAUUUGAUCUUGACGCGUACCGACAGGCAUAACAUCAAGACUCUACUUCAUAUAUUAUAAUGUAACUUCAUGGAUUUUUCGCUCUCUUGGGGGUCUAUCGUUUGUUUGCAAACUUUUCCAUUUUAAAUUGACAAUUAUAGGCGCUCUCUUGUGGUACAUAAAAUAAACGUUUAUUUUUAGAAUAUUAUUAUUUAUCUCAAUUUUUUAUUUAAUAGUUAAUUUUAACCAAUUCUUAAACUGUCAUAAUCAAUUAAUUUUUUACAUUAUGGCGUCUUAAAUAAAUUUUGGAUCUGUAAUAAAUAAAAACUGGUAACGUUUGUUCUUUUAAAACAUAAAACAACCGUAACAUUGGUUUUUACAUUUUGAAUUUUUCUUGCAUCACUAUUUAGAAAAAUGAUGUUAAAUCAACUCACAAAAUAUAUCAAGCCAUCUAAAAUCCAAAUAUUAUUACAUUUGUAUUGCAUUGUUAAAUUGUUGGAACGACGGCAAAGCAAUUGAAAAGAUAUUAACAAAAAAAUAAAGAUUGGCCAAGGAUUAUUCAUGUUUAGGAAAUGCCUUAACUUUUGAUAUAAUCAUUGUUAUAAUUAUAUUGUAGAAAUAAUCAAUUACCUAAUGUUUGUGGUGGUAAAUAUUAUUAACUUGUUUUACUAUACCCGUGUUUAUGCUGGUCUCCUUUUUGUCCAUUUCUGUACAACGAAAUAUUUGCAUGUGUUGAUAGAAAUUGGUUUAAAUGACAUUUAAAAUAGUAUAUCCCCAGACAAUUAACGAAAUAUUUGGAUGGUAGGAUGAAGUAAUAAAUAGUUUUACAAAUUACCAUAUUAGAGGUAAAAAAAAUUCGAGAGGUUACUUGACAAUUAUGACGUUACUAACUACAAAUUUAACACAAAAAGUUUAAUUAACUUUUCUUUUUGAGAUGGCAAAAUCUCUGGUGUUGAAAACAAUGAGGUUUGAGGUUCAAGCUUGAAUAUCAAGUUACAAUUAAUAGAUGGUCUUAGGACAUAUCAAAGAUUUCUUUAAAGACAAAAUAAUAAUUACAAGCAAUAGGAAUUUAUGGUAUUCAGAACAUUUAUAUCUUCGCACAUGAAGCUUGAAUCCAGAACAAGAUGCAGCUAGCCAAUCCUUCCAAAACCCCACAAAACCUCUGUCAACAUAUCUGCUCUACUUCAAUAUUAAGCACAUUCAUAGCGGUAUCAACAGCUUACAGCGCCAAAAUAUUUUCCCCAAAAAGAGUGAGAGAUUUCACUGAAGCUAAGUUGUGACUUGUGACUGCCCAAAUGUUCUAUAACACGAUAUGAUUAUUCUAGUAACACAAAUCCAAUAGCAUGCAACAUAAUCUACUCUCUAACAUUGUGCAUUAGUAAAAUAAAACAGAGUAAAAAGAGAAACCAUGCCUGUGAAUCUCUUCUUUUCCCCCUGCCACCCCUUUUUUUGGUGAAGUCCAUCAAAUGAAAAUGCAGCAUGACCACGUUGGCCACUGCCACUGCCAUUACUUCUUCAACUGUGCCUUUUGUUGCAAGAAAUAUUCAAGUGAAAGAUUGGAUUAUAUAAUUCAAGAUUCCAAUAGACCUGAGCUGCAAAGGUUGCCUUCCACUAGCCUAUCAGAGACUAUGCUUUCUAUUUUCCUAGUUUGUUAAUCAAAAUUUUAUAAGAUUUAUUUAUGGAAAUCUUGGACAAAAUUUUACGUAAGAUACCACAAAGCCAAAUGCAAUCAUUGUAAUUCUCAGCAGCAACAUUUAAAGUGAAAAAUGGAAGCCAUAUAAACAUAACUAUGUUUGCUACGAGGAACAAUUAUUUCAAGCUUUCAGAAAUGCUAGCAAGAAAUUGUAAGAGAACUUUACCUAGUCACAGAAUAUGUCAAACAUACUACCACCGUCUUUAGCACGAUUGUUAUGGAAGUAGCUUUUGAAUCGGAAGAUUCCAGCUUCCACCAGGCACCAUUUUUUUCAUUUUUGAUACAAUCUGCAUCACUGGCAUUAGUUAUACCAUCAACAUUUGCAUCCUCACUCUCAUCAUCCCAAUCAAGGCUUCUUCUCCAGCUCUGGAUUAUAAGUCCACUCCGACAUCUUCGAACACCUCGGUCCUUCCAUUUGCCAACAACCGAUAUGGCUUCCUUCCUUGCCUUCCCCAUUAAUAUAUCACUCGAAGGCAAAAAAAGCAUCAGCAAUUCUCUUCAACGCCUCAUCGUUUAUAACCCCCCAAAAAAAGGGUCUUCAGACACCUCAACUUUGCCUUCUGCAAAACCUCCACAAAAUCUGAAUUAUCCAACACAACAGCCAGACACUCAAUCCUUCUUUUGUCCAUCAUAUCCACCGUAUGAUUCCUCAACAAAAUAUCUACAGCUUGUGGCUUUUCUAACACUGUCUUGAUCCAAAACCCUGCUCUUUUCAACUCAUCUGCCAAACCAUAACCCACUUUUGGAGUCAAAAUUGUCCUUGCAGCCCUUUUAUAUUUUUCCAUCUCCAUCGAAUACUUGCCACUCAAAUCGAAUUACCAGACAGGAAUCCCAGUAACAAGUCCACUCAACUUCUUCUCAUCUGAUCCCUCUUUCACUCUGGCGGAAACAUUAAUAACCAUUCACCAGCCACAAAUUACCCAAGUAAGUAUUCGUGUCGUCAACACUUACCCUUCACUUCAUCUACGCAAACAAGAAUUCAAAUUGCUUAUUAGCUAGUGCUCGAGCGAAAGCCAAAAUAAAUUAAAUAUGUGUGUGUGUGUGUUAAAAGAGAAACGGUAGCGAAGUUAUUACACAAUAAAGCAAACCAAAAUAAAUUCUACACUCAUGUGGGUGUUUCGCUCGCAAAAUCUGGACAAGAAAAAAUAAUAUUGAUACAAUCUCCAAAUAAAGAGCAUUCCUCUUGGUAAAAUAGACAAAUCCUAUAAAUUUUGAUUAAUGGUGCCAAAUGAAAGAGUUGUAAUUUCAUGUACAUUUUGUUAACAUGAAUAAGGGUACAAAAUAGAUAACAAAGUGACAAAAACAAAGCUAAUCACAAUGAAUGAUAAGGUUUAGAGUAAACAUAAAGUUAUAAUCUUGAACAUAAGUGGCGCUCAAAGCCAUGAAUUUGAUAUCAUCCAUGAGGGGAGUUCAAACAACACCAUGUAAGAAGCAACAAGUGUUGAGAAAAAAAAAAUUCAUUCUAACACAACAGAAUAAAUUGUAAAGAAAUCCCAGUUUGUAUAAAAGAAAGAAAACAAAAUUAAGGAAAACAUAAGCACAACAAAAUUUGACUGAUUAUUAAAAAUGAGAAAUGAGUUAUAAUGAGAAUUUUGGCUUUGUGGUGAAAUAAAUUGGGAAGUAUCAAAGUUUGCAUGUAAAUAAUAUAAAUGAUAAGAAGACGAAGGGAACAAAAUGAUAAUAAGAAUGCCAAAUAUUAAAAUGCAGAUUCUACGCUUCCGCCCCCCCAUACUUCAAGUUAGUGUCUCGCUAAUCAUUUUAGAUGUAUCAAUUACAAAGGGAGGCCAUCUAUUUAUAGUAAGUGUACGCCUCUAAUGCUUUGCCAAGUGUCCAUUGAUAAUAUCACAAGGGAAAUUAAAUUGGUGUAUGUGUAUUACACCUCCUAAAGUCAUGUUAAGAUAGUGUGCUGAUAAAGUUUGUUGCACGUAUGAGUUGGUUAAGUCUGCUAGAAAUGCAAACGUGUAAAGCUUAGUUAGUUAAGGUUGUUACGAAUGCUUAGAUUCAGUUCACGUGUAUUGUAUGUAAUGCUUAGAUUCAGGUCAUGUAGAUUGUGUAUACAACUUUCUUAUAUUCUUUAGAUCUCAAUAUAAAUACUUGUAAUCAACAAAUACAAUAAUAAGAGUCAUCAUUCUUCAUUUUCUCUCUGUUUCUCUCAUAUUUUCUCUGCAUCCAAACACAAUAUUCUCAGUUCUUGACUUGGUAUCAGAGUUGCAGUUUAAUUGUCAUGGCUUCCUUCCUUAAGCACAAAUUCAAACAUAAAUCAGUCUCCUUCAUUCUUUACCCUCACAAAUGCGAUCAAACUGGACAGAUCUAACUAUACGAUCUGGAAAUCUCAGAUCCUCUCUUCAAUUCGUGCCAAUGGACUUGAAGGCUUUCUUAAUGAAACUAAAUUUUUUCCAGAUCAGUUACUUACUCAAGAGAUUGAAAGUUAUGGUGUUGAAAAUGUUGUUGGUGAAAGCUCAGCUGAUAGAUCUCAGGAGAAUCCAGCCUUUGUUGCUUGGAAAAGGUAGGAUCAAUUGUUAUUAAGUUGGCUCAUGUCCUCCAUCAGUGUUGAGAUACUUAGUCUUGUGGUAAAUUCUGAUUCUUCUAAUAAACUUUAGACUAAUCUUGAAGAAAAUUUUUGUAUUAGAAACUAUGGCUAAGAAAGCACACUUAAAAAUGAUGUUAAGCAAUCUCAGAAAGGGAUCAAUGACAAUAACUGAGUAUUUUGCCAAACUUAGAGCUGUAACUAAUAAACUUGCUCUAACUGGUAGCCCUGUUUCUACUCUAGACUUUAUUACUCAUCUAAUCUCUAGAUUAGGCCAGCCAUACUACCCUGUUGUUUUGUAUAUUGAAGCUAAUAUGAUGAAAAUAUUUGUCAAUGAAGCCUAUUCUAUGCUUUUAACUCAUGAAGCAAGAAUUAAAUUUAAUCAUCCGAGUGCAAAUAAAGAAGCAAAGUUGAAUUAUGCUGCUAACAUAGCUUAGGCUGGACCUAGUAAUAACAAUAAGAAGUCUAGUAAUCAAGCUAAUUACUAUCAGGGCAACCAAGGUAACUGGAAUAGAAAUGCUAAUUGGUGUGGUAACAAUGGAGGAAGAGGUGGCUUUGGCAGAGGUUUUUCAGGGCAAGGAAGGGGUAAUUAGAAUAAUGGUGGUCAUUGGAACAAUGGACCUUGGAGUAGUAGUCGAGCAGGUUAUAAUUGUUCUGAUAUAAACAUUAUGACAUGGUUGCUGGUGAACCUGUAAACAUAACCACAAAAGUAAGAAGGCAUAAUCUUUUUAUAAGAAACUCAAAAAUGUAUUAAUGAUGAAAAUUUUAAAACAGAUAGUGGACCAACUGUUCACUAGGAAAACAAAAAACUGAAUAUUUGUGCUAUAAAAAGGUCACACCCAAUCUCACCCCUAUAAAAGGCUAGAAUCAGCUACAAAUCCCUAUCUCAAAACCCCAUCCCAGUUUAGAUGAAUGAAGAAAAAAGAUGAAUCUUGAAACUCCUUAGAAACUGAAGCCCAAAGUGAAGCAAGAAGAUGAACUCUAUCCCAAGCAAGCAAUAUGGCAUAUUUCUCCAUUAAUGGUUCAAAUAAAGUGAAUGGCUUUCUCUGAUGAAUGGGAAAUUGUCAAGAUCAAUAGUCAAACUCACGCAAAGUAAACGGACUUAAUUCUCAGGGGCUACUCAUUCUAAGUCUUAAAGAAUUUUUUUCUAAUUUCUAAAGAUAAUAUGGGGAAAAAUCAUUAUUUUCUAACAUGAAAAAUUUGAUAUAGUGUUUAAUGUCUGACCACAAUGAUAAUAUGAGUACUAACAAAAACAUCUUUUAUCAGCAUGUGCGAGUAAAACACCUUUGCAAUCCAUAAAUGUAAGACGCCGCCUGGAGACUGGAGUCAUCGAAUUUUAUAUGUCAAAAGCGCGUUUCAGUUCAAUAAGCCAUAAAUGUCGUUUAAUAUGCUCAUUUUGUACUUUUUAUAUAAAAAAAAUUAUUUAUUUUUUUUAAUAUUGUUUAUUUAUUUAAAUUUUUUUUAAAGCUAAAGAGGUGGGUAACAUCUAAAUUCAAUUUUUAUCCCUUAUGUCCUGACCCUAAGAUUUGAACUAAGGUGAAUAGCCAAAUGUAUAAUAACAGGUAUUUCGAAUUUCAUUUUAAAUGAUAUGCAAUUCAUUAAGUGAUUGUUAAUUUUUUAUAAGAUCAAAAUGAAUUAAUUGUAUUAUCUUACUAACUAAUUGAUGAGUGCCCUAUUAUUUGGGAUAACUUUUGAAUAAAAAAAUUUUGAUGGAUGAAAUAUUCUUUUGAGAAUUUAUUGACUUAUCUCAUUUAUGACUUAUUGUUGCAUUUAAGUGAUAUUGCAAAAAUUAUUUUGCAAUAAUAUUAUUGUUUUGACGAGUAAGUUUGGAGUAAAUAAUACAUAUGGCAAGUAAGAGGUUCGUUAUUGCAUUUAUUUUGCGGACCUAUUUUAAAGCCAAAAAAAGACAUUUCGAUUCAUUAUGAUUCCAAAUAAUUUCAAGCCAUAUGUCAUUAUUGGGAUAAAAAUAAAGUAAAAUGGUUAAAACUAUUUUUAUGUAAUUUAUAAAAAUUAAUGAAGCAACUGCACAAUUUUUUAACACGAAAAACAAUUGAAAUGUGUGUGGAAAAAGAAGAAAAAAAGAAGGCAUUUAAAUAUCUUUAAAAAAAAUAUGAUUGAGUAAAAUCAUUUUACAGAAUGCUCUUCCAAAUGCAAUUCCACUUUUUUUUUUAAUUGCAUUGGGAUAUUCCAAAAUUGGCACAAUUCAUUAAGAAUUCGGCAACUCAAAUUUUAUUUAUCUCUCUAUGCAUUUGACAAAUUAAAAAGAAAAAAAAAAUCAUAUAUCUUCUGUUCAAAAGAAACCUUGGUAAAUAUUGUAAAACAAAUUACCAAUUUUUUUAAUUUAUGCCAUUAUAUCGUCGCUAUUUUCUCGCCCACUUUCUAUCAAAUGAAAAUGUAAUUAUAUGGUUCAGGAUACCAAUAUGCCGGAGCUGCAAAGGUUGACUUCCACUAUGCUAUCAAUGUCUAUACUUUCUAUUGAAUUUCCUUGUUUUUUUUUUAAAUUGCGAGAUUUAUUUUUGGAAAUCUUUGACACAUUUUAUGUAAGAUACCAUAAAGCCAAAUACAACCUUUUUUAUUCUCAGCAGCAACUUUUUUUUUUCCUUUUAAAAAAAGGAAGCCAUAUAAAUAAUGCUUAAAACAUUAUUUGCAACAAGGAACAAUUAUUUCAUGCUUUCACAGAAUAUGUACUGCUGUUAGCCCGAUUGUUAUGAAGUGGCUUCUGCAUCAGAAGAUUCCAGCUCCCACCAAGCAUUGUUAUCUCUAUUCUAAAUACAAUCUACAUCGCUGGGCAUGAGUUAUAUCAUUAAUGUCUACAUCCUCACUUACAUCAUCCCAAUCAAGUGCUUUUUCUCCACAUCUGGAUUAUAAGCCCACUCCAAUCUCUUCAAAACAUCCCAGUCCUUCCAUCACAACUGAUACGACUUCCUUCCUUACUUCCCCAUUAAUAAAUCGCUCCGAGAAAAAAAAAAAAAAAAAAAAAAAAAAAGCAUUAGCAAUUCUCUUCAACGCCCCAUCAUUCAUAUCCCCUACAACAACCAUCUUCAGACACCUCAACGUUGCCUCUUGAAAGACCUCCACAAAAUCCAAAUCAUCCGACACAACCACCAAACACCCAAACCUUCUCUUGUCCACCAUAUCCACCAUAUAAUUCCUCAACAAAACAUCGGCAUCUUGUGGCUUAUCUAACACCAUCCUGACCCAAAACCAUGCUCUUUUUAACUCAUCUGCAAAACCAUAACCCACUUUUGGAGUCAAAAUUGCGCUUGCAGCCAUUUUAUAUUUUUCCAUCUUUGUUGAAUAGUUGCCAACCAAAAGCACUCUCACCUUCCCUCUAGCUGAUUCUAUUUGAUUCGACCUUUUCUUUUAUUCGCCCUCAUGAAUUUGCUUAGAAUGAUUAACAAGCUUGUCAUUAUUAUAAAAUCUCCUUCCACAAUCACCAAUACAUACGGCUUAGCAGGCCUAAUUACACCCUUGAUUUCUAAUUGGUUAAACAAUUCUCUUUCUUUCUUUGCUCUCUUACAACUUGAGGCACAUAACUAAACUCGUGGCUAUUAGCAUUUGCCACCAUGUAUUUAACAAUCCCAAAUGAAGAUAUUGAUUUUUUUCAGUUUAAUUGCUGCUUCAAAACGGGGUACUGAAUUUGGAUUUUGUUAUCCAAAUACCAAAAAUUUCCCACAUUGUGUUGGACAGUUUUUGGUUCUAAAGUUGAUGACUGGUUUUGCGAAUCAGGCUUCAAAUGAGAACUUCUAAACAAUAAGACAAAUGGGUUUUUGAGUUUCUAAUCUUGUAAACUUUGUUCUAUUGUAUAAGUUAUGAAAUCGCUGAAACAUCACUACAGCUACAGGUCUUUAUGUGUCAAUGAACUGCAGAAGCUGAUGAUCUACCUGUAGCAGACUUCUAUUGUCCCUGCCGUUCUAGGAAGACAAACAAGUUCAGGAACUACUUCUGGACCAAACUCAUAAUAUUGUCACUGCUUUGUGACAAUCUGAGAGGGAAAGCAUAUUGAAGUUCCUAAAUAAGGCACAUCAUGAUUUGACAGAAGUACCACUAUGAGGAACAAUUGAUUUCAGGAAAGCACUAAAAUAUGACAUAAUCUGCCCCUAAUGGUCUAAAGUAGUCAAGAAAUUAUAUCAACCAAGCAAAAACACAUAUACUAGUUGAGAUACAAAGUUAUUGUAAAAGUCAAUUUUGAUCACAAAUCCAUUAAAAUUAAAAGACAUCAGAAAGUUAGAGAACAUUAUAAUUUAGGACUCAGCUAAGUUGCAGAUUCUGUAACUAACAGCUGAGUCCACAUUGGUCUUGCAUCAGCUGAGUUUGGGUUGCUUUUCCUCUCUCCUGCAACGCGUACGUGGAAGCGCCCCAUUUGUUGUGUUAUAUACCGAGUCGGUACCGUAACAAGCUCCUAUAAUUUAAGUUUGAUUACUGUAGACAAUAGUCUGCCUCUGCUCAAAAGCUAUGCUGCAAGAUCUAACAUCUUUGCAAUGUUAUACUUUCUAAAAGUAAUAAGAAAUGAAACCAAGGGGUAAAUCGAACACCAAAAGAAAUUUAGUCGGGAAACCACAUUAUGUUCCCACACAGUCCACUAAUUAAGUUAAUAAUUAAAGGGAAUCAAAAUCUAAGAAAUCUCAUCUUCAAGCAGAAUACAAACACACCGCGAUUGAAAAUCACAAAUUCAUAAAAAGAAGCUGACUUGAAAAGCUCAAAUAUACGUUCAUCAGCCUCUCAACUUAUAUCUAAGAACAAAUGCCUGCAGCCUGUGAAGACAUAGAUAAUUGAAGCUGAUGAGGCAUAUUUAACAGAUGAUAAUCAAAACUCGUGUGGUUAAAAUUACAAUUCAAUAAUGGAGCACAUAAAACAACAACUAGUUGUAUAUAUACCAAACAACUUUCUGAAGUUAAGCCGUAAAACAAAAACAUAGAACAAAUUAAUUAAAUAUACCAGCACCAAUACUCUUAUUAUUAUCCACAUAGAAAAGAACAAUGUAUCAAACAAGGAAAAUGAAAUAUUGUUAAUAACUCAAAAACCACUAGUGUCAAGAACUAGACUAAUAAGUGAAACCCAUAAUCAGACACAACCACAUCAAAAUCUUUGAAAAUUGAGAUCUUUGAAAAUUGAGGUCUAAACAUUGAAAACAAUUAGACAUAUAUAACAGUCAAUCGAAACAAAGCCUCAAAAUAAUAAUGAACUACAAUAAGACAGAAACUAAAUUGUAAACAACCGCAUACCCAGUAACAGUAAUCAAGUAACAAGUCAAAACCAGAAUCAAACGUAGAAUUUUGAAAUCCAUACGAACUCUAACGUAUUAGAAUGAAAGAAUAAGGACGAUCGAUAAACUAGACUCAAACAAAAACAUGCCCAGUUAAAAAAUGAAGGUAAAUAAAUAAAAAUGGUAUAAAACUACGAAAAAAAUUAAUGAAAUGAAGAGAAAAUCACAGGAAUCCUAUGAAGAGGAAGGUAAACGAAACCUUCGGGACCCGAGAAGAUGCCUUUUUUGUUGACGUUUGUGCCUAUACAUAUAUAUAUUUUUUUAUUUUGAAGAAAGUAUUGGUUAACAAAACGAAAUAUUAAUAAUAGAUGCUGGCAAUUUCAACAAGGACAAUCUUCGAUUCAAAUGUACCCCUAUGAUAAAGAAAAAUCUUGAGCACCACAUUACAAGAUCUAGGUGUAUGUAACCAUGCAAAAUGAAACAUCUAUUAAUUGUAAGUCCCUUGACCUCUGGAACCAGCCAACCGGUCUCUUUCCUACUAGACAACCUUCCAUGGAUCAGACUAAUAAUAUUUACUAAAUCAUGUUCUACAGUUAAUGAAGUUGGACCCAAGGCAAUUGUUAGAAGUCCGCCUAGACAUAGAGUGCGCUUAGAAGUGGGAUGCUUAGAAAUGGACCGCCAACACAACCAGCCAACCGUAGUGUGCUUAGCAAAUCACCCAAGCCCGGCCCAAGAUCUAGAACUAUCUACAAAUUGUGAAUAAGUUAAAAGUUUCUAAGUUUCUCCACAUAGGUCCCUAGGAUAUUUAUGGAAGUUGCUAGGAAGUUUCCUCCCCUAGAACUCUAAUACCUAUAAAUAGGGGUGAGCCCCCUCAUUUGCCCACCAAUCACACCACACACACAAACACUCCUGCACACACACAAGCUCUCUAGCUUUUGUAAAAAGCACUCUUGUAUAUUCUCUCUUUGAGAGUAAUAAAAUCAUAUUCAGCCAUAUUGCUCUACUUCUCUCUACCAUUUUCCGCAAGUGUUCUUGCUUCGCUAGUUUGAGGAGUGUUCUAGGCUUGCUUUGCAACUUGUUUGCUACAAGGACAUCUUGUUCACAAAACAUGGACAUGCAAGGAAAAAAAAAUAUUGAUACAUUCUAAAAAUAAUACGCAUUCUUCUACAGUGAACCAAAAAAUUUAGGCUAAUGGUAGCAAGUGAAGGAAUUGUGAUUUCACGUGCAUUUUGUUGACAUGAACGUAAAGAAAUUUUUUAUAGUUUAUAUUGUUUAAUAUAACAUUUGAAUUGCAAAAUAGGGGUACAAAAUGGAUACACGAAGUGAUAAAACUAAGCUCAUUAUGAUAAAUAUUGAAUUAUAAGAUUUACGUUUAAUCAUAAAGACAUAAGUGGCGCACAAAGUCACGAAUUAUCAUCCAUGAUGCAAGUUCAAAUAACUACAUAAUAAGUUGCCCCAAGCUAAACUAUUAAUCUAGUAACUAUUCCAGUCAAUGUGGGAUAAUUUUCCUAUCACCAUCUAUCACGUGCAAGCCGAAUUUGUUGCUUGGUCCUUACAUGUGGUAAGGUAAUAUGAAUCCACUUGUGCAUAAAUUUGCCUCCGAUAUUAUAUAGAAGCCUAUGACCCAAAAUUAUACUUAAAGGUUAUUUCAAGAUUUGAGGGUUGCCUCAAGCUAAUAUUAUUAUUAGCCUGGUAACCUUUUUUUUUUGUUGAUAUGUGAUAUUUUCCGUAUAACUUUUAUUAAUCUUUAUGCUUAUGUUUUGUCAUUUAUCCCAAAAUAUAACAUUAACAAAAGUUCCAAAAUUUCCUUCAAGAGAUAUAUUUGAGACAAGUAAUUUGUGCAAUAACUUUGUGAAUUGAUGAGCAAAUUCAGAGAAAAGAAUAUAUGUGCCAAACGUAACGUUUAUUAUUGUGUUUAUUUGUAGAGCUAUUUAAAGCCCAAAAAAAAAAAGCACCGGUCCGCUGUGAUUUCAAAUAAGUUCAAGCCCUAUGUCAUUAUUGGUACAAAAAUGUAUCAGAAAGAUUAAAAACUAUUUUUAUUUAACUUAUAAACUUAGGAAAUUAUCAAUUGUCCGCCCUUAAAUUGCGCUAUUAUAAAAAAUAUUACAAUAUUUUCAGGUUGUAUAAUUCAUCUACCAUAAAUUUACAAUCUGCAUCAUUUAUCCACCAAAUCAUUAACUUCGUUAAAAAGUGAUAGACGUCACAAGGGUAAUUUAGACAUUUAACACAAAAAAAAAUAAAAGAGAAAUUAUCUAAGCUUACCAUGUUAUCAAAAUUGCUACAAAAUUUUAAAUUUGUUCAAUUUUCCAAUCUAAGUUUAUGACCUCCAAGAUGUUAAUUGCAGUUUGUAAUUAAUGAGUUCAUAAGGAUAAUUUAGACACUCAAUAUGCAAAAUAAAAAUAAACUAAUGGCUUAAAACAUUAAAACAAAAAACUACUUUUUAUAAUUGAUAUUCAAUUAAAUACACAUAAACUCUAUUUUUUUCUUAAUUAAAAAUAUUCUAAUUUAUUUUCUCAAUUUAUCAUCAUAAAUUUACAUUAAUAAACUAAAUCCACAAAUUACCCUAAACCCUAAUUCAUAAAUGCCCAAUCAAUCUAAUAGUUUAAUUCGAUUUCAUAAUUAAAAAAGCUAAAUUUAUUAUAUUAGUUAUGGUGCAAAGUAAACAAAUGCCCUUAAAUUCAAGGGUAAAAUAACAUUUUAUUUAAAUUCUAUAAAUUAUUCUAACAAUGUUAACAUUUUGGUGGACGGCUAAUAUAAGUUACAAACUUAAAAUAGAAAAUCAAAUAAAUUCAAAAUUUCAAACUAUUUAGGGCAAAUUUAGGAUAUAUGGUUAAUAAUUUUCCCAUGUCUUUUUACAUUGGUUGAUAUAAAUUACAAACUUAAAAUAGAAAAUCAAAUAAAUUUAUAUUUUCAAACUAUUUAGGACAAACUUAGGGUAUAUGGUUAAUAAUUUUCUUUUAUCUUUUUACGUUAAAUUGAGUUUCAAAUGUAAAAUGGUCAAUUUAUUAUAACUCUGUUAAUUUUUUAGUGGAAGCAAACGAUAUAAUGGACGAAUGAUAUAAAUUGUAAAAUUAAGGUGGAUGAAUGAUACAACUUUAAAGUAUUGUAGUAAUUUUAAUAAUAGAACAAUUUAAGGGUGGAUUGGCAAUAAUUUAAACUUUAAUGAAGCAACUAAAAAAAAUUUUAACAAAAGAAAAAUAAUUGAAAUGCUUUAAGAAAAAUAAAGGAAAAUAAAUAUCUUUAUAAAAACAUAAUUGAGUAAAAUCAUUUUACAAAAUGCUCUUUCAAAUGCACAUUCCACAAGCCAGGGAGAACGGGUGGCUAACAAAAAUCUCACUUUUUAUGAGUUGAUAAAAUCUCACUUUUGCAGAAUCCAAAAAUAACCAAUACUAAUCACACAAAAAAAUAAAAAUUAUUGCUGUCACGACAUUACACACUUUCUUCGCUGUCUAGAAAGGUAGAACAUUUUGAUGUUCCUCAAUACAAAAUGGGUGCUACUACUAAAUUGGCACGAUUAAUGCCCAUCGAAAAGGCCAUCAAUUUAGCCAGCAAUUUUGUCAAAAUUUCAACAAUUGAAGAAAUCUUGAGAUACAUACAACAAAGUCUUGAAACUUUAGUCUUCACAAUUUGAGCACGCACUAAAUAUUAACCAUCCAUCUGCAGAGCAAGUAUAGAACAAAGCUUGAACUGAACACGCUGAACACAGCUUUUUUUUUUUUGGAUUUUUAGAAUUUUUUAAAGUCAUUUAUGUUCGCUGCCAUCUUUUUCUUUGCUGGCAUCUUCAUUGGCAUCCAACCAAUAAAUUGGGCAUUAAAUACGAAUGAUGAAUAAAAUGAUUAAAAAAAAACAAACAGACCUUUCAAAAAAAAAAAAAACAGAGAAAAUUAUAAUAUAACACAUAUAUAUUGAAAGAGAAAUUUUGAUUUUAGGAUAGAUCAAUUAGCUAUCACAAACGAAAACAUGAACCAACUAUGUAUAGAGUCAAUUAACUAAAGUUCUCAAGAGUUGACCUGUGCUCCAGAAUUCUUGGAAUCAUCUAUCUCCUGAACUUGGACGAAGCUUGGGACAAUUACGAACAUCUUCAUCGGAUGCAGAUGGAAACGGGAUCUGAUAACCCGCAGGCCAAAAGUUGGUGAGGUUUGGUAAAUCUCUCAGUAUCAAGCCCCGAAGUUCAUUCAUAACAAUUUCAUUGUAAUCCGUGACGUCUGUUCCAUCUUUAUGCCAGAAUACUUCUUCUAAUUCAUCAUUACCUACUAUGUAUAGGCAAUCCAGUUUUUGAAGACUUGGAGCUACGCUGAUAUGAAAUAGAUGCUUUAGUUUGGGGCAAUAACGGACAGAGAUCCUUUUGAGUUUUGGGAAACAUACAGGUUGGAGAUGAUCCUCAUCCUCAUCAAUGAUUUGCUCUAAUUCCAAGCAAUUCGAAACAGAUAACACCUCCAAUUGCAACAGAUUUCGAGCAAGUGUUGAUGAGAAGAGACGUCUCAGCAUAGUGCACCCGUCCACUCUUAAAUAGGUAAGACUUUGCAGGCUAAAAUUAUGGGUGGGACCUUCAUGAUAUAAUAAUACUUGCAGUUCUGGAAGAUCUUCCAAUUGCAACGACUUCAAACAUGGGAAAAGUUUGUUUUCUUGUCCAUCAGCGAUAAUAGCUUCCAACUGAAAUACCACCUGUACUCCAAUUUCCCUAAUAUGCAAUUCUUCCAAAUUUUUUAAUCCGUGCUUCAACAGUGCUGGAAUCGUGUCACUCAAAUGGGAACAAUUGUCCACAUCUAGAGUAUUUAAGUUCUGAGACAAAUAAAUAAAUAACUUGAUGCAAUUAAAAUCUAUUAGCAGCUAGGAUUAUCACAUGAUAAGUGAUGAACACCGCAAAAAACAAAAACAGAAAACAAAAUCCAUACAAAAAUAUCAUAAUACAUAUGUAAACUAAUAAAAUAAUUAAAAAGUAAUGGAUUUAAAAAAAAAUGAAAUUAGUUAAAAGAGAUCAUGUGAAGUGAUAUAAAUGUGACAUUAGAUUGUUUUAGAAAAAUUAUUAUUCUAUUAAUUUAUAUGGCUUGAUCAACUAUUUUAUUGAAUUUGAAUAAUAUUAUAUACACUUCAGAAGUAUUUGCAUCAAUUCUUUCUAAACCAAAAUGAGAUAUGACUUUCAUUUGAAGAAUGAUUUUAGGCCCUAUAAUAAAGAAAUUUCUCUAAAAUAUCUUAGCAUUAUUAUUAUCACCAUCACAUCCACCACCAUCAUCAUCUCCAUAGGAUCAAAAAAUUAAUGGCUGAUCAUAAAAUUUAUUGCUAAACUAUCAUUUUGAGUAAAAUUGAAUGAAAAGAAAAAACAUGAACCCAAACAAACAUACCUCUUUGAGAUACUGUAAAUUGGCUUCAAGUUCAUUACUGUUGAUGGUCAAGUUGGGACAAUUAUGAAGGUCUAAAUUUUCCAAUGCUGUCCAAAUUGAACAAUAAUUCUCUGAACAGAACUUGGUGAGUUCUGGGAGAUCUUUAAGUUUUAAUUUUCUCAACAAAGGGAGGGCGAGCAUCGUAUUGCCAUCUCCGAAACUUAUUCCCCCUUCAUUGUGAUCAAACUUUGCUUCGACAAUAUAUUCCAGUCUCUUGCAAUAAGUCACAAUGAGACUUUUAAGCUGCUCCAAACUUCUAGCUUGUGACGACGUGAAGAUGUAUGUCAACUUGUUGCACCUAUGCACAUUCAAUUCUGUAAGAGUUUGGAGACUGAUCACAUGUUGGGCGGGCCCCUUCCAUGUCCACUUCAGUUCUGGUAAGUCCCACAUAGAUAACUCUGCUAAUCUUGAGAGACUCUUUCCAUGCGGCGACUUAGAGGCUUCCAUUAUGCAUUCUAAAUCUUCGCAAUCGCGGACAUCAAGACAAGUCAACUCAUUUAAGCCCCUUUCAUCUAUGCUUGGCACAAUAUUGUAACAACCUAUAAUCCCACUUAAAUAAAGAAUUUCCAGUUCUUGAUACAAUGCCGAAAAAAUACCGAGCGAGGUCGCUUCAGGAGGGUGGUUACCAAUCAUUAAGAUCCUUGCCUUAUCAUCAUGUUCCCUUUCAUCAUAAACUCCUUCAACUUUAUAGAUGACGUACCUUUGCAAUUUCGGGAAUGUAAAGUCUUUUGGAAGACAUACAACAGAUCUGUCGGCUUGGGAGUUCAACUCAGCAAGCCUAGCAUUACUUUCUUCUGAACUCAUCCCUUCAACCUCCCAAUCUUUUAUCCGACCAUAAAAUUCUUCCAAUUGAGGAAAUUUUUUUAUCGUAAUGGGAGAAACAGAACCAGUAUCAAUAUAUAGAAGUUUCAAUCUACCAAGUUCAUCCGACAAUUCUUCAGGAAUUUCAAUGGGAGAUGACUGGAGAUAAAGAAGUUCAAGUCUCUUCAACUUUCCAAGAAAAAACGUGUCACUCACAUCACACCGAAUCAACUGCAGAACCUGGAGGUUGGUGAGGCUCUGAAGCGAUUUAAGUGAAAGAACUCCACCUAUUAUAGUGACAACUUUCAAUGCUGGCAUCCCUUUAAAAAAAUGUUCUGGAACUUGCAAUCGGUGGUCGUAUUCAGGAUUCUCCAAUCGCAAAAUAUGAAGGUUAGGGCAUACCAAACCACUAGAAAGCUCUUAUUUUUUAUUUCCCACCAAAGAGAUUCCUCUGUAUUGUUCCAGGCCUUCUUUCAUUGCCCGUUCUGCCAAUCCAAUGCCAAAUUUACUAAAAAAUUUCUUCUCCUCUAGAACUAUUGAGCCUAUCCAUAUGGCUACAUCACGAACCAUGUCAUGCAUUUUCACAGAUCUGUCAUUACCAGUGUCUAACAGCAGUGACGCAGCUUUGAGCGCGUUAAUCGUUCCAUGCAGUCGGCUUCUGGCGUUUUCUAUUGACGGAGCACAUUGAUACCAAAUAACCCCCACUGCGUAUCCAACCAAAUCCUCCAAAUAAAUCUCAUAAUCUUCUGGAAACAGAGAACACAACAAGAAGCAUAACUUGGACUCCUCACUAUUUAAAUUGUCGUAACUGAAUUUAAGACAACCGUAAACGUCUUGGUCAUCCUUGUCAAUACCUUCUAUUGCAUAGAGUUUUGCUUCCUUUAGGUUAUUUAGUGCUAGUUUCCAUUCAUCAGAUCCUUUUUCUCUUAGUGCACUUCCAACAGCUUCAAUAGCUAAAGGCAGCCCCUUAAUUACAUUCGUCGGCAACUUGUUUUGAAACACCAUCCAAGGAGGAGUCGUUUACAUUAAUACCGGCAUUCAUUUUUAGUAGAGUCAAUCCUUCUUCUGGUGUUAUUGUACCAAGUUCAAUCUGUGGGUAACAACCGAAAGAACCACAAAUUGACUUUUUGCGAGUGGUUAGAAGGAUUUUGCAACAAUUGUCUCUAUCACCAAUGGGAAUACCUAAUUUUUUCUCCAAGUCGAGUUGUUUCCAAACAUCACCAAGGAUUAUGAGGAUUUUGCUGCUUUUACUCUCAGAAAACAUCAACCGCAAUCGAUCUGCUCUCUCUUUUUCAUCUGUCUCAUUUAACGCCCAGCCUAACGACUUUACCAGCUCACUUUGAACCUUUAUUAUAUCUGGAUCCUGAGACACAGUGACUAUCCCAACUUCAUCGAAAAUCUUUUGUUGCCGAAGUUGAUUGCCCACAAAAUUUGCCAAGGUCGUCUUCCCUACACCACCGAGACCGUGCAAUCCCACCAUCUUUGUGCUCUCUUUUUUCAGUGCUUCAGUGAUUUGAAUGCAAGCCAAAUCUGUAGCCUUGAAAGGAGAAAAAGAUCUCGGUAUAGGCAAUUCUUUGUCUGAUGGUAGAGGUUUAGGACGGGCAACUGUGCUGAAUUUGCUGCGGUCUUGUAGCAGAUCGGACAACUUGCUAGUCUUCUUUGAUGCUUUUGUACCCAGCCAGUAUCGGCAACCCCAAUUAGGACACCAUCCAUUAAGACAACUCUUCUUUUCAUCUAUCUUUGCUUUUAAAUUUCGAACGUCGGCCAUUUCUUUAUCUACAUCCUCAAGCCAUGUCUCGACAUCUUUCUCGACUACUAUAGCACGGUGUAUUUGUCGUUCUUGUUCUACUCUUUCAUUGAUGCCAUCUUUUUCCUUCUUCAAAUUGGUUUCUUUAACCUUAAGUUCUUUAUCU